This 104880-nucleotide long non-coding RNA is filed under the name Triticum aestivum (bread wheat). RNAcentral describes it as "long non-coding RNA (TAES_LNC009581)". Lineage: Eukaryota; Viridiplantae; Streptophyta; Magnoliopsida; Poales; Poaceae. The record is from RNAcentral.
AUGCAUUCCUUUGAAUGGUAGCUUAACAACCCAUCACAAAAUGGUAGUUACGGAAGAUGUAUACAAGAGGAGACGACAACAUGUAGUCAAUUUAAAACACAAGUAUAAGAAUUAUACUCUGCUUUAGUGCAAGCCAUUCAAAAAGCAUACUUGAUUCAAGUUUGGAUAUGAGAACAUCGUGACAAAAGUUUCUCUUUUUAGGAUUCGUCGAUGCCUCACCGUGCACCUCUCCUAGUCUCCCUUUCCUCCGUACAUUUUUCGCAUCCUCAAUUUCUCCUAGCGUUCCUUCAAACAAGAAAAUGAGAAGAUAUUUUUUUCAAGGGGCAUCAACAUAGAACCAUGACCUUCGCAUCUUCUUGAAGACUAUUGGCGAGUGAACCUUCAUGCGGAGCCAUGUUUUCCAUUGACAACGUCCUCCGCCCUGGCCUAUAUCACACAAGUUCUUUUCCAUCAGAUCUACCAUGCCAUAUAACAAGAUGAUUUAAGAAUGAACGUGUAAGUGUUCCUAGCAUGAAAAGCAUAGCAAAUUCGAGUGCCAGAACAUAACAGUGAAGUUGUACACUUUCAUGCGGAGUUGAGCUUCAAUACAAUACCAGAGCUCUAUCUUCAGCGAACUGGUAAUAUGAAAUGAUGAGCACGAACUUAACUUUGGUUGUUCAGUUCCAAUUAUGAUGCCCAAUUCAGUUGAUGUUACCACGGAGAAUUAUAUAACAAGCAUUGAGUGUUAAGUAGCUUGAAACCUUAUACUUAAGGUCACUUGUCUAUCUGAUUGUAAAUGACAGGAUGCAAUAUUACAUUAUCAUUACUUAAUUGAAGACUAUAAUUAUAUUUGCAAUUGUUAUUAAAGCAAUCUUCAUACACAAAUUCUAGAGCAUCAGAUUUCUCUUCGUAUAGAAGGUCCUAAAAUCAGUGAGCUCUAGAAACUUCAGGCAGAAAAUUAUCGCGAGGGCAUAAAAAUUGAAGUAUAAUUCGAAGAAUCAACCCAGGAAACUACAACCAGGAACCAUUUUAUUUCGGAUUCAGUUCCUAAUUUUUUUAAUAUUGACUAUCUAGUGUGGAAAAGAGUGAUUUAUAACCUCUGUGUCCAUAUCAGUAUGUCCCAGUUUCAGUCGUCAUCAUUUCAGUUACAGGUUCCUCACGUGCAAGCCCCAAAUCAGUAAGCUUCAGCUUCCUAUGGUUUGUAGUAAGCAAAAAAUUAUCUUCCCACACAAAACUUUUAUUAGGACAUCGUAAAAGCAUAAAAAGUGUGACAGAGCAGCUCUAACAUAAAGAAAAAAACAACUACUGGAAGAAGCUACAAGGUAAAGCAAGCAAAACAAAAUGGUAAGACUGAUAGGGAGAAAGAAACAAAUCAUGAGUGAACCAUGAACAGGUACUAAAGCAAAGCAGAUACCAUGGAUGUGAAAUCAGGAGCAUUCAAGAAUAUGAUGUAGAAACAUCUUACUGAAAAUUUUAGAUGAUUGACGGACCAACUACUGAAAAUCAAAGAAGCUGAACCAAAAAGAAGAAACUAAAAACAAUACCUUCGCAAGUAGUCAUUCAUUUUUUAAACCAGAUGCUAUGACGAUGAGCUGCAAAAGGUGAAACAAAUAGUACUCACACAAAUAAGAAAAGAGUGUUUUAUUGAAGUGUAGUAAAUAGUUAAAAGCAGAUGCCUCUAACCCACUUGAUUCUACAAGUAAAUAAGCAACAGAUCUUACUACUGAAUGCAAUGGUUGGUAUCCAAAUGGGAAAAGGGUACAUCGUCUUUAACCUGUUGACGCUAUGACAGAUUUAAUCACCAUUAGAAACAAUCCUGAUUAGAAAUGCAUUAGGAUUUCUAAUAAACCCCGUGAUGCAGCAAAUUGGUAUUAUGAAUCAAAAUGUUUAGAAAUCAUGUAAUUCCACCGCAACAAAUUUAUUAUGAAUAUUGAACAUAUUAACGAGAAGUGUCUUGGCAAAAAUAGAAUAAAGCAUUUAGGAUAAGAAUCUCACCUGCCAAUGGAACCUAAUCCAAUAAAUAUAGGUAAAGAUGAAUAAAAACUUCCCAUGACAGUGCUCCAAGUCAUCAUGAUUUGCACAUAGAGAAUCGGGCACAUUGCCUCCGCGUCUGCUCCCAGCUCCAUCAACGGACCACCACCAUAUCCCGCGGCAGCUCCAGCGGCGUCCCUUCCGAGGGGGGCGACCACAUUAGCGCCUAGCACAAGCAGCGCACACACGGACGUCCCCGCCACGACGUGCAAUAACAUCAGCCCAUCGGCGGCAGUGCGGGGCCUCCACAUUGCCGCGCAGCUCGAGCAGCCCAUGCACAACUUGAGCUAAAUACCCAUGCCUUUCCACUUGAUGAUAAAUAAAGUAUGGAUUCGUUAGUUAAUAGAUUUAAUCAAAUACGCCGAGUACAACAUAUGUUCAGUUUUAUCACAUCUCAUAUAUACAUUAUUGAUCUCAUCAAACAUUUUUGAAUGUUAACAUACAUAAACAAAAGGUCAUCUCAUAACUCCUAACAUACAUACAUGAUUGUUAGCACUGUCACUAUCCUAGGGGUAAAUGCACGCAUGCUAAAUUUCAUCAGUCACCAUAUUUGAUCAUGCAUUUCAAAUUCUUCAUAUUAUAUGUCAAAUGCGUGUAUGAAUUACAAGAUAUAGGGGGAGAUCUCCAUGAUUCUACUCUUCAAGUGUGCAUUGCUUCAAAAGAAAAUUCCUCACUAUGCACAUCUUCAGGGGGAGUUCUUCUAUAUCUUGCAAUCAAAUUCCUCAAUAUCAGUAUUUACACUCCAUAUGUUUAUCCCCAUUGAAAACUUAACCUAUAUUGUCAUCAAUCACCAAAAAGGGGGAGAUUGUAAGUGCAUCUAGUGCCCCUUAGUGAUUUUGGUGUAUUGAAGACUUAUAGGUUAAGGGACUAAUGUGUUUAUGAGUGUACACAUGUCUAUAAAUCUAUGAGGAGUUUGAUAUUUACAAAGAAAGUCGACCCCUAAAAAUGGAUGUCUUCGACUGAAGACUUUGGAUUUCUAAAGACUUUCUUAAGGCUUUGAAAGUGAAGAAAUUGGUGUGAUCUUGAAGACUUGGCAUUCAUCUGAGUAACAUGAAGCGUGAAGACUUUUGUUUUCAUAGUUUCAUUUUCUCUUUCUUGAGUCUUAGGAAACACCGUAUUGUUCAAGGGGGUCAAGGAAAUACUAAGGAAAAUUUCCAGGUUAUGCUCAACUCAAAAUCCAACACCUACCAAUCCCUUCGAGUGAAGCCAUUGGAAAUCUCAUACAGUUCAGUCAAUUUCUUCAGUGUGAGAGACGAAGUUCUUCUGGUCUCUUAGGAAUUUGAUCUGACUAAGGAGUUAGGAAUUCGCCAGUGUGGAUUGCCUACAUAGUGAGGAACAUGAUAGCCCUGAGGAAUUUGAUACUCAAAAUUCCGACCGUUGUUGUGCUAUGCGCCAGCUAUCCCAAAAUAUCUACCCACCUAACGGUCAUAUCAUUGAAGGGCAUUUAUGUCUUAUCAUGUCGGGCUGCUCCCGAGGCUAUAAAUAGCGGCCCCCUACAACCACUAGCUGGUUGGCUGCUCCGAGAGAAACUGACACUUGUCAUUUGAGAGCAUCACAUCCUCCGAGGACUUUGAGAGAAAAUCAUCAAGUGAGGAAAACCCAAACACCUACAAACCCAAAGUGAUUGAGAAUCACUGAAGAGAUUGAUUCUGCGUGGAUCCGACGCUUGUUACCUUUGAAGACUGUGCAUCUUCCAGACGGUUAGGCGUCAUGUUCUAGAUCAUCCAAGAGGAAAUUUUGGAUCACCGAGUGACCGAGUUUGUGAAGGUUCGGAAGUCACAUGAAGACUUACCACGAGUGAUUGGGCGAGGUCUGUGUGACCUUAGCUCAAGGGGAAUACGGUGAGGACUAAGUGUCAUGAGCUGCGUGUUCAGGACUCAGUGUUCGGGACAGUGUGUCCUCAGGUUUGAAUACCUAGCCGCCCUAACCAUACGUACAACUAUCACAUCAGUUGGAACUGGUCUACCAAAUCAUUGUCUUCACCAAGCUAACUGGUUCUAUUUCCUCAACCCUUUCAUUUCCUCAUUUCUAUGUUGUGUACUUGUUCAUAUCUGCUUGAAGACUUUGACUGAAGACUUUCUCAAUUUCCUCACUUCAAUUUCUUCAGUCUCUUUGUCUUCAUCAUGUUUUAUCCUGUGCGUACUGUCGGUGUCAAAACUGGCGGAUCUCGGGUAGGGGGUCCCGACCUAUGCGUCUAGGCUGGAUGGUAACAGGAGGCAAGGGACACAAAGUUUUACCCAGGUUCGGGCCCUCUCGAUGGAGGUAAAACCCUACGUCCUGCUUGAUUAAUAUUGAUGAUAUGGGUAGUACAAGAGUAGAUCUACCACGAGAUCAGAGAGGCUAAACCCUAGAAGCUAGCCUAUGGUAUGAUUGUUGAUGUGUAUGUUGUCCUACGGACUAAAACCCUCCGGUUUAUAUAGACACUGGAUAGGGUUAGGGUUACAUAGAGUCGGUUACAAUGGUAGGAGAUCUAAAUAUCCGCAUCGCCAAGCUUGCCUUCCACGCCAAGGAAAGUCCCUUCCGGACACGGGACAGAGUCUUCAAUCUUGUAUCUUCAUAGUCCAGGAGUCCGGCUGAAGGUAUAGUUCGGCCAUCCGAAAACCCCCUAAUCCAGGACUCCCUCAGUAGCCCCUGAACCGGGCUUCAAUGACGACGAGUCCGGCGCGCAGAUUGUCUUCGUCAGUGCAAGGCGGGUUCCUCCUCCAAGUACUUCAUAGAAGAUUUCGAACACAAAGAUAGUGUCCGGCUCUGCAAAAUAAGUUUCGACAUAUUGCCAUAGAGAGAAUAAUAUUUACACAAAUCUAAUCUGCUGAUGUAUUCUGUAGCGUGAGAUCACACCACGGCCAAGCUUUUAUUCGAACCGUUUUACUGUCCCAUCUCAGCGCGUUAUGCGAGGCGGUUUCCUUGGCAUGUCUUGUUAAAGCAGAGAUCGUGUCCCCUUAUUCCGGGAUUCUCAUCAAUACGGGCGUGGGUAACCCAACCGCGCCUUUGAUUACGGCGCUUGGGAGAUAAGCGAAUUUUACCAGGCUGGUGGGGACAUGUAGUUACGUCCACCCAUAUAAGGGGAUAAGGAUCCACCUUUUUACCUACGCCUUCUUCCUCCUUCGCCUAUCCAUUCUUGCGCACUCGAGCUCCAGCGCCCAAGUCCGCACUCCUCGCCUCGACCUUCUCCAGCCAUGUCCGGAGCAGGAGGCAAGUAGAUGGUCUCCUCCUUCACGGAGGGACACAUCAAAAAGCUGAGGAAGGACGGAUAUCUGUCUAACGACAUCGCGCACCGGCUCCCCGAAAAGGGGCAGCUCAUCCCCACCCCAAGGCCCCAUGAGAGGGUGGUGUUCCUCCCCCAUUUCCUCCGCGGACUGGGCUUCCCUCUCUACCCAUUUGUCCGGGGGCUCAUGUUCUACUACGGCCUUGAUUUCCACGAUCUGGCCCCGAAUUUUGUCCUCAACAUCUCGGCGUUCAUCGUCGUGUGCAAGGCUUUCCUCCGCCUCCGCCCCCAUUUUGGCCUAUGGCUCAAGACUUUCAACGUUAAGCCGAAGGUGGUGCGCGGCAACCAGGCAGAGUGCGGAGGUGCCAUGGUUGGCAAGAUGGCCAACAUCCUGUGGCUCGAGGGCUCCUUUGUAGAGACCCUGGAGGGGUGGCAAUCGGGGUGGUUUUACAUCACCGAGCCGCGCGACGCCGAAUGGGUCGCACCCCCUGAGUUUCAGUCCGGACCCCCAACGCGGCUCACGUCCUGGAAAGAGACGGGCCUGUCGUGGGGCAAAAAAGGAGAGCUGACCGGACUCCAAACAUGCGUCAAAACCCUGGAGGACAAGAAGCUCAAACUUGUCAACGUAGUCCAGGUUAUGCUCAUCCGCUUGAUCCUCCCGUGCCAACAACGGGCUUUCAACCUGUGGGAGUUUGACCCGGUGCGGCCCCAAACUUUGAGCAGGCUCUUCGACACGACGUACGAAGAUGCUUGGAAGGUGCUUUUUAAAGGCGUCGUGGCUCCCGCAUCCGCUACUGAGGAUCGCGGAUUCAGUGUAUCGGGUAUCAGUGUUUCAUAGUUUGACUCUAUGCGGAGUCUAAGCUCCCUUUCCUUUGACAUGACUGGCAGGUGACGUCCGGAUAGAUCAACUGUCCAGCUCCUUUGCCCGAAGGCCCAGCGGAUGCUCAAUUGGCGAAGCUGCUGGUUCCGGCACCCUAUGUGGUGCCGGAGAAGAAGGCCAAGAAGAAGGCCACGGGGACUCGAAAGAGUGCCCGACGCCCGAAGGUGUCGGAUUCAUCAUCCGACGAAUCCAAGACGCACUCCUCCCACGAAGAUGAGGAGGAGGAAGAAGAGACCCCUCCCCCUCCAGCGGGGAAAGGGAAGAAAAGAAAGGCCGCCCCAACUGGGGAGGCCAAGGGGUCCAAGAAGGCGAGGACCCCUCCUCCGGACUACUCCACCAAUGCCGACGACGGUGAAGAGGAGUGGCCGUCCUGGGCCAAGCCCCUGGCGAAAUCGUAAGUAUCCGGAUACCGGAGUGAUUUCAUAGUACUUGAUUAUUGCAAAGCUUUCCCUUAUGUCGGAUAUGUUUAUGCAGCCCACCCAAAGACCGGCUCGUCGCGUCGUCGAGCAGCUCACUGGACUCGUCGGACGUGAACUUGCUUCCGACGGCUUCCUCCCCCCGCCCUACGGACGACACCGAACUGUUGUCCCAGCAAGUUCCAAUCCGGGAGGAGGUGGUCCUGGAGGCGCCGCAAGGGGAUCUCCCGGACUCCAGGAGUAAAGGGGACGAAACCCCCCCAGGGCUCCAAGUCCGGCCCUGGGCCAGACACCGCUCCGAAACCUUCAAAGGUUCCAGAGUCCGGCGGGGGACCUCCUUCCAAGAGGAGCAAGCCCGCCGUGCCGGUGACCUCCGUCCAACCGGAGGCGCCAGACAAUCUGUUGGAGGCGCUCCAAGGCGCCUCCCUCGACGAGGGGCACCGCACUAUUAUGAGUGCGGUGGUCCAGAAGGUUCAGUCCGCCAAGAGCGGACUGACUGAAGCUUGUACAAGCCUUUUAACAGGCUUUGAGGUAAGUAAAGAAUGUGUAAAUAACAUUACCACAUAGGCAGUAGCCCCUGAUGCUCUGUUUGGCGUUCGGCAAGAAAAGCCGAAUAGAGGAUCAAAUAAAAUUCGCAGGAGUCUAACAAAAAGAAGUCAAUAUGCGUUUGCAGGCUUCCCUGCUGGCGUCCGCCGCACUAACUGCGGAAGUGGACGUGCUAAAGAAGGACCUCGAGCGGUCCGAGCUCGGACGUGCCAAGAAGCAGCUCAAGGAUAGUGAAGGUAAGAAAAUACCUUGUAUAAAUGUGUAUAAAAAGGCACAAUUGCGAAAAAUGACAGGAGUAUCGUGGCUAUUGUAGGGGCCACGUCUGAGGUGGCGACCCUGAAGCAAGCGCGGAGAAGAGGUCGGCCGCGGAGCGCACUAAGCGAGAAAAGUAUGAGGCCGAGGUUGGCAAGGUGCGGGAAGAGCUCCAGGCUCUCAUGGAAAAACAUGAGAGUUUGGAGCGUGACUCAAGGACGCGAGCGUCCGAGCUCGUGGCGGCUGCUGAAAGUGUCAAGGCUGCCAAGGUCGAAUCCCAGAAGACCCUCCAGGAGUUGGAUGAGGUGAAGAAGAUAGCGUCGGGUAAGGCAUUCUUUAUGCAAAGUAGACACAUAAGCGUGAGUUACUUGUUACUUACCCGAAUCCGGAGUUCUCCAGGCGCAUUCGCAGAUCUUCCCCGGAGUAUAUCUGAAGCUGCCGCAUUCUAUCGAGUCGAGGAGGGCAGCUCGACGGAGAAGGUGUUCUGGUCUCAGUACGCUGAGGCCGGACACCCCGUGCCCCUGAGCGACCAGUUGAAGCAUCUUGUUGAGCUCCACAAGGCGGCCGAACAGGCCAUGAGGGGCCUCACAGUUCGGCUAUGGCCUGGAGAGGCUCAGCCUUGGAGCUAUUUCGGGCUAGUGCGGCGGCUGGUGGAGGCCUGUCCAAGGCUUGAAGUCAUCAAGCGCUCCGUCUGCAUUGAGGGUGCCCGUAGGGCCUUUGCCCGUGCGAAGGUGCACUAGGGCAAGAUGGAUGUUGAGAAGCUUGUGAAGGACGGGCCACCGCGGGGGAAAGUGCAUCGCAAGCCCGAAAAUUAUUAUAAGGAUGUUCUAAGGGUGCCCGCCUUGUGGCGGAUGAAUGUUCUAUGGAUGUAAUUUUUGAAUAAAACUCGCUCGUUUUGUCAUGUGCGCUGAAAACUUGUUCAUAUGCGCUUAAGCAAUGCUGUAUGAAUUUAAAAUAUUACCUUAUGUGCGGCUGUUUAUCAAUUCUGAGAGAUGGCGAGUCGUCGGCUUCUGCCCCCGUGCCGCUAGUGCUGGGGUGUUCGGGGAUAAACCUGAGGGCUCUUUUUCCCAUGAUUGGGUCCUUCGAGGGAGGCGCUCAGCCCAACGAACAAGGCAAUCGGACUAUAAUGCGUGAACACUCUCACUUAGCCAUAGAAUUCUAUAAUUUUAAAUUUCGGCGAAGCCCCUGUUAUUCGGAAGACCGAGUUCGGGGCGCUAUCCACGCCUUGGCCGGAAAGAACCGGCUCCUCGCCCUAAGCGGCAUAAGUCUUUAAGGACUCGAAAAGACCUCUCGAACAGCGACCAGCUCUCGCCUCAUCAUGACGGUCAGUUUUAGCUUUCUCCACUGAGGUGCUCAACCCAGCUCAACUGGGGCACAAUCGCAGUGGUUCUCCUAGUGCUACCUUAGCCGAUAUAGCGGAACGUAAGUCACCAAAACAUAGGAGCCGGGCAAACCCAACUAUUGACCCAAGACAUGAUUCGGAGCCAAUGCAUAUAAUGCUAUAAGUUCGGGGUGCCGCACUUGUUAAAGUGUGCGGACUUCUCACACCAUGUUGUGGGGUAUUGAAGCCCCUAGCGUAUUUUGGCCGUACCAAAGUGUAACGGUGCAACAUGUCAUUAAGGAACAUAUAUAAGUAUAUAAAAAAGGUAAUGAAAAAAUAGACAAAAGCUAUGCAUUGUUUAUUAAAAAUAGCUACGAUCAAAGCAGAAUGAUACAAAUAAUGCGAUAAGCGAAAGGUUGGACUAUGUAACAUGUCCGCUCCAGGGGCAAGCUGCGGGAUAAUAUGCGAAACAGGUAUACUGCUUGUGAUAGAGACCACCUGCGAGUUCCAUAAUGCAGCGUGGCUUGUCUGCUUCCCUGGUUCUUGCAUCAUUUGUGCGGCAAUUGAACUACCGAACAGGCCUUCCGUAGAGUGGAGUCCUAAAAGUAAGUGAAAAUUAAAAAAUCGGCAGCCCCUGGUAUGGUUGAAGCCGUGUUUUGGGCAUACUGUGAUAGUGCCCCUCCCCCUGUGCACAUGGUAUCUCUAGAGCGUAGUUAUGUACACGAAGUACUGACGUCGCCUUUUUGCGAGGGUUGGGGUUGGGGCCGCAUUGCUACACCUGCUCGGAUCGUGCCAGGCGGUCUUGUUAUAGGUUACUCCGGGCGCGCUUGACGGUGUCCGGUCGUUUAUUGGCCGGACUGAAGAAAUGCCUGGAGAGGCUGCUUUGUACUUCCGCUGCAAGGGCCGUCGUGUGCUCCUCCGUUCGGAGGGAGCGUUCGGUGUUUCCGUUGACCGUAAUUACUCCUCGAGGGCCUGGCAUCUUGAGUUUAAGGUAUGGGUAAUGUGGUACUGCAUUGAACUUAGCGAAUGCGGUUCGCCCGAGCAGUGCGUGAUAACCACUGCGAAACGGGACUAUGUCGAAGAUUAGCUCCUCGCUUCGGAAAUUAUCCGGAGAUCCGAAGACCACUUCAAGUGUGACUGAGCCUGUACAGUUGGCCUCUACACCUGGUAUUACGCCUUUAAAGGUCUUUUUGGUGGGCUUAAUCCUCGAGGGAUCUAUGCCCAUUUUCCGCACUAUAUCCUGGUAAAGCAGGUUCAGGCUGCUGCCGCCGUCCAUAAGGACUCUAGUGAGAUGAAAUCCGUCAAUAAUUGGGUCUAGAACCAAUGCGGCGAAUCCGCCAUGACGGGUGCUAGUGGGGUGGUCCCUUCGAUCAAAGGUGAUCGGGCAGGAGGACCAUGGGUUGAACUUUGGGGCGACUGGCUCUAUCGUGUAUAUGUCCCUUAACGCGUGCUUCCGCUCCCUCUUGGGGAUGUGGGUUGCGUAUAUCAUGUUCACCGUCCGCACUUGUGGGGGAGAACCCUUCUGUCCCUUGUUGUUCGGCGGCCGGGGCUCCUCGUCGUCAUCUCUAUGCAGCCCCUUGUCUUCGUUUUCGGCGUUUAACUUGCCUGCCUGCUUGAACACCCAACAAUCCCUGUUGGUGUGAUUAGCCGGCUUUUCAGGGGUGCCAUGUAUCUGGCAUAAGCGGUCGAGUAUUCGGUCCAAAAUGGACGGGCCCCUAGGAUUCCUUUUGAAUGGCUUUUUCCGCUAGCCGGAUUUAGAGCCUCUGAAUCCGGCAUUAACUGUCGUAUCAUCUGCAUUGUCGCCGUUAAUGUGGCGCUUCUGUUUGUUGCGACACGACCUGCCACUACUGUCCCUGGUGUCCGAAUUACCAGGGUUCUUGGUUAUAUUGUUGCUACGAGCAAUCCAACUGUCUUCUCCCGCACAAAAGCGGGUCAUGAGUGUCGUGAGUGCUACCAUAGAUUUCGGCUUUUCCUGUCCAAGGUGCCGGGCCAGCCACUCGUCAUGGAUAUUGUGCUUGAAGCCUGCUAGGGCCUCGGCGUCCGGACAGUCGACUAUUUGAUUUUUCUUUGUUAGGAACCAUGUCCAGAAUUGCCUGGCCGAUUCGUCUGGCUGCUGAAUUACGUGACUUAGGUCAUCGGCGUCUGGGGGUCGCACAUACGUGCCCUGGAAAUUGUCGAGGAAUGCGGAUUCCAGGUCCUCCCAACAACUGAUUGAUCCUGUUGGCAAGUUGUUAAGCCAAUGCCGAGCUGGUCCUUUAAGCUUGAGUGGGAGGUAUUUGAUGGCGUGGAAAUCAUCGCCGCGGGCCAUGUGGAUAUGAAGGAGAUAAUCCUCAAUCCAUACCGCAGGAUCUGUUGUGCCAUCAUAUGAUUCGCUGUUUACGGGUUUGAAACCCUCGGGGAUUUGAUGAUCCAUUAUUUCGUCUGUGAAGCAGAGUGGGUGUGCGGCGCCUCUGUAUUGGGCUAUAUCAUGACGUAGCUCCAAUGAGCUUUGUCUACUGUGUUCGGCCCUGCCGAUUUUGUGGCCAGCGUGACGGGUGCCGUCUCGAGCCAUGGGGCGCCCACGCGAUCCGUAGAUCGAUCUUGUUUGUCUAGCCUUGUCCUCCAACAUGUCUCUUAAGUCCGGCGCAUAGUCCCGUGCCUUGGCACGAAGUGCGGCUUGAUUGGAGGGCCGAGAGGCCUCUCUAUCGCGGCCACGAGGUGGCCGGUCGGCCGCAUCAAGUGCUUCCUCCUCUAAUUGGGGUAGCAACCUGCGCUUUGGGUAGCUCUUGGAGGGGCAUUCGAGUUUAUGCUCUUCGGCCGCAAGGACUUCAGUCUAUCUGUCGACUAGAAAAUCUUGAUCAGCUCUAAGCUAUUGCUGUUUUUUCUUGAGGCUUCUUGCCGUGGCCAUAAGCCUGCGUUGAAAACGCUCUUGCUCGACGGGAUCCUCUGGCACGAUGAAUUCAUCGUCGUCGAGGCUUGCCUCAUCUUCGGAGGGAGGCAUAUAAUUAUCGUCCUCGACCUCUCUGUCUGCCGCUCUCUCAUGAGGGCUGGUUUCUCCAUCCUCCUGUGCUAAAUCUUGUUGGAGGGGGUUUUCUUUAGCGCUUUCCGGAGUAUUAUUAUCUCCCGUGCUGGAAUCACCGUGUUUGUUUUGGCGCGAUUUUGAUCGGUGCCGCUGAUGUCGGUGCUUAGGCUGUUUCUUGGAGGGGUCAUCCUCCGCUGUUCCAUCGCCAUCUCCCUCUUUUGGGGUGCCCACCAUGUAUAUGCCAUACGACAAGGUGGCUUUCCAGGGCCUAGUAGGCGCUGGUUCUUCAUCAUCUCCUUCAUCGGCGUCCAUACCGUUGAUGUCUUUGGAGUCGAAGUCGAGCAUGUCGGUUAAGUCGUCGACAGUGGCUACAAAGUGGGUGGUGGGUGGGCUUUGAAUUUCUUCAUCGUCCGAAUCCCAACCUUGCUGGCCGUAGUCUGGCCAGGGCUCUCCUGAUAAAGAGAGAGACUUCAAUGACUUCAGAAUAUCGCCAAAAAGCGAGUGCUGAAGGAUGUCCGCGGCAGUAAACUCCAUGAUCGGCGCCCAAUCGGAUUCGAUUGGCCGGGCCGCGGAGGGUUCGGAGUCCGGAAUGGAGUCCGGCUCCUUGGAGUCACGAGUCUCGCAGAGUGCGGGGCUGGUUUUCCACUCAAUCACCGUUGGGAUCACAGCCCCCGAGGCGGCGUCCAACCGCCCAUCCUCGAUCGGCGCAGUUGGCUCCGAAUUAAGGAUCGGAGCUGAUGCGGGUGCGGCCUCCAGGGCACUGUUCAGUGGAAGAGCUAGAUCAUGCUCGUCGGGACAGUGCGGCACGCUCGGCAGUGGCUCGAAUCCGUCGAGGAUCAAGUCCCCGCGGAUGUCAGCCGUGUAGUUUAAACUUCCAAAUCUGACCUGACGUCCAGGGGCGUAGCUUUCAAUCUGCUCCACGUGGCCAAGUGAAUUGGCCCGCAGUGCGAAACGGCCGAAGACGAAGAUUUGUCCGGGGAGGAAGGUCUCACCCUGGACUGCGUCGCUAUCGAUGAUCGUAGGAGCCAUCAAGCCUGACGGCGACGACACAGAGGAACUCUCAAUGGAAGCACUAAUGUCGGUGUCAAAACCGGCGAAUCUUGGGUAGGGGGUCCCGAACUGUGCGUCUAGGCUGGAUGGUAACAGGAGGCAAGGGACACAAAGUUUUACCCAGGUUCGUGCCCUCUCGAUGGAGGUAAAACCCUAUGUCCUUCUUGAUUAAUAUUGAUGAUAUGGGUAGUAUAAGAGUAGAUCUACCACGAGAUCAGAGAGGCUAAACCAUAGAAGCUAGCCUAUGGUAUGAUUGUUGAUGUGUAUGUUGUCCUACGGACUAAAACCCUCCGGUUUAUAUAGACACCGGAUAGGGUUAGGGUUACAUAGAGUCGGUUACAAUGGUAGGAGAUCUAAAUGUCCGCAUCGCCAAGCUUGCCUUCCACACCAAGGAAAUUCCCUUCCGGACACGGGACGGAGUCUUCAAUCUUGUAUCUUCAUAGUCCAGGAGUCCGGCUGAAGGUAUAGUUCGGCCAUCCGAACACCCCCUAAUCCAGGACUCCCUCACUUACGCUUUUUGUACUCUGUGUCCAUUUGCAUUUCAUCAUGAUAUCUCUGUUUAUGUUAUGUUAUGUAUGCAUCUGAGUACUUAUUCCGCUGCAAGUAGUUCUUCGCAUAGGAAUUUCCUCACCUUGAAAUUCCUCAGUGAAGAAUUCAUAAAAAUCGCCUAUUCACCCCCCCCCCCUCUAGUCGAUAUAACGCACUUUCACCGUUGCUUUACUCUCCCCCACUUCUAAAACAAUUAUCGAAAAGAUUUGCCUUUUCUUCGCCCUUCUUUCGUUCGUCUUCUCCUCCUGCUUUUCUUGCUCCUAUGGCUAGUCCUCCCAUCCUUGUUAGCACUCCCGAUAAUGAGGUUCUUAACUUGAAAAAAGGGAAGGAGAGAAUUUAAAAGAUAUUUGGCAUUGAAUUUGCAGUGCCCAAAAUAGAUCUACUCAAAAGCAAUCUACUUCCGUCCUUCUUUGCAAUUUUUAUGUAGGCGUUACUCCUUGGAAUAGAUAUGUUCUAGGUACCAUUACUGGGGGGAAUUUCUUGGGGAGCCAUACUUUCGACUCUUACAAUGCCAUGAUAGAUUUGCUAGGCCCACCACCUCUUUUGGUUAAUGUAAGUGUGUUAACCUUGGAACAUGUAAUGCAAAGAUUGGAUAUUACUGAAAAUAAAAUUUCUACAGUGGAGUUGAUUGAAAAUUUGGAUAAAAAGAUUCAUAAUCAGAUUACUCAAUACGGAUCUAAGGUAGGAGUUACUCUAAAGAACCUUAAGGUAAAGGAACCCAUAGUUAAUGAAAAGCACUAGUAGAAAAAGGGUCAAACGUGAAGCACAUUAGUGCUGGUUUGAAUUUGAGCCGACACUAAUGGUACCAUUAGUGCCGGUUCGAACGACUAUGCAUUAAUGUCGGUUCGUGUUGAACCUUUAGUACCAGUUCGUGCCACGAACCGGUACUAAAGGGGUGAUGGCAGGCUGGCGUCAGGCUGGGGCCCCACAAUCACCUUUAGUACCGGUUCAUGGCACAAACCGGUACUAAAGGGCUAACCUUUAGUACCGGUUUGUGCCGCGAACCGGUACUAAAGGGGUCUGACCUAUAGUACCGGUUUGUGACACAAACCGGCACUAUAGGGCAAUUUUCAAACUCUNNNNNNNNNNNNNNNNNNNNNNNNNNNNNNNNNNNNNNNNNNNNNNNNNNNNNNNNNNNNNNNNNNNNNNNNNNNNNNNNNNNNNNNNNNNNNNNNNNNNNNNNNNNNNNNNNNNNNNNNNNNNNNNNNNNNNNNNNNNNNNNNNNNNNNNNNNNNNNNNNNNNNNNNNNNNNNNNNNNNNNNNNNNNNNNNNNNNNNNNNNNNNNNNNNNNNNNNNNNNNNNNNNNNNNNNNNNNNNNNNNNNAGAAAAUGAUAAAAACUUCAAAAAAUAAAAUCCUUCAAGAGGUAGUUAUAUUACUACAUCUACUAGUUAGGAAAAUUUGAAAACUUAAAUUUGGACAUGUUUUGCAAAAAGUGUAGGGAAAAUGUAAAAUGGCUAUAACUUUUGCAUACGAUGUCGGAAAAAAACGUAUAAUAUAUCAAAAAAUUCAGCACAAAAAUCUGCAUCCGUUGGAGACGGCCUAUGGCUUGUUUGCAAUUUUUUAGAAUCCUCAAAUUCCAAAAGGAAUAAAAGAUAUGGUCAAAUUUAAGUUUUUUUAAAUUUUUGUUGUUAAAUCCGGUCAAACUACUUAUUCAAGAAGUAUUAGCGUUACUACAUAAUUAUUCAAGAAUAUUUGUGUUACUAAAUAAUUAUUUCAAUUUUUUGAGUUUUGUUCAAAUCUGGUCAAACUGUGGUCAAACUGUGGUCAAACUAUGGUCAAACUGUGGUCAAACUAUGGUCAAACUUAUUCAAGAAAUAUUAGUGUUACUAAAUAAUUACUGUUUUUUAGAAUAAUAGUUUCAAACUCAAACAGUGAAAUGUGUGACUUCAUGCUCAAGCUAAACUUCUGAGGGUUAAUAGGAUUGGCAUCUUACUAUUGUUAGGAAAACAACAAGUGCAGACUUGGAAACGAAGGAGAAUAGAACCCGAAAGUUAAACAACAAGUGUUAAGCUCGGGCUGUAGUAGUGAGAGGGAUGGGUGACCGGUCGGGAAGUUAGAUGAUUUGGAAUGAGUGAUCCACACUUGAGCAGUUAAGAGAGGUGAUUAGAGACUAAAUCACCAAAUAAUUCAUAAAAAUUAAAAAUUAAAAAAUCAAAAACAAAUUUCCAAAAUUUUCAAAAAAAAAUUCAAAAAAAAAAACCUUUAGUACCGGUUGGUAACACCAACUGGUACUAAAGGUCCCCCAUACCAGGGCGCGAGCUCACGCCACGUGGUGGCACUUUAGCGCUGGUUCGUGCCGAACCGAUACUAAAGGGGGGGGGCCUUUAGUGCCCACCAAUUAGUGUCGGUUAUGGAACCGGCACUAAAGGCCCUUACGAACCGGUUUUAAAGCUCCGUUUUCUACUAAUGAGAUAGAUCAAGAUUCUACUAGAACUGGCAAACUAGAAGAUAUUGUUACCAACUUGGGUUCUACUUUUUCCUCCAUUCAAACUACCCCAAAUCUUCCUCCUAAGAUUGCUAAUCUUGCUUAUGUUCCUAAAUAUAAGGGUGUAUCUUCUAGUAAAAACGAUGAAGAUCUCAAAUCAAUUAGUAUGCACCCCAAUUUUCUCGAUAUUAUUAAAGAACCUAUUGUCACGAAUGAAUUUCUUGAUUUCUUGCUUAGGAGUUUGAUCAUUUAUAAAACUAAAAAAUCCCCUAAGAUUCUCAUUGAAGAAUUGCAUACCGAAGAUGAGAAUACUUAGAUCUAUUCGUGUUUUAUGCCUAGCUAGGGGCGUUAAACAAUAGCGCUUGUUGGGAGGCAACCCAAUUUUCUUUUUCUUUUUUCUUUUUAGGUUCUAUUUUGCAAUAAAUAUUUCUUCUAGCCUCUAUUUAGAUGUGGUUUUAUGUUUAAAUUGGUGUCUAUGCCAAGUAAGACCUUUGGGAUAGCUUACGGUGAUAGUUGAUUUGAUCCUGCUAAAAAACAAAAAAAAUUGUGCCCAGGAGAUUAGUUUUAAUUUUUUACAGAGGUGCGAUAAAAUACUAAUUAUUUUUGCAGAUGAUUAAUAAACAAAUUGCCUAGGACUUCCCAAUUUCUCAGGAUUUUUGGAGUUACAUAAGUAUUCAACAUAUCCAGAUUGCUACAGAUUGUUCUAUUUUUGACAGAUUCUGCUUUUCGCGUGUUGUUUGCUUAUUUUCAUGAAUCCAUGGCUAGUAUCGGGGGUAUGAACCAUGGAAAAGUUGGAAUACAGUAGAUAUUACACCAAUAUAAAUAAAUAAUGAGUUCACAACAGUACCAAAGUGGUGCUUUAUUUUCUUAUACUAACGGAGCUUACGAGAUUUUCUGUUGAAGUUUUAUGUUGUGAAGUUUUCAAGUUUUGGGUAAGCAUUUGAUGGACUAUGAAAUAAGGAGUGGAAAGAGCCUAAGCUUGGGGAUGCCCAAGGCACCUCAAGGUAAUAUUCAGGGAGGCCAAACGGCCUAAGCUUGGGGAUGCCCCGGGAAGGCAUCCCCUCUUUCGUCUUCAUCAAUCGGUAACUUUACUUGAGGCUAUAUUUUUAUUCACCACGUGAUAUGUGUUUCACUUGGAGCAUCUUGUAUUAUUUGAUUCAUUGCUUUCUAGUUUGCCACAAUCAUACUUGUUGUACAAACCUUUUGGGAGAGACACGCAUGAAUUGUGAUUUAUUAGAAUGCUCUAUGUGCUUCACUUAUAUCUUUUGAGCUAGGCAAUUUUGCUCUAGUGCUUCACUUAUAUCUUUUUAGAGCACGAUGGUGGUUUUAUUUCAUAGAACUUGAUGAACUCUUGUACUUCACAUUUAUUACAUUGAGAGCCUUUAGAAUAGCAUGGUAAUUUGCUUUGGUUAUAAAAUUAGUCCUAAUAUGAUAGGCAUCCAAGAGGGAUAUAAUAAAAACUUUCAUAUAGAGUGCAUUGAAUACCAUGAGAAGUUUGAUUCCUUGUGAUUGUUUUGAGAUAUGAAGAUGGUGAUAUUAUAGUCAUGCUAGUGAGUAGUUGUGAAUUUGAGAAAUACUUGUGUUAAGGUUUGUGAGUCUCGUAGCAUGCACGUAUGGUGAACCGUUAUGUAAUGAAGUUGGGGCAUGAGAUGUUUUUUUAUUGUCUUCCUUAACGAAGUUGAACCGCGAUGGUCUUUUCCUACCAAUCUAUCCCCCUAGGAGCAUGCGUGUAGUACUUUGUUUUGAUGACUAAUAGAUUUUUGCAAUAAGUAUGUGAUUUCUUUAUGACUAAUGUUGAGUCCAUGGAUUAUACGCACUCUCACAUUUCCGUCAUUGCUAGCCUAUCUAGUACCGCGCAACUCUCGCCAGUACCAUACAACCACCACAUAUCCUUCCUCGAAACAACCACCAUGCCGAGAUAUAUUGCCAUGCAACUUUCCACUGUUCUGUCUAUUAUGACACGUUCCAUCAAUGUCAUAUUGCUUUGCAUGAUCAUGGAGUUGACAUCGUAUUUGUGGCAAAGCCACCGUUCAUCAUUUUUUAUACAUGUCGCUCUUGAUUCAUUGCACAUCCCGGUACACUACCGGAGGAAUUCACAUAGAGUCAUUUUUUUCUAGUAUCGAGUUGUAACUAAAUAAAAGUGUGAUGAUCUUCACUACUAGAGCAUUGUCCCAUGUGAGGAAAUAAAAAAAGGGAGAAAGUCCAAAUAAAAAAAUAAGAAGGCCCAAAAAAAGAAAAAAAAAAUGAGAGAAAAAGAGAGAAGAGACAAUGUUACUAUCCUUUUUGCCACAUUUGUGCUUCAAAGUAGCACCAUGAUCUUCAUGAUAGAGAGUCUCCUAUGAUAUCACUUUCAUAUACUAGUGGGAAUUUUUCAUUAUAGAGCUUGGCUUGUAUAUUCCAACGAUGGGCUUCCUCAAAAUGCCCUAGGUCUUCAUAAGCAAGCAAGUUGGACGCACACCCACUUAGUUUUCUUUUUUUGAGCUUUCAUAAACUUAUAGAUCUAGUGCAUCCAUUGCAUGGCAAUCCCUACCCACUAACAUUGAUAUCUAUUAAUUGGCAUCUCCAUAGCCCAUUGAUAUGCCUAGUUGAUGUGAGACUCUCUCCUUCUUCUUUUUCUCCACAACCACUGUCUAUUCCACCUAUAGUGCUAUGUCCAUGGCUCACGCUCAUGUAUUGCGUGAAAGUUGAACAGGUUUGAGAACAUCAAAAGUAUGAAACAAUUGCUUGGCUUGUCAUCGCGGUUGUGCAUGAUUUGAAUAUUUGUUAUGAUGAAGAUGGAGCAUAGCCAGACUAUAUCACUUUGUAGGGAUAAGCUUUCUUUGGCCAUGUUAUUUUGAGAAGACAUAAUUAUUUUGUUAGUAUGCUUGAAGUAUUAUUGUUUUUAUGUCAAUAUUAAACUUUUGUUUUAAAUCUUAUGGAUCUGGACAUUCAUGCCACAAUAAAGAGAAUUACAUGGGUAAAUAUGUUAGGUAGCAUUCCACAUCAAAAAUUCUAUUUUUAUCAUUUACCUACUCGAGGACGAGCAGUAAUUAAGCUUGGGUAUGCUUGAUUUGUAUCCAAAGUAAUAAUUUUUUAUUGUUCCAUGCUAUUAUAUUAUCUAUUUUGGAUGUUUUAUAUGCAUUAAUAUGCUAUUUUAUAUGAUUUUUGCGACUAACCUAUUGACCUAGAGCCCAGUGCCAGUUCUUGUUUUUCCUUGUUUUAGAGUUCCAAAAGGGUGGAGGGCGCGCCCCCCGACCAGAAGACACCCAGGAGACUUGGAGUGCAAGUCAGAAGAGCCACGAGGCGGCCACAAGGGUGGAGGGCGCGCCCCCCGACCUUGUGGGCCCCUCACUGACCCCCUGACCUAGAUCUUCCCCCUAUAUAUUCUCAAAUACAUUGAAAAAUUCUAGGGGAGCCACGACGCCACUUUUCCACCGCCGCAACCUUCUGUACCCAUGAGAUCCCAUCUCGGGUCCUUUUCCGGCAUCCUACCGGAGGGGGAUUCGAUCACGGAGGGCUUCUACAUCAACAUCAUUGCCCCUCCGAUGAAGCGUGGGUAGUUUACCACUAAUCUACGGGUCCAUAGUUAGUAUCUAGAUGGGUUCUUCUCUCUCUUUGAUUCUCAAUACCAUGUUCUCCUCGAUGUUCUUGGAGAUCUAUUCGAAGUAAUACUCUUUUGCGUUGUGUUUGCCGAGAUCCGAUGAAUUUUGGAUUUAUGAUCAACUUAUCUAUGAAUAUUAUUUGAAUCUCCUUUGAAUUCUUAUAUGCAUGAUUUGAUAUAUUUGCAAGUCUCUUCGAACUAUCGAUUUGGUUUGGCCAACUAGAUUGGUUUUUCUUGCAAUGGGAGAAGUGCUUAGCAUUGGGUUCAAUCUUGCGUUGUCCUUUCCCAGUGAUAGUAGGGGCAGCAAGGCACGUAUUAUAUUGUUUCCAUCGAGGAUAACAAGAUGGGGUUUUCCUUAUAUUGCUUGAGUUAAUCCCGCUACAUCAUGUCGUAUUACUUAACGCGUUACUCUAUUCUUAUGUACUAAAUACUCUAGAUGCAGGCAUGAGUCGGUCGAUGUGUGGAGUAAUAGUAGUAGAUGCAGAAUCGCUUAGGCCUACUUGACACGGACGUGAUGCAUAUAUUCAUGAUCAUUGCUUUAGAUAUCGUCAUAACUUUGCGCUUUUCUAUCAAUUGCUCGGCAAUAAUUUUUCACCCACCGUAAUAAUUUCUAUCUUGAGAGAAGCCUCUAGUGAAACCUAUGGCCCCCGGGUCUAUUUUCCAUCAUAUAAGUUUCUGAUCUAUAAUUUUAGUCAAUUUACUUCCUUUGCAAUCUUUUACUCUCCGUUACAUGAACCAAAAAUACCAAAAAUAUUACUUUACCGUUGAUCCAUCUAUAUCAGAUCUCACUUUGCAAUUAACCGUGAAGGGAUUGACAACCCCUUUGUCGCGUUGGGUGCAAGUUGGUGUUUGUUUGUGCAGGUAUUCGGUGGCUUGUUGUGUUGUCUCCUACUGGAUUUAUACCUUGGUUCUCAAAACAGAGGAAAAUACUUACUCUACUUUGCGGCAUCACCCUUUCCUCUUCAAGGGAAAAAUUAACGCAAGCACAAGAGGUAGCAGUAUGCAAGUCAAGGACUACCAGAAUCUACUCUAAAAAUAUUUUCUUAAUUUAGAUACAAAGGAAUCAGUGGUAGAUGGGUUGAUCUAUAUUUUGAAUAAACAUCCAACUUUGGAUAGAAUUAAACUGAAAAAAUAGUUUGGCAAUACAUUCUAGUAAAAUAGGCAUGUCCUAGUAAUAAGAUGCAUGUGCCUCUUCACAGAAACCUUCCAUAUAGUUUCUCCAGCGAUUGACGAGAAAUUUCGUAUUGAUUGACGAAAUAUGCGGUCUUAGGAAGUAAAUGUAAAAGUUUUAGAUAUAUACCAAAGUUAUAGCUGGGCACAAUUAAGUUUGGCCCCGAAAUCUAUCAUAUCCUCCAUCGACAUGGUUCCAGCUUCCUCAUCCUAGCAAGCCCGCCACUAUAAAUCCACCCUACGUUCCUUGCUUCUGACUCACCCAAACUAGCAAUUUUCCUUCCUUUGCAGAUUUUCCCCUUAGCUGACAAUGGCUCGCAAGAAGGUGGCCCUCCGGUAUAUCCGCAAUGACUCGACGCGGCUCAAUACCUUGAAGAAGCGUACCAAGAACCUGAUGAAGAAGGCCGGUGAGGUGGCCACCUUGUGCAAUGCCAAGGCCUGCGUGCUGGUGUAUGGUGAGGGCGCAAUGGUGCCAGAGGUGUUCCCAUCCCAUGCCGAGGCGAUGGCUAUCCUAAGUCGGUUCGAGAGCAUGCCAGAGGUGCCACAGCUAAAGAAGAAGAUGGACCAGGAGACCAUUCUUAGCCGGUGCCUCAUACAACUCCGACAUCAGGUAGAGAAGAUUAGGUGCGAGCGCGAGGAUCGUGAGGCCAGGAUUCUCUUGCACAAGGCCAUGGUCAGUGGACACCUCCCAGGAAACAUCGAGGAGCUCACAACCAUGGCCCGGAAGUUAGAGUUAAUCCUUAAGAGCCUGAGGGAGCGCAUCACGAAAAUAACUGGGCAGCCGCCAGUCUACCAAGCCCAGGCGCCAUAUGUCACCGGCGGCAUGGACAUGGGGUCUCCGAUGUAUCAGGCAUUGCGACAGCAGCAGGAGGGAUGGCUUGACAUGGCGAGGUCCCAAGGGAACCCCGACACCCAGAUCUACAAUGGACACAGUACUAGUCUAUGAAUAUGUAAGAAGGGAGAGGAAUUCCACAGGUAGUGCAUGACCAGCUACAUGUGUCAUCUUUUUUUAUUUAGUUUUGGAAUGGUUAAUAAGAUGGAUGGAUUACCUGCAAAAAAAUAAGAUGUGUACAUGACAUAUCAUCAAUAAGAUCAGACAUUUGGUCUCAAUGUUCCUGUUUUAGUAAAGGCAAUUUUAGUCAUGGUUAUUGUUAUUAUGGAUCUCUUCCAUGCUCUAUUUGUUUCAUGAGUUAGUUGCAACAUUGAGGUUGUACCUAUUCUUUAUGUCAACUUGUUUUGUCAAGUUUAAUUUUUUGUUGACUCUUAGCACUGCAUCAAGUGAUCCAACUAUGAAGAGUUACCUCUUGGCUUCUGCAUAGCAAGAUGCACACUGCCUAUGCAGAUCCUUAAUAGUUGUAGGGAAACCUGAGCACAUGUAUUGUUUGAGGAAACCUCUUGUGUACUAAAACAUUUGCACUACUACAUUUCAUUCUCGAAACGUGUGAUUAUAACAUUGAGUGCUAGGACGUUGGCCUCUACACCAGCAACGUCUUGGGAAAGUUUCACAAGCAGGUGACUGUGUUGACCAGUUUCAUCAUUAAUCAAGUCCCAUGCCACUCCGGAGAGAGCAUUGUGUUUGAGCUAUACUCAAGCUACUAUCAGAGCCCCAAACUCUAUUGGGCGCAUCCUGUGAUGGGAGAUGCAGUAUAUGAAUGCAGUUCCCACUACUUUGAAAAUGAAUGGUGAGAUUUGUGCACACAUAAUUAGGCCGAUGGUGCACCCAAAUGUGUUCAUUCCACUGUGAUACUUUCUAGGGAGGUGGUCAAAAGCAGCAACAGCAAACGUCGAAGGCGUUGGGCACCUGCUGAACUUUGGACUGACUGAAUGGGUAUUAUAACUUUUUUCCCCAAAACAAUUCCCACUCAGCCUGUCCCACCUAUUGCUAUUUGCAGGACCCUAGGAGAACUAGCAAACAAGAGGAGAAGUGUAUAUAAUAUGCAAAAUUACAACAUCGUGUACCAUAGUCACUCUUUAUAUAUGUAGUCCUUUCUAGAACAAAUCCAGCUCAAAGGAUUUCCAUUUUCAAAGCACAUGAAAUAAAAUGCACUAGCAUGUGUCAAGUACAUUAUGGAUGCUGAAAUGCAUAUAAUGUGGAUGCAAAUAGAAACAUAACCUCGAAACAUCAGUAAGUAGUAGCGCUACCUCAAUCGAGCUAUUUUCUUAGUGUAUGCCUAUUUUCUAAGUAUCGUUUUUCCGGUACUCGACAAACGCGUCAUUUCAUGAGUGCGAGAAAGAAAAUACUCAGAAACCACAAGACACACGACAAGCAUGGGCCUUCACUAAGUGGCACAAAGAAAAAGACUCGGCAAAGAGAAAACACACGGCAAAAGCUGAAUAGGGCACUUGGCAAAUCCCAGAGAUAUGUGCCCUUUACCGCCGCAAAUGAUUGUUGGGGAACGUAGUAAAUUCAAAAAAAAUUCCUAUGCACACGCAAGAUCAUGGUGAUGCAUAGCAACGGGAGGGGAGAGUGUGAUCUACGUACCCUUGUAGAUCGACAACGGAAGCGUUUGGUUGAUGUAGUCGUACGUCUCCACGGCCCGACCGAUCAAGCACCGAAACUACGGCACCUCCGAGUUUUAGCACAUGUUAAGCUCGAUGACGAUCCCCGGACUCUGAUCCAGCAAAGUGUCGGGGAAGAGUUCCGUCAGCACGACAGCGUGGUGACGAUCUUGAUGUACUACUGUCGCAGGGCUUCGCCUAAGCACCGCUACAAUAUUAUCGAGGACUAUGGUGGAAGGGGGCACCGCACACGGCUAAGAAUAUGAUCAUGUGGAUCAACUUGUGUUCCUCUGGGGUGCCCCUGCCUCCGUAUAUAAAGGAUCUAGGGGGGGGGGGUGCGGCCGGCCUAGGAGAGGCGCGCCAGGAGGAGUCCUACUCCCUCUGGGAGUAGGAUUCCCCCCCCUCCCCCAAUCCUAGUUGGAAUAGGAUUCGCAGAGGGGGGAAAAGAGAGAGGGGGGCCGGCCCCCUCUCCUUGUCCUAUUCGGACCAAGGGAGGGGAGGGGCGCGCGGCCCAUCUUGGGGUGCCCCUUCUCUUUUCCACCAAGGCCCACUAAGGCCCAUAUAGCUCCCGGGGGGUUCCGGUAACCUCCCGGUACUCCGGUAAAAUCCCGAUUUCACCCGGAACACUUCUGAUAUCCAAAUAUAGGCUUCCAAUAUAUCAAUCUUUAUGUCUCGACCAUUUCGAGAUUCCUCGUCAUGUCCGUGAUCACAUCCGGGACUCCGAACAACCUUCGGUACAUCAAAACGUAUAAACUCAUAAUAUAACUAUCAUCGAAACCUUAAGCGUGCGGACCCUACGGGUUCGAGAACAAUGUAGACAUGACCGAGACAUGUCUCCGGUCAAUAACCAAUAGCGGAACCUAGAUGCUCAUAUUGGUUCCUACAUAUUCCAUCGGCCAGACCGCAUAACAACAUACGUUGUUCCCUUUGUCAUCGGUAUGUUACUUUCCCGAGAUUCGAUCGUCGGUAUCCAAUACCUUGUUCAAUCUCGUUACCGGCAAGUCUCUUUACUCGUUCUGUAAUACAUCAUCUCGCAACUAACUCAUUAGUUACAUUGCUUGCAAGGCUUAAGUGAUGUGCAUUACCGAGAGGGCCCAGAGAUACCUCUCCGAUGAUCGGAGUGACAAAUCCUAAUCUCGAAAUACGUCAACCCAACAUGUACCUUUGGAGACACCUGUACAGCACCUUUAUAAUCACCCAGUUACGUUGUGACGUUUGGUAGCACACAAAGUGUUCCUCCGGCACACGGGAGUUACAUAAUCUCGUAGUCAUAGGAACAUGUAUAAGUCAUGAAGAAAGCAAUAGCAACAUACUAAACGAUCGGGUGCUAAGCUAAUGGAAUGGGUCAUGUCAAUCAGAUCAUUCAACUAAUGAUGUGAUCCCGUUUAAUCAAAUGACAACUCUUUGUCUAUGGUUAGGAAACAUAACCAUCUUUGAUUAACGAGCUAGUCAAGUAGAGGCAUACUAGUGACACUUAGUUUGUCUAUGUAUUCACACAUGUAUUAUGUUUCCGGUUAAUACAAUUCUAGCAUGAAUAAUAAACUUUUAUCAUGAUAUAAGGAAAUAAAUAAUAACUUUAUUAUUGCCUCUAGGGCAUAUUUCCUUCAGUCUCCCACUUGCACUAGAGUCAAUAAUCUAGAUUACACAGUAAUGAUUCUAACACCCAUGGAGCUUUGGUGCUGAUCAUGUUUUGCUCGUGGAAGAGGCUUAGUCAACGGGUCUGCUAUAUUCAGCUCCGUAUGUAUCUUGCAAAUCUCUAUGUCUCCCACCUGGACUAGAUCCCGGAUGGAAUUGAAACGUCUCUUGAUGUGUUUGGUCCUCUUGUGAAAUCUGGAUUCCUUUGCCAAGGCAAUUGCACCAGUAUUGUCACAAAAGAUUUUCAUUGGACCCGAUGCACUAGGUAUGACACCUAGAUCGGAUACGAACUCCUUCAUCUAGACUCCUUCGUUUGCUGCUUCCGAAGCAGCUAUGUACUCCGCUUCACAUGUAGAUCCCGCCACGACGCUUUGUUUAGAACUGCACCAACUGACAGCUCCACCGUUUAAUGUAAACACGUAUCCGGUUUGCGAUUUAGAAUCGUCCAGAUCAGUGUCAAAGCUUGCAUCAACGUAACCUUUUACGAUGAGCUCUUUGGCACCUCCAUAUACGAGAAACAUAUCCUUAGUCCUUUUCAGGUAUUUCAGGAUGUUCUUGACCGCUGUCCAGUGAUCCACUCCUGGAUUACUUUGGUACCUCCCUGCUAUACUUAUAGCAAGGCACACAUCAGGUCUGGUACACAGCAUUGCAUACAUGAUAGAGCCUAUGGCUGAAGCAUAGGGUACACCUUUCAUUUUCUCUCUAUCUUCUGCAGUGGUCGGGCAUUGAGUCUGACUCAACUUCACACCUUGUAACACAGGCAAGAAACCUUUCUUUGCUUGAUCCAUUUUGAACUUCUUCAAAAUCUUGUCAAGGUAUGUGCUUUGUGAAAGUCCAAUUAAGCGUUUUGAUCAACCUCUAUAGAUCUUUAUGCCUAAUAGGUAAGCAGCUUCACCGAGGUCUUUCAUUGAAAAACUCUUAUUCAAGUAUCCCUUUAUGCUAUCCAGAAAUUCUUUAUCAUUUCCAAUCAGUAAUAUGUCAUCCACAUAUAAUAUCAGAAAUGCUACAGAGCUCCCACUCACUUUCUUGUAAAUACAGGCUUCUCCGAAAGUCUGUAUAAAACCAAAUGCUUUGAUCACACUAUCAAAUCGUUUAUUCCAACUCCGAGAGGCUUGCACCAAUCCAUAAAUGGAUUGCUGGAGCUUGCACACUUUGUUAGCUCCCUUUGGAUCGACAAAACCUUCUGGUUGCAUCAUAUACAACUCUUCUUCUAGAAAUCCAUUCAGGAAAGUAGUUUUGACAUCCAUCUGCCAAAUUUCAUAAUCAUAAAAUGCGGCAAUUGCUAACAUGAUUCGGACAGACUUAAGCAUCGCUACGGGUGAGAAGGUCUCAUCGUAGUCAACCCCUUGAACUUGUCGAAAACCUUUUGCGACAAGUCGAUCUUUGUAGACAGUAAUAUUACCGUCAGCGUCAGUCUUCUUCUUGAAGAUCCAUUUAUUCUCAAUUGCUUGCCGAUCAUCGGGCAAGUCAACCAAAGUCCAUACUUUGUUCUCAUACAUGGAUCCCAUCUCAGAUUUCAUGGCUUCAAGCUAUUUUGCGGAAUCUGGGCUCACCAUCACUUCUUCAUAGUUCGUAGGCUCAUCAUGAUCUAGUAGCAUGAUUUCCAGAACAGGAUUACCGUACCACCACUACUAGAAAUACCACUACUAAUGGCGCACCUAAUAUGGCCAUUAAUGGCGCAUCACUUGUGCGCCAUUGAUAGCACGCCAUUAGUAAUUUUUACUAAUGGCGCACCACCUGGUGCGCCAUUAGUAUCUGGUAUACUAAUGGCGCACCACCUGGUGCGCCAUUAGUAUAUGCGAGGGUGCGCCAUUAGUAUGCCUCCCAGGGGGCAUGUAUACCCAGGUGCUUUGGCAUACUAAUGGCGCACCACCUCUGGAUGCGCCAUUAGUAACCGCAGCAUACUAAUGGCGCACUACCCGGUGAUGCGCCAUUAGUAUGCACUGUCAUACUAAUGGCGCACUGUCGUGUGAUGCGCCAUUAGUAUGAAUAUUAGGUUUUUUUUUAUUUUUUUAUUUUCUGUUUUUUGCACAGGUUACAAAAUGUAUAAUUUGACAAAAUAUAGACAACACACAUCAACAAUAGAUUCAUCAAAUACAAUAGAAGAUUAGUCUUUGAAUACAAUUCAUCAUAUUAGUCUCCGAAUACAAUUCAUCAUAUUAGUCUCCGAAUUAAAAAGACCGAACAAAGAUAGAACAUUAUAUUACAAGUCUCGAGACCGCGAGUAGCGAGUUUGUCUUCGCAUUACAAGUCGAUAUCGAUCAUCUAAACUACCAUCACAUAGAAGAGAGCUGCGGUCAUCAUGAUGAGCAUCAUCACGAUGAAACUCGUCUUCAUCCGGUUCCUCCAACGCUCCCUCCCCUCUCCCGCUAGAUAGCGGGCGUAUCUAGAUUCGGCCUCGGCCCUAGUGGUGUACCCUUUGUAACUGUUACCGCUGAAUUGGUGAACCUGUCUCCGACACUCCUCCCAGUCAUCGUAGACUCCGGGAACCUUACCCUUGUACACGACAUACGUCGGCAUCGCUAUGCACUAGCCAAACGAAACGUUAGUACCAAUUCACAAACAAUACAUAAGCAAUAUAUAAUUAUGCAACAGAACGAUCGGAAGAGAAAAGCAAGACAUUAAUAGCAUCGAUUACAUCUAAGUUGAACGACUCUCGAAACCAAAGAGACAUACUACAAGUUCAUUAAAUUUUAAUUACAACAUGAGCCAAUCGAUGUUUCAGAACUAGACAACUCGACUCAAGGGACCGGAGCGUGGAUGAAGCCGCCGUCUAUCGUGGGAGUCAUGAAAGAACGGGCGUUGUCAUCCUGCAUUUGUAGCAUUGUGUCGAUGUCACUGUUGGACGGUUAAUUUCUGAGGUAGAACUGCCCCGAGGUACGAAGGACAUCUUGAUGGAUGAUUUCCGCAAACUCCGACUGGAUGCGAAAGAAUUCUUGUCGGAGGUCCGCGUCCUGGAUUGCCGACACGCUCGCGGCCCAAUCUUGGAGUUUACUCGGUAGCAGAAGUUGAUGAUGGUCCCGUACGAUCGCCCGCAUGUGAUGGAUGGCGUAGUAGGCACCCUUCUGACCGCCAGGCGGCUGCUUGACGCAGCAGAACGUCGUAUUGUGGGAGAACACGUGCUUGCCGUACUUACGAAUAGGCCUGGUGAAGGUGCCUCCAGAUUGGGCGUAGCCGGGGAGAACAUCAUCAAGAACCUUCUUGACAUUUGUGUAGUCUACGUUCGACUGACGGUCCGGGUCGAAAUACGUGGCCAUGGAAUAUUUGGGGCUUAGGAGGAUGAGCGUGCAACGUGUGUCACUGCAGAAAACACGGAAUGUUAAAAGAAAAACGAUCGAAAAGUAAGAAUUCAUAUGUUACGGGCCGGUUGAGGGGAGGACUUACUCGGGAAAGUAAGGCACGAGGAAGUUAUCCUUAUCUUGGUUUGCCAGAAUGACGCCUUCGAGGUAAGAACUCGCGACUUGCCGGUCCCCAGUGCUGCCCAAGAUCUUGGCACGCAUGUAGAAGGGGUCGACUAUCACGAUGUCCGGGGUCUUGUCGCGAAUGAUCCGCAUCUCCAUACUCAGCGAAAAUAGCCGAACGAAGGUGUAGUGCAGCGGAUGAAGGUUAAACAUAGCAAAGAUGUCAUCAAACCGCAGGACGAUCGUACCCCCAAUGUCGCCAUCCACAAAGCCCUUGCCCUCUGGCACCUUGGCCACGAAAACCGGGUAUGCCACAUCCUUCUCUCUGAGACACCACUUCUCCAAAGAAAGAACACUGUCGUGCAGACUCCGCAUAGCACCGGUUGCAGCAUUGAGCAUAUUUGGUGGUAGCAUCGCCCUACCCGCCACAUGCACCCUCCUCGAGAUAUCUUGCGGUGAAGGUGGCCCGUCCUGAGCAUGGAUCGUACUCGGUGCCGGCUGGCUCGCACCCUUCUUAGUCUUUCUUUUGCGUGCCUUCUUCUUCUCCUGUAAUGGGACCGAGUUCUGCUCACAGACCGCCUUCUUGAGUGUGUUGGGGCAGAUAAUAUUUCGCACCUCGCCUAUCUGAGGCUCGGUGAAGUCGGCAGCUGGAGGCGUCUCCUGAGAGCUGAACGCCAGACGGCGCCUGUUGCAACUUGGCUUCUCCGUGGUACGAGCUAGAUCGCACACGUCUUUUGUUGGGUUUGGUUCUUGAGAAGGAGGCCCCAUGAAGUCGCCAUCGUACCCAUGCUCGGCAAAGUACUGAUCGACAUUGCCAAAUGUAUCAUCGUCGUCGUCGUCGUCAUUCUGAUCCUGUGCCAUAUGCAUGUUUGGAUCAAGUGGCAUAGGGAUGUCCGGCACCGUUACGGCGGUCUUGCCAUGGGGCCGACUUGGCGCCGGCACGACUGGCGGUGUUGUCUUUGGGGUGGUGUCCCCCGCCCCCAAACGAAUCUGGCUCUUCGGCCAAAGCAGGGGCCAGCUCAGGCAGGCGCUGAGGGUCAUCACGUCAUCAUCGUCGGCCCUGACGGGUCGAAUCGGAGGUAACAAGUCGUCGCAGCCUGGCAGCACCCGAACCAGUUGAACCCUAAACAAGUUGGGUGACAUCUGGGUACCGUGGAACAAGGGGUUGCCCGGUUGAACGAUUUUGCCCUUGGCGACAUCGACCAACUCGUUGUUCACGAAGUGGAGGAGAGUGCACGGAACGUCGGCGGCGCCCUGCGAAAACAUGUAGGGCGUUAGGGAUGCCCAGUCAAAGGCAAGGAGAUGAAGUCCUCGGCCGAGAGAGGCUUAAUUAGUUACCGUGAUGAUGGCGUCGAGCUCGGCUAAUGUCGAGGCACCGCCAACGGCGGGCGUGCAGUUGACGGAGCGGCCGCUUGCUGAAGAGGUGCCGGCCGGCGUACACCCGGGUGCAUUAAGCUCCCGUGCCGGCGUCGGAGACACCAAUGCCGCCUCCGCCGGAGGCACCAAUGGCCCCGCCAUCGCAUUAUGCGAGUUGCUGGCCGUGAAGCUAGGAAUCGGGGGCGGCCCCUGUUGGCCGCCCGCAAUCCACGCACUCAACCCCGAGAUCAAGGUAGGCACAAGGGCGGUGAUCGUCGCUCCGAGUCGUUGUUCCACUUGCUCUUGGACAAUCUCCGGAAUCCGCGCCACCUGUGCCUUGAGUUCUUGAACCUCUCGCGCCUGGCUUUCCGAACUGGUCUUUUUCUCCUUCCGCACACCAGCGGUAUAGUAUGACCCCCAUUUUGUCGACAAGCCUUUGCCGGCCACACGACCAGCUGACGUCGGCUUACUGAGCUUAUCCUUGUUCUUCAUUAUAUUCAACCCCCUAUUUAGAGUGGUGUCCCAAGGGUUGCUCUUAGUCGACCCCGCGCUACUGCUUUCAGUCGCCUGCGGAAGGAAUGUGAACCAUUUAGAAAUUCGGCUUCAUUAAUUAGAAUGCAACCAUAUGGAGCUAAUUACGCGGGGGUGUAUUCCUUACCAGAACAAGCUCAAGCCGCCUGGUCUUCGGAUCCGUGGUAAGCUCCUUUGUUUUCGGGUCCUUCUUGUACCGGGCCCUGACAAAGUUCCUGGUCUGCUUGUCACCGUAUUUAUCGAAGAGGGGCGGUAGGCCUUGCUCGGCACGGUCCGCCUCCUCCUUGUCCCAUAUAGGCUCCGCCACUCUGUAACCGCCGGGACCGAGUGUGUGUUCCCCUAUGUUCAGCUCCCGCAUUUGUUUCCCCCACUCACUUGAUUGGGAGCUUGUGGUGCUCGAGCAAUUGAUCUUGAAGUCGUUGUAGUCAUCUUCGGUGAUCGAAGGAUUUUUCUCCUUGAUCUUCUCAUAACUCUCACCUUUCUCGAUCAUUCUCUUCACAUUGCUUUUCCAAGUAGACAGGGCCUUGCUCAUCUUCGUGAGGGCAGCAUUGUUCACUUUAUUCCCUUUGAGGCUUGUGUUUUCGAAUUCAGCGGGGAACUUGUAUCGUUCGUGCAGCUUCGUGAAGAGGAGGUGGCGCAAAUUCCCCCGGUCAGGAUGCCUCAGGUUCUCGGUGUUGAUCGAGACGGUGCUCCGGACAAUGCACCCGAGCUGAAGCGAGUACCCCUUGACUAUUCGUUCGGGCGCCGUUGGAUUCCCGUUGGAGUCCACUUCAGUAACUUCCUCCUUGAGGGUGCGGAGCACGAUCGGGCACCGGUCCUUCCGUUGCCUCUUCGGCUGGCUGCUAUCUGUGCGUGCGCCGCCAUCAUCAGUGGUGGCAUCCUCGGCGGCACCAUCAGUGGUGGCAUCAGUGUGGUCAUCCUCGGCGGCACCAUCCGUGGUCUCAGGAUCGGUGGGGAAGGCGGCGGCCUCAUACAAGUGAGGUUGUUCCUCCAUCUCCUGGGACAGCUCCCAGAAUGCCUUGCCGCCCGAACCCCCGGCCUCAUCGUUGUGGGCCAUGUUUCUCUCUAAAUAGAAACAAAGUUUGGUCAAAAAGUUGGUUAUUGUCAAGGAACAAGAUCAUGGUCUCAUCAUUUAGGGUUUGUCGACACCGAGGCAUCCUAAAAUCUAAGCUUUUAUCAUUGAGGGUUUUUCGACGCCAAGGCACCCUAAAAGCCUAACUUUUCAUCAUUUCGGUUUUUAUCGACACCGAGGCACCCUAAAAGCCAUGCAUUAGUCACAAGUACGCUGGGGCACUUGAUCCUACUUAAUUAACUACUAAGAUACCCCAGCCCAUGCAUUAGUCACAAGUACCCCAUAUGUCCUAUUUUUAGCAAAGUCAUGCUAAAAUUCACGGAAAAUUUCAGCAUGCCCUUUGCUGAAAAUAGGACAUAUGGAGUACCCGAAUUUGCCGGAACGGAAGUUAAUCGACAUUCCGGCAAACUCAAGGGCCUCUCGGGGUACCUGCAAAAUCAUCACGACACGAUGGUCGGAGACAAAACCCAGCAAACUAGCAAAAUCAUCACAAAUUGUUUUCUGUUAAAGAUGAUCAUCAUCUUUACAAGUCUUUCUCAAUGUGAUCACAAGUAAUUCAGAGGCAUCACAAGUAAUUCAGAGCAUCACAAGGCAUUAGUAGUUCAGUACAUGAACAAGUUUUACAAACCCAUAUAAGAACAAGUGAAUUAUAGUCCCAUUGACACUCCUGGUUUUCUACAAACACCAAGUACUAGGGCACACAAAAGUUCUGAAAUUUGUGUGCCUAACUGAAUUAACUGAAUUUUCAGUAACCGAAUAAACUGAAUUUUCAAAACUGCAUUUUCAAAACUGCAAGAAUACAAUCAAGAAAAAUCCAACAGCACUAGAACUGAGCUGAUUGACAGUAGUUUUGUUCACUGUUAUGUUGGCCUAACUGGAUGUUGGCUAUCUUUUAUAGUGUCUCUGUUACAUGCCAGUUUGGUCAUUGCUAACUCUUUAUGUAACUGAUAUUUUGAUUCCUGAACCCCCGAUAUGCUAUUGUGGUUAAUCCUAAGAGAAGAUUUUGAACAAUGAGAAGUCCAUGGAUAUGUUGUGUUUCUGACUUCCGUUGAGGAUCAUGGAAAUUGGAUAUGUGAGUGGUCGGUGGACCAACUUUUCACUAAAAAUAACAGAAGAGUCCUUUGUUUUCCACUAAAAUUAUCAGUGUCAUCUGGUUUCAUGGCAAUAUUUAUCUAGCAUGUUCCGUAUUGAUUUCAUUGUAUUUUCUGUUCCAUCAUAUUUCAGUUAGUACUAAGGUUGUUUUUUUAGGGAACUCAGUUAGUACUCAGUUUACAGAAACGGUUCGAUGUCUAUCAUAUACAACCAUUUUCCCUGUUAUAAAAGACAUGAAAGAUCACAACAAUAUUGAUCUGAAAAGAAUAGAAAAAAAAGUGAAAUAGUAUGUAUGCAGUGGUGAUUCUACCUUGCUUUCUCAGCCGUGGGUGAUGAAGUGCCUCUGUUCUGUUGUGUCUGCAGUGGUAUGGAGAUGAAUGAAUUGGUAUUAGGUUCAAAUAUGAUCGAUGGAUACUCUAACUGUCCCAGAAAUAUUGAGUUUACUUGAUCAAAAUUGGAGGUUAAGAUAGCUUGAAUUUUUCGCUGGGAUUAGACUUACGUUUUAUUCAAAAAUUCCAGCUAACUCUCUCUCUCAAACAAAAGAAAAAUGAAUCUAAUUAGUCUGUUGUAAAUUUUCUGCUGCACUUGUGCACAUAAGUUAUUCAUUUAACCGUCACAACCACAAAUGCCAAAUUUUCAACUCCUAGCAAGAAGAAAAGGAAGUUCACUUGGUUAAAUGGAACCAUGGUUCGCCUACCUUGAAAUUGAUGUACCAGGAGGCUAGGAGGAUGCCUUUAGAUGUUUGGUUUUGGUGAGCCACCAAUAAAAGCUUGCUGAUGGGAUGCAAAGACUAAGGUAAAGAAUUGUCAACUGUUUAAGUGAGGUAGAAGGUUAUGCCUACUGUACUGCCAGCUUAAAUAUAAUGCCUAGUUCAUCAAAAAGAAAAAUGUAAUGCCUAAGAUCCACUAUCCUGAACCAUCUUAGAACAAUUACUGCUGUCGAUAUUUUUUAGUUUCAAACUUCAAAAUGAUAGCUAUACUGUUCUGAAUUUUUAGGAUAUCAGCAGUUGUUCAAGAGAUUUUUCCAAAAAUUCAAGCAAUUGUACCAAAUUUUGAAAGAGAUUUUUCCAAUUUAUAUUUAAAUAGAAUUGGGGUAUAUACCUUGGAAUCCUCCUAAUGGAAACACCACUAACUGGCGUCUCUAUUUCAGUUGUGGCCCCGGGCAAGAAUUGUACCAAUUGUUUCCCUGUAAAUACAAGUAAAGAAGGUUCACUAUAAAUAACAGUAUGUGAUGAGCAUGUCAAAGGUUGCAUAGUGGAGUCCUCUCGAUAUAUACUAUUCACAACAAUGUGCGUGCUAGAACACCAUUACCACACGGUUCAUGGCAAGCUGCUUACGUGAGUCUGAACCCCGUUCCCCUGAAUCUGUCGGGAUUUGUGGGGUUAAUGGAACCAAUGUUUGUCAUUAUAAGUUAUGAAAGGCUAUUAUUGUACCCAACUUGUUUAAUGCAGCAAUGUGCGAUGCUAGAACACCAUUAUCAUCAAUGGUGAGAUGUUAUUCUCUACCAGUUGGUAGAAGAUCGAACUCAUAGGCAGAAACGUUGAUGACCAAGAGAGCAAUAAGACGGAAUUGUUUCGAUCAAGCGGUGUAAAUACUGAUCAUGCACUCAAUCAAACCUACUCAGUUCAUCUUAAACUGGGAAAUAAAGAUAAUAUUUUCAUGCACCACAUUUUACCCAAGGCCUUCAGAUAAUCAAAACAUGAGAACAAUGAUUGGAGACUCAAGCUAAUACUGUCACAGUGGCCACCACCAGCCUGAAUUUUCAUAGGAACUCGUGUGUAAAUUGCAGCUGGAUGAUCGUCAGUGGCGAGAUAUUAUUCUCUAAUCCUUCUCUCUACCAAUUGAUAGAACAUCUAACUGACAGGCUGAAAAAUUAAUGACCAAGAGAGCAAUAAGAGGGCAUUGCUUCGAUUAAGCAUGUACAUAUUGAUCAUGCGCUCACCCUACCAGGCUCAUUUAAGUUUUAACUGGUAAAGAUAUAUAUCCUGUUCAUGCACAGCACUUUACCCAAGCCUUGAAGACUGUGACAUUGGCCACUACGCCUAAUUUUCACUGGAAUUCAUGUGUGAAUUGCAGCUGAAUAAUCCUAGUUAACUACGCCUAAUUUACCCAAGCACUUUACCCAAGCCUUCAAGACUGUCACAUUGGCCACUACAUUAUCUUCUACACUAAAAUACAUUCUCGAAGGAAUCCGCGUGUGAAUUGCAGUGAGGAGAUGAUCGAAUCCGUUGGAGAAGAGGAAAUGAGAUAACAUAAACAGUCUGUUGUGGGGCGGCGCGGUUGGGGUUAGGGUUACCUCCUCGUAGAGAGGCAGGGGUCGAGGCGGCGUCGGGGCGGCGGGGCAGCGUCCGGGCGGCGGGGUCGGGGCGGCGUCCGGGGCGGCNNNNNNNNNNNNNNNNNNNNNNNNNNNNNNNNNNNNNNNNNNNNNNNNNNNNNNNNNNNNNNNNNNNNNNNNNNNNNNNNNNNNNNNNNNNNNNNNNNNNNNNNNNNNNNNNNNNNNNNNNNNNNNNNNNNNNNNNNNNNNNNNNNNNNNNNNNNNNNNNNNNNNNNNNNNNNNNNNNNNNNNNNNNNNNNNNNNNNNNNNNNNNNNNNNNNNNNNNNNNNNNNNNNNNNNNNNNNNNNNNNNNNNNNNNNNNNNNNNNNNNNNNNNNNNNNNNNNNNNNNNNNNNNNNNNNNNNNNNNNNNNNNNNNNNNNNNNNNNNNNNNNNNNNNNNNNNNNNNNNNNNNNNNNNNNNNNNNNNNNNNNNNNNNNNNNNNNNNNNNNNNNNNNNNNNNNNNNNNNNNNNNNNNNNNNNNNNNNNNNNNNNNNNNNNNNNNNNNNNNNNNNNNNNNNNNNNNNNNNNNNNNNNNNNNNNNNNNNNNNNNNNNNNNNNNNNNNNNNNNNNNNNNNNNNNNNNNNNNNNNNNNNNNNNNNNNNNNNNNNNNNNNNNNNNNNNNNNNNNNNNNNNNNNNNNNNNNNNNNNNNNNNNNNNNNNNNNNNNNNNNNNNNNNNNNNNNNNNNNNNNNNNNNNNNNNNNNNNNNNNNNNNNNNNNNNNNNNNNNNNNNNNNNNNNNNNNNNNNNNNNNNNNNNNNNNNNNNNNNNNNNNNNNNNNNNNNNNNNNNNNNNNNNNNNNNNNNNNNNNNNNNNNNNNNNNNNNNNNNNNNNNNNNNNNNNNNNNNNNNNNNNNNNNNNNNNNNNNNNNNNNNNNNNNNNNNNNNNNNNNNNNNNNNNNNNNNNNNNNNNNNNNNNNNNNNNNNNNNNNNNNNNNNNNNNNNNNNNNNNNNNNNNNNNNNNNNNNNNNNNNNNNNNNNNNNNNNNNNNNNNNNNNNNNNNNNNNNNNNNNNNNNNNNNNNNNNNNNNNNNNNNNNNNNNNNNNNNNNNNNNNNNNNNNNNNNNNNNNNNNNNNNNNNNNNNNNNNNNNNNNNNNNNNNNNNNNNNNNNNNNNNNNNNNNNNNNNNNNNNNNNNNNNNNNNNNNNNNNNNNNNNNNNNNNNNNNNNNNNNNNNNNNNNNNNNNNNNNNNNNNNNNNNNNNNNNNNNNNNNNNNNNNNNNNNNNNNNNNNNNNNNNNNNNNNNNNNNNNNNNNNNNNNNNNNNNNNNNNNNNNNNNNNNNNNNNNNNNNNNNNNNNNNNNNNNNNNNNNNNNNNNNNNNNNNNNNNNNNNNNNNNNNNNNNNNNNNNNNNNNNNNNNNNNNNNNNNNNNNNNNNNNNNNNNNNNNNNNNNNNNNNNNNNNNNNNNNNNNNNNNNNNNNNNNNNNNNNNNNNNNNNNNNNNNNNNNNNNNNNNNNNNNNNNNNNNNNNNNNNNNNNNNNNNNNNNNNNNNNNNNNNNNNNNNNNNNNNNNNNNNNNNNNNNNNNNNNNNNNNNNNNNNNNNNNNNNNNNNNNNNNNNNNNNNNNNNNNNNNNNNNNNNNNNNNNNNNNNNNNNNNNNNNNNNNNNNNNNNNNNNNNNNNNNNNNNNNNNNNNNNNNNNNNNNNNNNNNNNNNNNNNNNNNNNNNNNNNNNNNNNNNNNNNNNNNNNNNNNNNNNNNNNNNNNNNNNNNNNNNNNNNNNNNNNNNNNNNNNNNNNNNNNNNNNNNNNNNNNNNNNNNNNNNNNNNNNNNNNNNNNNNNNNNNNNNNNNNNNNNNNNNNNNNNNNNNNNNNNNNNNNNNNNNNNNNNNNNNNNNNNNNNNNNNNNNNNNNNNNNNNNNNNNNNNNNNNNNNNNNNNNNNNNNNNNNNNNNNNNNNNNNNNNNNNNNNNNNNNNNNNNNNNNNNNNNNNNNNNNNNNNNNNNNNNNNNNNNNNNNNNNNNNNNNNNNNNNNNNNNNNNNNNNNNNNNNNNNNNNNNNNNNNNNNNNNNNNNNNNNNNNNNNNNNNNNNNNNNNNNNNNNNAGCAUAGCUCAGCUCCCAGAUCUCCUCGAUCCUUCCGUAGUAUCUGUCCUUGUCGUUACCGGUGUAGGAUUCCAUCGUUACCCCGGAGUUCUGAUAACCAUCGCUCUUCAUGUCCUUGGCCUCGGUGUAGAAUGUGUAGCCGUUGAUAUCGUACGCCUCAUAGGUCAUCAGGUUGUGCUCGGCGCCCUGUGACAAGGCGAAUAUGAGUUGUUCUUCCGCGGAAGAAUCCUCAUGUAAAGGGUACGACAGAAGCUUAUGCUUGAACCAACGCGUGAAACAUGAGUUGUGCUCUUUGAGUGUAUCUCCGUCCGUCCUCUGUUGGCCUCGGUCAUUGUACGUCUUUUUAAUAAAGGUUUUGUGCUCUACCACCCAAGGAUCGACCACGUCUAUGUGUUGUAGCGCGACUAGGUUUGCUCUUUCAAAGUCGGCGAGUCGACCCUCGAAGUCGACAUGCAUUUCACGGCGACCCUCACGGUGACCCCAUCCAGCGAGCCUGCCGAGGUGCCUGUUGACGGGCAGACCAACGGGGUUCUCGAUGCCUAGAUAAUUCGUGCAGUAGGAGAUGCACUCUUCGGUCAGAAAGCCCCUGGCUAUGCUUCCUUCUGGACGUGACAUGUUGCGAACGUAUCCUUUGAUGACACCAUUCAUCCCUUCGAACGGCAUCAUGAUGUGCAGGAACGUCGGCCCGAGUUGGAUGAUAUCCUCCACUAUAUGGACCAGCAGAUGCACCAUAACGUCGAAGAAUGCGGGCGGGAAGUACCUCUCAAGCUCGCAUAGUAUCACCACGAUCUCUUCCUGUAGCCUUCUGAGUUGCCUCAUGCCAAUCGACUUCCGAGAGAUGACGUCGAAGAAGUUGCAUAGGCCAAAUAGCGUUUCAUGGACGUGCGCGUCCAUGAUCCCACGGAUUGCAACUGGAAGUAUCUCCGUCAUCAGCACGUGACAGUCGUGAGACUUCAUCCCGCUGAACUUCUGCUUCGCUGGGUCUAGGUAUCUGCUUAUCUUCCCCGCGUAACCGUAAGGAAGUUUUACUCCUAGGAGGCAGGUGAAAAACUGCUCGAUCUCCUCCUGACUUAGAGUGAAGCACGCGGGAGGGUAGUCAUUUCCGGUCUUCUUGGCCUUUUUGCCUUUGCGACGACUUUCUGUGUCCUGCUUCGCCUCAUCAUCAUCAUCAUCAUCAUAUAUAGCGUGAAGCUCCUGCCUGAUGCCCAUUGAUUUCAAGUCUGCCCUUGCUUUCGGCCCAUCUUUGGUCCUCUCUGGCAUGUUGAGCAGGGUACCAAGCAGACUCUCGCACACGUUCUUCGUGAUAUGCAUGACAUCAAGGCUGUGAGGCACACGGUGGAUCUUCCAGUACGGCAAGUCCCAGAAAACAGACCUCGUUUUCCAUACCUUCAGCAGUGGCUCUGGCGCCUUUCGCUUCUUUCCCGGCUCUGGCGCCUUUUGCUUCUUUCCCGGCAGUGGGCAGUCUUUCCAAUUUUUCAACAGCUUGUCUAUUUCCUGCCGCUCCUCGUACACGGGCAUUUUCGGGGUUCGGUUUCACCAUCGAACAGAUCCUUGCGUUUCCUCCACGGGUCAUCGUCGCGAAGCCACCUUCGAUGUCCCAUGAACACGGUUUUCGAAGACCCGGGAUCUCUAUCUAGCUGGCGAUACGUUGUGUCAUCCAUGCACCUUACGCAUCCAGAAAAUCCGUGGACUACCUGCCCCGCAAGAUAUCCGUAACCGAGAUAGUCGUGCACCGUCGUGAGCAGUGCGGCUCUCAUAGGGAAAUAUUCUUUCUCUGCGGCGUCCCACGUAUUGGCUGGCAUUUUCCACAGCGUGUCAAGCUCCUCUUUCAGCAGCCCCAGAUACAGAUUGAUGUCGUUCCCUGGUUGUUUCGGCCCUUCAAUUAGCAUACUCAUGUGAAUGUACUUCCUCUUCAUGCACAACCAGGGGGGAAGGUUGUACAUCCACACAAACACAGGCCAGGUGCUAUGUGUGCUUCUCUGGCUGCCAAACGGAUUGACUCCAUCGGUGCUCGCGCCCAGCACGAUGUUCCUUGGAUCGUUCCCAAAUUCUGGGUAUUCAAAGUUCAAUGCUUGCCACUGGCUCGCAUCCUUAGGGUGACUCAGCAUCUUGUCUUUUUUAUCUAUCUCCGGAUCAUUUGCGUCAUCUUCUCGCUUCUUCUCCUCCCUAUCCGCGUGCCAACGCAGGAGCUUUGCUACCUUAGGAUCCGCGAAAUACCACUGCAGACGAGGAGUGAUCGGAAAGUACCACACCACUUUUCGAGGAGCUUUCUUCCUCUUCUUGUAUCGAGUGACACCGCACACCGGACAUAUUGUAGACUCCGCGUGCUCGUCCCGAUAAAUGAUGCAAUUGUUCAUGCACACAUGGUAUUUCACGUGCGGUAAAUCCAGAGGACACACGAUUUUCUUCGCCUCCUCCAAACUGGUCGGGCACUUGUUCCCCUUGGGAAGACGUUCGUGUCAGAAUGACAUGUUCUCGUCGAAGCAUGCGUCGGUCAUUUUGUGUUUUACCUUCAUCUCCAGGGCCAUGAGCGUUACUUUCAGGCGGGUAUCCUCGGGCCUGCAUCCUUCAUACAAUGGAGUAAUCGCGUCUAACUCAAGUUGAUCCAUCUUGGCUUUCUCUCGGGCGGCAGCUCUUGCGUUAUCCGUCUGCUUGAGAAGCAGCUCUUGAAUAUGAGGGUCCUGCACCCAGCCCAUCGAUGGUCCAGCGUCGUCUGCUCCGCCGGCAUCAUCAUCUUCAUGAUCAUGCCCAUCGUCUGCUCCGGCAUCUUCCUCAUCAUCAUGUCCUGCAUCUUCUACAUGAUGACUGUGUACAGCAUCACAGUCAUAAUCAUCUCCUGGGGAUUCUUCGUCUUCUCGCCCGCCCGAGCCGUGGUGGUUGUCUUGCUGCCCUUCCUCAUUUCUUGCCCGGCCCGCAUGCACGACUUCGUAGUCAUCUUCAUCACCUUGCCACCGAUAGCCAUCCAUGAAACCACACAACAGCAGGUGGUCCCGCACCUGCCCGGAAUCCGGGUCCGCAAUAAGGCUCUUCAGCUUGCAUCUUCGACACGGACAUCUUAUCUCCGUCUCGUUCUUUUGAAGCAUCUCGGCCUUCGCGGACCUCAAAAACCUAUUCACGAUGCCUUCGGUCAUCGUGCGGACCAUGGUCGCCUGUGGGGUAGAGCAAAACGAUAUUUUAGAACCAAACAAAAAUUUGGCAUGACUUUCCCUAAAAAUAGGACCAAAAAGAAUGCUUAAUGCCAAAAUUCUCGCCGAAACGGAAAUGAAUCAACAUUCCGGCAAAAUAUUGGCAACUAUCGCAUAUCAAAUACCGGUACACCUCCAAACACAAACACAUAUGCAACACCACAAACAUAUGCAACACCACGAACAUACAUAGAUCUAGCUAGGCCGUAAAAAGUGCAUGUGCACAUUGUUGUAAGGAGAACAACCUAAAUAUAGCUUCCCCCCUUACUUACCUAUUAAAACAAGGUAAUUUAACCACUUAAUUUGAAUGAAUCUAUGGUGGAAAUGAGGUGAAAAAGAGGAGGCACCCGAGACAAGGAGGAGGUGGAGAGAAUGAAGUGGGGAGAAAGUGAGUGUGUGGGUAGGAGAGGCUGUCCCAAAUAUCUUGUUGCUGCCCACUUACUAAUGGCGCACCUCUUGCAUGGUGCGCCAUUAGUAGUUACAACUAAUAAUGGCGCACUUAAGCAGGAUGCGCCAUUAGUAUGUUUGGAUAGGCGCACUAGUUCAAAAAAAAAUUCUAUACUAAUGGCUCACCCACUGCCUGGUGCGCCAUUAGUAGUUACAACUACUAAUGGCGCACUUGGGCAGGAUGCGCCAUUAGUAUGUUUGGAUAGGCGCACUAGUUAAAAGAAAAAUUCUAUACUAAUGGCGCACCUGCUGCCUGGUGCGCCAUUAGUAGUUACAACUACUAAUGGCGCACUUUGCCCGGAUGCGCCAUUAGUAUGUUUGGACAGGCGCACUAGUUAAAAAAAAAUUUGAUACUAAUGGCGCACCCGUAGCAUGGUGCGCCAUUAGUAGUUUAAACUCUAAUGGCGCAUCAGAUUGUGGUGCGCCAUUAGUAUAUACUAAUGGCGCACCAUCUUUCUGGUGCGCCAUUAGUGUCAAUCCCAUCUAUAGCCCUUUUCCUAGUAGUGCACUCUGGCGCGGAUCUUACUCUGGUUGAUCUACGAGGUUCAGUAGUAUCUUGUUCUGAAGUUUCAUGAUCAUUAUCAUUAGCUUCCUCACUAAUUGGUGUAGGUGUCGCAGAAACAGGUUUCUGUGAUGUACUACUUUCCAAUAAGGGAGCAGGUACAGUUACCUCGUCAAGUUCUACUUUCCUCCCACUCACUUCUUUCGAGAGAAACUCUUUCUCUAGAAAGGAUCCAUUCUUGGCAGGGAAUGUCUUGCCUUCGGAUUUGUGAUAGAAGGUGUACCCAACAGUCUCCUUUGGGUAUCCUAUGAAGACACAUUUCUCCGAUUUAGGUUCGAGCUUAUCAGGUUGAAGUUUUUUCACAUAAGCAUUGCAGCCCCAAAUUUUAAAAAACGACAACUUUGGUUUCUUGCCAAACCAUACUUCAUAAGGCGUCGUCUCAACGGAUUUUGAUGGUGCCCUAUUUAACAUGAAUGCGGUCGUCUCUAAAGCAUAACCCCAAAAUGAUAGCGGUAAAUCAGUAAGAGACAUCAUAGAUCGUACCAUAUCUAGUAAAGUACGAUUACAACGUUCGGACACACCAUUACGCUGUGGUGUUCCGGGUGGCGUGAGUUGCGAAAAUAUUCCGCAUUGCUUCAAAUGUACACCAAACUCGUAACUCAAAUAUUCUCCUCCACGAUUAGAUCGUAGAAACUUUAUUUUCUUGUUACGAUGAUUUUCAACUUCACUCUGAAAUUCUUUGAACUUUUCAAAUGUUUCAGACUUAUGUUUCAUUAAGUAGAUAUACCUAUAUCUGCUUAAGUCAUCUGUGAAUGUGAGAAAAUAAUGAUAUCCGCCACGAGCCUCAAUAUUCAUCGGACCACAUACAUCUGUAUGUAUGAUUUCCAACAAAUUUGUUGCUCUCUCCAUAGUACCGGAGAACGGUGUUUUAGUCAUCUUGCCCAUGAGGCACGGUUCGCAAGUACCAAGUGAUUCAUAAUCAAGUGGUUCCAAAAGUCCAUCAGUAUGGAGUUUCUUCAUGCGCUUUAUACCGAUAUGACCUAAACGGCAGUGCCACAAAUAAGUUGCACUAUCAUUAUCAACUCUGCAUCUUUUGGCUUCAACAUUAUGAAUAUGUGUGUUACUACUAUCGAGAUUCAUCAAAAUAGACCACUCUUUAAAGGUGCAUGACCAUAAAAGAUAUUACUCAUAUAAAUAGAACAACCAUUAUUCUCUGAUUUAAAUGAAUAACCGUCUCACAUUAAACAAGAUCCAGAUAUAAUGUUCAUGCUCAACGCUGGCACCAAAUAACAAUUAUUUAGGUCUAAUAUUAAUCCCGAAGGUAGAUGUAGAGGUAGCGUGCCGACCGCGAUCACAUCGACUUUGGAACUGUUUCCCACUCGCAUCGUCACCUCGUCCUUUGCCAGUGUUCGCUUAAUCCGUAGUCCCUGUUUCGAGUUGCAAAUAUUAGCAACAGAACCAGUAUCAAAUACCCAGGUGCUACUGUGAGCUCUAGUAAGGUACACAUCAAUAACAUGUAUAUCACAUAUACCUUUGUUCACCUUGCCAUCCUUCUUAUCCGCCAAAUACUUGGGGCGGUUCCGCUUCCAGUGACCAGUCUGCUUGCAGUAGAAGCACUCAGUUUCAGGCUUAGGUCCAGACUUGGGUUUCUUCUCUUGAGCAGCAACUUGCUUUCUGUUCUUAUUGAAGUUCCCCUUCUUCUUCCCUUUGCCCUUUUUCUUGAAACUAGUGGUCUUGUUGACCAUCAACACUUGAUGCUCCUUUUUGAUUUCUACUUCCGUAGCUUUCAGCAUGGCGAAGAGCUCGGGAAUAGUCUUAUUCAUCCCUUGCAUAUUAUAGUUCAUCACGAAGCUCUUGUAGCUUGGUGGCAGUGAUUGGAGAAUUUUGUCAAUGACGCAAUCAUCUGGAAGAUUAACUCCCAUCUGAAUCAAGUGAUUAUUAUACCCAGGCAUUUUGAGUAUAUGCUCACUGACAGAACUAUUCUCCUCCAUCUUGCAGCUAUAGAACUUAUUGGAGACUUCAUAUCUCUCAAUUCAGGCAUUUGCUUGAAAUAUUAACUUCAACUCCUGGAACAUCUCAUAUGCUCCAUGAUGUUCAAAACGUCGUUGAAGUCCCGAUUCUAAUCCGUAAAGCAUGGCACACUGAACUAUCGAGUAGUCAUCAGCUUUGCUCUGCCAGACGUUCAUAACAUCUGGUGUUGCUCCAGCAGCAGGCCUGGCACCCAGCGGUGCUUCCAGGAUGUAAUUCUUCUGUGCAGCAAUGAGGAUAAUCCUCAAGUUACAGACCCAGUCCGUGUAAUUGCUACCAUCAUCUUUCAACUUUGCUUUCUCAAGGAACGCAUUAAAAUUCAAUGGAACAAUAGCAUGGGCCAUCUAUCUACAAUCAAACAUACAUAAGCAAGAUACUAUCAGGCACUAAGUUCAUGAUAAAUUUAAGUUCAAUUAAUCAUAUUACUUAAGAACUCCCACUUAGAUAGACAUCCCUCUAAUCUUCUAAGUGAUCACGUGAUCCAAAUCAACUAAACCAUAACCGAUCAUCACGUGAAAUGGAGUAGUUUUCAAUGGUGAACAUCACUAUGUUGAUCAUAUCUACUAUAUGACUCACGCUCGAUCUUUCAAUCUCAGUGGUCCGAGGCCAUAUCUGCAUAUGCUAGGCUCGUCAAGUUUAACCUGAGUAUUCUGCGUGUGCAAAACUGGCUUGCACCCAUUGUGGAUGGACGUAGAGCUUAUCACACCCGAUCAUCACGUGGUGUCUGGGCACGACGAACUUUGGCAACGGUGCAUACUCAGGGAGAACACUUUUAUCUUGAUAAUUUAGUGAGAGAACAUCUUAUAAUGCUACCGUCAAUCAAAGCAAGAUAAGAUGCAUAAAAGAUAAACAUCACAUGCAAUCAAUAUAAGUGAUAUGAUAUGGCCAUCAUCAUCUUGUGCUUGUGAUCUCCAUCUCCGAAGCACCGUCAUGAUCACCAUCGUCACCGGCGCGACACCUUGAUCUCCAUCGUAGCAUCGUUGUCGUCUCGCCAAUCUUAUGCUUCCACGACUAUCGCUACCGCUUAGUGAUAAAGUAAAGCAUUACAGCGCGAUUGCAUUGCAUACAAUAAAGUGACAACCAUAUGGCUCCUGCCAGUUGCCGAUAACUUGGUUACAAAACAUGAUCAUCUCAUACAAUUAAAUUUAGCAUCAUGUAUUGACCAUAUCACAUCACAACAUGCCCUGCAAAAACAAGUUAGACGUCCUCUACUUUGUUGUUGCAAGUUUUACGUGGCUGCUACGGGCUUAAGCAAGAACCAAUCUUACCUACGCAUCAAAACCACAACGAUAGUUUGUCAAGUUGGUGCUGUUUUAACCUUCGCAAGGACCGGGCGUAGCCACACUCGGUUCAACUAAAGUUGGAGAAACUGUCACCCGCAAGCCACCUAUGUGCAAAGCACGUCGGGAGAACUGGUCUCGCGUAAGCGUACGCGUAAUGUUGGUCCGGGCCGCUUCGUCCAACAAUACCGCCGAACCAGAGUAUGACAUGCUGGUAAGCAGUACGACUUAUAUCGCCCACAACUCACUUGUGUUCUACUCGUGCAUAUAACAUCAACACAUAAAACCUAGGCUCGGAUGCCACUGUUGGGGAACGUAGUAAUUUCAAAAAAUUUCCUACGCACACGCAAGAUCAUGGUGAUGCAUAGCAACGAGAAGGGAGAGUGUGAUCUACGUACCCUUGUAGAUCGACAACGGAAGCGUUUGGUUGAUGUAGUCGUACGUCUUCAUGGCCCGACCGAUCAAGCACCGACACUACGGCACCUCCGAGUUUUAGCACACGUUCAGCUCGAUGACGAUCCCCGGACUCUGAUCCAGCAAAGUGUCGGGGAAGAGUUCCGUCAGCACGACGGCGUGGUGACAAUCUUGAUGUACUAGUGUCGCAGGGCUUCGCCUAAGCACCGCUACAAUAUUAUCGAGGACUAUGGUGGAAGGGAGCACCGGACACGGCUAAGAAUAUGAUCACGUGGAUCAACUUGUGUUCCUCUGGGGUGCCCCUGCCUCCUUAUAUAAAGGAUCUAGGGGGGUGCGGCCGGCCUAGGAGAGGCGCGCCAGGAGGAGUCCUACUCCCUCUGGGAGUAGGAUUCCCCCCCCCCCAAAUCCUAGUUGGAAUAGGAUUCGCGGAGGGGGGAAAGAGAGAGGGGGGCCGGCCCCCUCUCCUUGUCCUAUUCAGACCAAGGGAGGGGAGGGGCGCGCGGCCCAUCUUGGGCUGCCCCUUCUCUUUUCCACCAAGGCCCACUAAGGCCCAUAUAGCUCCCGGGGGGUUCCGGUAACCACCCGGUACUCCGGUAAAAUCCCGAUUUCACCCGGAACACUUCCGAUAUCCAAAUAUAGGCUUCCAAUAUAUCAAUCUUUAUGUCUCGACCAUUUCGAGACUCCUCGUCAUGUCCGUGAUCACAUCCGGGACUCCGAACAACCUUCGGUACACCAAAACGUAUAAACUCAUAAUAUAACUAUCAUCGAAACCUUAAGCGUGCGGACCCUACGGGUUCGAGAAUAAUGUAGACAUGACCGAGACAUGUCUCCGGUCAAUAACCAAUAGCGGAACCUGGAUGCUCAUAUUGGUUCCUACAUAUUCUACGAAGAUCUUUUAUCGGUCAGACCGCAUAACAACAUACGUUGUUCCCUUUGUCAUCGGUAUGUUACUUGCCCGAGAUUCGAUCGUCGGUAUCCAAUACCUAGUUCAAUCUCGUUACCGGCAAGUCUCUUUACUCGUUCCGUAAUACAUCAUCUCGCAACUAACUCAUUAGUUACAUUGCUUGCAAGGCUUAAGUGAUGUGCAUUACCGAGAGGGCCCAGAGAUACCUCUCGGACGAUCGGAGUGACAAAUCCUAAUCUCAAAAUAUGUCAACCCAACAUGUACCUUUGGAGACACCUGUAGAGCACCUUUAUAAUCACCCAGUUACGUUGUGACGUUUGGUAGCACACAAAGUGUUCCUCCGGCACACAGGAGUUACAUAAUCUCAUUGUCAUAGGAACAUGUAUAAGUCAUGAAGAAAGCAAUAGCAACAUACUAAACGAUCGGGUGCUAAGCUAAUGGAAUGGGUCAUGUCAAUCAGAUCAUUCAACUAAUGAUGUGAUCCCAUUUAAUCAAAUGACAACUCUUUGUCUAUGGUUAGGAAACAUAACCAUCUUUGAUUAACGAGCUAGUCAAGUAGAGGCAUACUAGUGACACUUAGUUUGUCUAUGUAUUCACACAUGUAUUAUGUUUCCGGUUAAUACAAUUCUAGCAUGAAUAAUAAACUUUUAUCAUGAUAUAAGGAAAUGAAUAAUAGCUUUAUUAUUGCCUCUAGGGCAUAUUUCCUUCAAUGAUGGCAUUGUAGCGGCAAGUCAUAGUUUGUCAAGUGUCAACAAAUAGACACUUGGCAAAGAAUUUUCUUUUCUUUUUUACAUCAAAAAAUUUUUGCUGAGUGCCUGUCACAAAGCACUCAGUAAACCUGUUUCUUUCUUUUGUUUGCCUUGUUUUCUUUUUUCCCUUCUUUUUUCCUUUCUUAUCUUAUCUUAUCUUAUCUUAUCUUAUCUUUCUUUCUUUCUUUCUUCUUAGGUCACGUUUGCAUGCAAAGUGUCAGGACCCCGGUCCUAAGUCACAUUGAUCUAGCAUGUAACACAUCAUAUCACUUUGCGGCCUCACGCAUGGUAUUCCCACGGGUGCCACCUUACCUAGCCCGGGACCGUAUGCGCCUUUUGGCUCACGUAUAUGAUAGUGUCGCUAGCAUCCAUAUGUCAAAGAAACCGCGCAGACAUGACUAGUCAUGAACCCAAAGUGGCACUAACUUACGGGGACAGGCAUACAUGAAUAAACAUCGAGCAUGUCGAUUAGCAAUGUGUGAAUCCGGGCUGUAGCACUGGGCUAACAAGACUCCGGUGAACCGGGCUGUAGCAGGCUAGGCAGGACUCCGGAUGUCACCGCGUGACAUUUCCCUGAAGGGACAGACAUAGGAACGAAGUGAAUCACAUGCCGGCCAGUCAAGUGUUCCGGAGCAGUAGUGCUGGGCUAGCAGGACCCCGGUGAACCGGGCUAUAGCGGACUACUAUGGCUCAUAGAAGCACAACACUAUAUUUCCCCAUAAGAGAGGCUACCAAGGAUAAACAACUAGGUUGUCGGAUCCCACUCAUACCAAGCAUUUCAAAUCAUACACACCAUAUGCUCGAUAUGUGUAAAUACAACAUGGCAUCACAACAAGACUCUACGACUCAAAGUAUUUAUUCAUUAGGCACCGAAGAGCCAAGCAUUACAAACAUGGGUCUCAUGACCCCAACAUACAGAGCAUACAAGCAACAAGCACAUGCGGAAGCUUAACAUGUCUGAGUACAGACAUCUACAAAUGAAAAGGCUGAGAAUCCUGACUAUCUACUAGAUCCUACCGAGGGCGCAAGAUCGUAGAUGAGGUAUCAAGCUAAACGUCGAAGUCCACACGGAACUACUAGCGAGACUGACGUCUCUCUGGAAAACAUAAAAUAGGCAAACGUGAGUACAAAUGUACCCAGCAAGACUUACAUCAGAACUAUCUACAUAUGCAUCGGUAUCAAUAAAGGGAGUGGUGGAGUUUAACUGCAGCAAGCCAGCUUUGACUCGCUGGCUAUCCUGAACUACGACUACAAGUAACUCUUUUGAGGUGGUGCACAUGAGUCCACAUAUUCACCAAUCAAUACACCACUAUGGAUCCGGUCCCGUCUCCCUACGAGAACGCCAUCCAUAGCACUCACGCUUAUCUUGCGCAUUUUAGAGUAUCCACUUUCACUUGUCUAUGAACUGUAUAGGCAACCAAGUAGUCCUUUACCGCGGACGCGGCUAUUCGAAUAGAUGAUGUUAACCCUGCAGGGGUGUACUUCUUCAUACACGCUCUCACCACUUACCGUUGUUUAAACGACAUGUACUCGGCAACCUUCAAGCGGAAGCCCAACGAGGGUGUCGGCCACAACCUACCUAAACACUCAAGUCUCUAGUCCAGGUUUAUCGCCUAUCCAGGUUCCAUCCGUAGGGAGUCCGGCCGAGGUUUCCACGGCCCCGAACGAUGUGUACAGGGUUCCGAGACACCAAACGGGCGCCCGACAUGCCCGGCCACGGUGUAUCGACCGCAUCAUAGCCCACCCCUAGGGUCAGCGCUAUGCACGGCUGCCAACACAUAUCCUAUAAACACCAAAAACUAGUUGCAACUCCUAGACAGAGGACUAGGGUGGUUAAGAAGCCAAGAGGGUCAAUUAAGGAUCCCAAUGCAUGGUAGUAGAUGUUUCUUAAAUCACACAUACAGAUCUCGGUGCUUAAGGACGGUUCCAAUGAAACAACCCACCAUGUACUCCUACAUGGCCUCUCAUCGAUAGCUUUACCAAAUCGUGUUCAACACACUUAGCUCACACAUAGUAGGACAUGUUCACAACUUUCCAAUUCAUCCCCGAUGAAUCAUACCUGACACAACUCUAAGUAAUAGUAGGCAUGACAAACAAGCAUGAAUGAGUAGGCACAUCAGGGCUCAAACAACUCCUACUCAUGCUAGUGGGGUUUCAUCUAUUUACUGUGGCAAUGACAGGUCAAGCAGAGGAAAAGGGGUUCAGCUACCGCAACAUGUAAAAGUUGAAUCGAUGUUGUCCUAAAGCAGUAAAAGAGAGUAGGAGCGAGAGAGUGGGAUUUUAUCGGAAUGAGCAAGGGGGUUUUGCUUGCCUGGCACUUCUGAAGAUAGUAUAGUUCUUCAUCAGUUUCACCGAUCUCAUUGUUGGAAACAUCGUCUACCAAGGGGGAACAACCGUCGGCAAAAACAGAAAGAACACAAUCAAUGCAAUGCACAAUAUGAUGCAUGAUCAUGACAUGUCAACAUGCUGUGAUUUGAGCUAAUGCAGCUAAGAACAGAAGGGUUUGAGUUGAUUUGAACCAAAGGUUCAAAUUCAAAUUCAAACUAAGAACUUAUAAAGUGCAUUAUCAUGUUUUUAUCUAAACAGCAAGGUUAAGUUGUUUAAACAUGCAUGAAACCAGUACAGAUGGAUAGAUUAGAUUUUUCUGAUCAUUUUUCAUAUAUAAUUUGUUUGAUUUGGAGUUACGGUUGAAUUACUAUGAAUUUAGAAGUUUGGGACAUUUUCUGGAAUCUCCUGAAUUAAGUUAAAUCCAGAAUAUGAGUUAUUGCGUCAGCAAUGCGUCACUGUGACGUCAGCUAGUCAACUGGGCGCCUCCAGGUCAAACCUGACCAGUAGGGCCCACUAGUCAGUGACACAUAGUCAGCUACAGACGCUGACAUGUGGGACCUGGUCAAAGCUGACGUGGCCAAGUCAAAGUUGACAAGCGGGGCCCACUGAAAUUAGUGCUAAUAUAAUAGAGAGUUAAACUAAUUAGUUUAGGCAUUGGGCCCACAUGUAAGUGGGUCAGGAGGUUAAUUAGUGGGUGAUUUGUGCUAACUAGGUGGUCACAUUGACAGUCGCCGGAGUCUCGCCGGCGGUGACCUCGAGCCGCGGCGGAGUUCGCUCGGAACUCAUCAGAGGCGACGGAUCGACGCGCCAGGGGCACCAGAGGAUAGCCCAUGCCCGUGCGCAUCUAGGGAGAACAACAAGAGGUGUGGGGGUGGCCAGAGUUCAGUAGAGUGGAACCCGCGGUGGCUGCCGGAGUUCGGGGCUAGUGCAGGUUAGCGCUACAGUGUGAUAACGAGCGAGGCGAAGGUCUAGCGGGGCACUACGCGUUGCGGGGAGCAAGUUGGACUAGCCGUGGUGACCAUUUGGUCACCGGAGCUGCGCCGAUGAUGAGCUCAAGCGGCGGCGGCUACGGUCGUCAAGGGGGCGACGUCUACGGCUCGAAAUCGAAGGGGAGGAAGGAGGGGAUCCACGCAGGAGCUCACAGCGGUUUGUUCGGUGGCCUCAGCGAGCUCGGGGAAGCCUCGAAGCGGGCGCACGGUCGUCGGCGAUCUCGGUGGCCCGAGGUUGAAGAAGACGGCGGUGAGGGCGUUCGGCGGCGUCCGGCAUCGCUUGGCUUGGCGAGGAGGUCGAGGACGAGGUAGCCAAGCUUUUGGGCACGUCGAGGUGUCGAGGGGAGGCUCUGGGUGCGGCAACGGUGAGCGGUGGCGACAAGCUCCGCUCGGGCUGCGCGGGAGAGAGAGCAGAGGAGGGAAAAGGGGUCCAUGGGGAGAGGGAGAGGCAGUGAGGGCUGCGGGGCACCUCCAGACGCGUCGGGUAGGCUCGGGGCGCCUUGGUGGCAAGCAGGAGGUGGCCAGGGAUAGCUGCGCCUGUCGACACGCAGCAGCUCCUACUGGCGCCGGGAAGAAGACGACAGGGCAGCGCCUGGUGGGCUGGGCCGAAACGGCAGCAGGCCAACAGUGCCAGGUAAGGUUCAGGUGAGGUUUCUUUUCUCUUUUAUUUCUGUUGUUCUAUUUUCUGUAAUUGUGUUUGGCUUUAUUAAAAAUGCCAGGGUAUUUCCAAAAAUCAAGAAACUGCUCAAUGUCACUGUUUGGAAUAUUUCCAACAGCAAACAUUUCAGUUUGUGAUUAUUUGAGCAUUUAAAAUAUUAUUAGCAAUUAAAUGCCCAAAUGCAAAUACUAUAUAAUUCGAUUCAAAAAUCCAGAAUGGCCUAGAAAAUGUGCACCAUUUUUGGGAGAGGUUCGAGACCAAUUCAAAAAUGAUGAACUUUUGUGAAGGGCAUUUUGGGUUCAUUGAAAUGUUUUUUAGUUGAACCUGGUAUUUUCAGGGGGGUGCUAGGUUUGUUGAUCCCAUUUCAGGUUUAAGAGAAAUUUAAACAUGAUGCAACACAAGACUAGCUAACCCAGAGCAGACCAGAACUAGGGAUGUGACAACUCACCCCCACUAGACAAGAAUCUCGUCCCGAGAUUCAAGCAUAGGGUAAGAUGGAAGGGGGGACACAAACUAUCACAAACUUCUCGAUCCAAUUGCCAUCAUCGAAGAUGUUGAUUCAUUGCUUCAAAUUGAUCUUGUCGUCUUUGCUUUCGGGUUCUUCAUCCAACACGAUGACGACAGAAGAAACUCUAUAGGGAUCGAUCUUCUUGAAGAUCGAGCAACUCACGAUCAACUCACGGAAUGAGAUGUUGAACAUCUCUCGAGCUAAGAAACGAAACAUACAUCAAGAGGGAUGGAGUGGAACAGAGAAUGAGGAUUCAAGUUGAUAAGCACAACUCCACGCUAAAUAAGAUGGUGCAUGGUUUCAAAGUCGCGAGGAGUUAAUUGCCAUGACUCCAUAACAAGGCACCAUAGGGAAAGUGGCUUGUAGAAUUAUUCCCUUAAGUGGCAAAAAGAAUUACUUUUGACACAUAGAUCAUUGAAAAUCUUCAUACCAGCCCAAGGCAAUUUGCAAUCGAUUACUUGUACGAGUUUGGAAGAAUGGCAUAUCCCGACUAGAAUGGAUGAUGUGGACUACCUUGUUGAAGAGAACGCAAUGGAUGAUUUUGCUUAUCAUCGAAAAUGGACGGGACCCAAGGUAGAAUGGCACAAUGGCGGUGCAAGCUGGGAACAAAAUACAAAUGCCGGGAAUGUUCCAACCAUCAUAUCUGCCUGAGAUUCAGAUCUGGUUGGUGUCAGGAUAUUCCAGACUCAUCAUGUCUGAAAGGAAGGAUUGCAACAAAAAAUCGAUGAGAUAACAUUGCGAGAUUCUCGGGAGAUGAACUACGAUAGCAAGCUCCAAAACGUGAGCUGGUUCUGCUACACACAUGUGAACACGUUGUCCCAGAAAGCAUGACCACAUAGUAGUCUUACAAUAUAACACUACCGAGUUCUGGUUGGGAACCAUCAUCGAGGAUAUCGAAGCCCUUGCAUAAGUCCGAAUCCUAAUAACGAACUUCUUCUCCUUGAACAGAUCAAUCAGUGGCUUGGUGUGCUAGUGAGGGAGUCCUAGAUUAGGGGGUUUCCGGACAGCCAUACUAUAUUCUUUGGCCGGACAAUUAGACUAAGAAGAUACAAGAUUUAAGACUUUGUGUCGUGUCCGGAUGGGACUCUACUUGGCGUGGAAGGCAAGCUAGGCAAUAUGGAUAUGCAUAUCUUCUCCUUUGUAACCAAACUUGUGUAACCCUAGCCCUCUCCGGUGUCUAUAUAAACCGGAGGGUUUUAGUCCGUAGGACAACAUACAAUGAUACCAUAGGCUAGCUUCUAGGGUUUAGCCUCUCUGAUCUCAUGGUAGAUCUACUCUUGUACUACCCAUAUCAUCAAUAUUAAUCAAGCAGGACGUAGGGUUUUACCUCCAUCAAGAGGGCCCGAACCUAGGUAAAACUUCGUGUCCCCUGCCUCCUGUUACCAUCUGCCUAGACGCACAGUUCGGGACCCCCUACCCGAGAUCCGCCGGUUUUGACACCGACAUUGGUGCUUUCAUUGAGAGUUCCUCUGUGUCGUCGCUGUUAGGCUUGAUGGCUCCUUCUAUCAUCGUUAGUGAUGCAGUCCAGGGUGAGACUUUUCUCCCCGGACAGAUUUUUGUAUUCGGCGGCUUUGCACUGCGGGCCAAUUCGCUUGGCCAUCUGGAGCAGAUUGAAAGCUACGCCCCUGGCCAUCAGGCCAGGUUUGGAAGCUUAAACUACACAGCCGACAUCCGCGGAGACUUGAUCUUCGACGCAUUCGAGCCUCUGCCUUGUGCGUCACGCGGUCAUGAUGAGUACGAUUUAGCUCUACCAUCCGACAGUGUUCAGGAGAUCGCACUGGCAGCCGCUCUGACCCUCAAUUCGGAGCCAGUUGCGCCAUCCAUGGACGGGUGGAUGGACCCCGCCAUGGAGGCCUUACCCUCAUCGGUGAUCGAGCCGAACAUCGGCCUUACUCUACAAGAGAGCCGUGUUGACGAACUGUCGGAUCUCUCUCCGGCCACGGAAUCCGAUUAGGCUCCGAUCAUGGAGUUUACCUCCGCGGAUAUUUUUCAGCACUCGCCCUUUGGCGACAUACUGAACUCGUUAAGGAUUGGGAUGCAGACGACGAAGAAAUUCACGGCCCGCCCACCAUCCACUUAGUAGCCAUUGUCGAUGACUUAACCGACAUGCUCGACUUUGACUCCGAAGACAUCGACAUUAUGGACGACGAUGCGGGAGACGAAGAUGAGCCACUGCCCAUAGGGCACUGGACAGCCACCUCAUCAUACGAUAUAUACAUGGUGGAGACACCCAAAGAAGGCAAUGGCGACGAGACAGCGGAGGACGACCCCUCCAAGAAGCAACCCAAGCGCCCACGUCAGCGGCGCCGCUCUAAGUCCAGCCAGAGCAAAAGUGGUGAUACCGGCACAGGAGAUAAUAACACUUCGGAUAGUGCCGAAGAUAACAACAAUCCCCUCCAGCAAGAUUUAGAGCAGGAGGAUGGAGGAGCCAGCCCUCCUGAUAGAGCGGCAGAUGGAGAAGCGGAGGAUGAUAAUUACAUGCCCCCUCCGAAGACGAGGCAAGCCUCGGCGAUGACGAAUUCACCAUGCGAGAGGAUCCCGUCGAACAAGAGCACUUCAAGCGCCAACUUAUAGCCACGGCAAAUAGCCUUAAGAAAAAGCAGCAGCAGCAGCUUCAAGCUGAUCAAGAUAUGCUAGCUGACAGAUGGACUGAAGUCCUCGCGGCCGAGGAAUAUAAACUGGAGCGCCCCUCCAAGAGUUACCCAAAAUGCAGACCCCGACUGGAGGAAGAAGCGUAUGACGCGGCUGAUCAGCCACCUCGUGGCCGAGAUAGAGAGGCAUUCCAGCCAAAAACUGAACCUGCACCCCAACGCCAUUCAAAUAAAAAGGCAUGGGGAAAUACGCCAUUCCUGCGAGACGUAUUGGAGGAGAAAGCAAAACUUGUAAGAUCAAUCUAUGGAUCAUGAGGGCGCGCCACUAUGCGAGACGAUAAAUGUCACGCCGGAUACAGUAAAAGUCAAUCCGGCUGGGCCGAACACAGCGGGCAAGACCCAUUCGAGCUGCGUCGCGAUAUAGCCCAAUACAGAGGCGUCGCACACCCCCUAUGCUUCACAGACGAAGUAAUGGAUCAUCAAAUCACAGAGGGUUUCAAACCCGUAAAUAUUGAAUCAUACGAAGACACAACAGAUCCUGCGGUAUGGAUCGAGGAUUUCCUCCUCCACAGCCACAUGGCCCGCGGCGAUGACUUACAUGCCAUCAAAUACCUCCCACUAAAGCUCAAAGGACCAGCGCGACAUUGGCUUAACAGCUUGCCAGCAGAGUCCAUUAGCCGUUGGGAAGAUCUGGAAGCCGCAUUUCUCGACAACUUUAGGGCACUUAUGUGCGACCACCAGACGCCGAUGACUUGAGCCACAUAAUUCAGCAGCCAGAAGAAUCGGCCAGGCAAUUCUGGACACGGUUCCUAACAAAGAAAAAUCAAAUCGUCGACUGUCCGGAUGUAGAGGCCCUAGCAGCCUUCAAGCAUAACAUCCGCGACGAGUGGCUUGCCCGGCACCUUGGAGAGGAAAAGCCAAAAUCUAUGGCAGCCCUCACGACACUCAUGACCUGCUUUUGUGCGGGAGAAGACAGUUGGCUGGCUCGCAGUAACAACAUAUCAAAAAACCAUGGUACUUCGGAUACCAAGGACGGAAAUAGUAGGUCACGUCGCAAACAUAAGCGCCGCAUUAACAGUGACAAUACUGAGGAUACGGUAGUCAAUGCCGGAUUCAAAGGCUCUAAACCCGGUCAGUGGAAAAAGCCAUUUAAAAGAAGCACUCCGGGCCCGUCCAGUUUGGACCGCAUACUCGAUCACUCGUGUCAAAUACACGGUACCCCUGAUAAGCCAGCCAACCACACCAACAGGGAAUGCUGGGUGUUCAAACAGGCCGGCAAGUUAACUGCCGAAGAUAAAGAUAAGGGGUCACACAGCAAUGACGAAGAGGAGCCCCGGCAGCCAAACACCGGAGGACAGAAGAGGUUCCCCCCACAAGUGCGGACGGUGAACAUGAUAUACGCAACCCACAUCCCCAAGAGGGAGCGGAAGCGUGCGCUCAGGGACGUAUAUGCGUUGGAGACAGUCGCCCCAAAGUUCAACCCAUGGUCCUCCUGCCCGAUCACCUUCGACCGCAAGGACCACCCCACUAGUAUCCGUCACGGCGGAUUCGCCGCACUGGUCUUAGACCCAAUCAUUGAUGGAUUUCACCUCACUCGAGCCUUAUGGAUGGCGGGAGUAGCCUGGACCUGCUUUACCAGGACACAGUGCGUAAAAUGGGUAUAGACCCCUCAAGGAUCAAACCCAACAAAACAACCUUUAAAGGCGUCAUUCCAGGUGUAGAGGCCCAUUGCACAGGCUCAAUUACACUGGAAGUGGUCUUCGGAUCCCCGGAUAACUUCCGAAGAGAAGAAUUAAUCUUUGAUAUAGUCCCGUUCCGCUGUGGCUAUCAUGCACUGCUCGUGCGAACCGCAUUUGUGAAAUUCAAUGCGGUACCGCAUUAUGCAUACCUCAAGCCCAAGCUGCCAGGACCCCGGGGGGUCAUCCCAGUUAACGGAAACACAGAGCGCUCUCUCCGCACGGAGGAGCACACUACGGCCCUCGCAGCAGAAGUGCAAAGCAGCCUCUCAAGGCAAUCCACCAGUUCGGUGUUUCAAGACCAGGACGCCUUCAAACGCGCUCGGAGUAAUCGGCAACUAGACCUCCUUGCACGGUCUGAGCUCGCGUAGCAAUGCGGCCCCCACCCCGGCCCAAGCCAAACGGCGAAAUUCGUGCCACGCGUACAUAAUUACGCAUUAAAAAUACCAUGGGCACAGGUGGGGAGGGGGGAACAACUACGGCACGCUCCAAGACGCGGCCUAAACCGCACUAGGGGCUUCCCGCUUUGUUAUUUUUCUCUUUCAGGACUUUAAUCUCUGGAAACCUUGUCCGGCAGCAUGAUUGCCGAACACAUGACGCAGCAACCAAGAGAGGCAGAAAGCUACGUCACAUCACGGUACUCCCAGGUGGAUUACGAUAACGAGUGAAAUAUUUGCUUUAAUACUAUUCCUCAGCUGGCCCUUGGAAGGGACAUAGUCCUACUUUUUUCUUAUCGCACUAUCUGUAUCAUUCUGCUUUAACGCACCUCUUUGAAUAAACAACGCAUAAUAUUACAAUUAUUAUUGCAUUCUUGUUUUAUAUAUAUGUGUUCAUUAAUGACGCCUUGCAACCGUACACUUUGGUACGGCCAACACACCAGGGGCUUAAGUACCCCACAAAUAUGGUGUGAGAAGUCCGAACACUUUCACAAGUGCGGCACCCCGAACUUAUAGCAGUAUAUGCAUCAGCUCUGAAUCGUGUCUUUGGUCAAAUGUUGGGUUUGCUCGGCUCCUAUGUUUUGGUACCUUACAUUCCGCUCUAUCGGCUAAAGUAGCGUGUCGGUGUCAAAACCGGCAGAUCUCGGGUAGGGGGUCCCGAACUGUGCGUCUAGGCCGGAUGGUAACAGGAGACAAGGGACACGAAGUUUUACCCAGGUUUGGGCCCUCUCGAUGGAGGUAAAUCCCUACGUCCUGCUUGAUUAAUAUUGAUGAUAUGGGUAGUACAAGAGUAGAUCUACCAUGAGAUCGAGGAGGCUAUACCCUAGAAGCUAGCCUAUGGUAUGAUUGUUGAUGUGUAUGUUGUCCUACGGACUAAAACCCUCCGGUUUAUAUAGACACCGGAUAGGGUUAGGGUUACAUAGAGUCGGUUACAAUGGUAGGAGAUCUAAAUAUCCGCAUCGCCAAGCUUGCCUUCCACGCCAAGGAAAGUCCCUUCCGGACACGGGACAGAGUCUUCAAUCUUGUAUCUUCAUAGUCCAGGAGUCCGGCUGAAGGUAUAGUUCGGCCAUCCGAACACCCCCUAAUCCAGGACUCCCUCAGUAGCCCCUGAACCGGGCUUUAAUGACGACGAGUCCGGCGCGCAGAUUGUCUUCGGCAUUGCAAGGCGGGUUCCUCCUCCAAGUACUUCAUAGAAGAUUUUGAACACAAAGGUAGUGUUCGGCUCUGCAAAAUAAGUUUCCACAUAUUUCCAUAGAGAGAAUAAUAUUUACACAAAUCUAAUCUGCUAGCGUAUUCUAUAGCGUGACAUCACACCACGGCCAAGCUUUUAUUCGAACCGUUUUACUGUCCCAUCUCAGCGCGUUAUGCGAGGCGGUUUCCUUGGCACGUCUUGUUAAAGCAGAUAUUGUGUCCCCUUAUUCCGCGAUUCUCAUCAAUACGGGCGUGGGUAACCCAACCGCUUAUAGGAUUCCUAGAUUAUAGGCAAGCCCAAGCGAACACGGAGAGGGCGCUUGAUAUUGACCCUCUUUAUAAAGGGACCAGGCUUUUAUUUUUCCCUCCCAUGCUCAAUCGAAUCCUUCCCCCACCUCAAGCUCAAGCGCCCGAAGUUCAGGUCAGAUGCUCUGAACCUUCAGUCAUGUCCGGAUCUAGCCUUCAAGGACGAUGGGUGCCUUCCUCCGUCACGGAAGGAGACAUCAAAAAGUUGAGGGAGGCCAAAUAUCUGACCGCCGAGAUUUUGCAUCGGCUGCCUCCCCGAGGGCAGGUCGUCCCUACCCCCGAACCCAACGAGAACGUCGUGUUCGUUUCCCACUUCCUCCGAGGUCUAGGCCUUCCUCUAGAUCCCUUCAUCAGGGGUUUGAUGUUUUAUUACGGGCCAGACUUCCAUGAUCUAGCUUCGGACUCCUUUCUUCAAAUCACGACAUUUAUCGUCAUGUGUGAGGCCUUCCUCUGGGUUACCCCUCACUUUGGCUUGUGGCUCAAGACCUUUGAAGUGAAGCCGAAGAUGGUCGAGGGGCAACAUGCAGCAUGUGGAGGUACCUCAGUACGCAAGAUGACAGGAGCUCUGUGGCCCAAAGGUUCCAUCCCGGAGGUGUCUGAAUUGUGGCAACAGGAAUGGUUCUAUAUCACGGCUCCUAGAAGCGCCAAGGGGGCGGCCGCCCCUGUUUUCCGCUCGGGCCCUCCACCACAACUGAUCUCAUGGAUCAGCAGGGGUCUGAGCUGGAGCCCAGCCAAGGAUGUGCCUAUACUGCAAAGCCGCAUUCGAGAUCUCUUCAAUGGAGAUUUCAGUUUGGUCGCGGUAGCACAAGUUAUGCUGGUUCGUCAAGUCCAACCUUGCAAACGUCGCCCCCUUCACCUAUGGGAGUUCAAUCCCGAGGGACCGCGUGUCAUUCAAAAUUUCCUCGGUUUGACGCACGAGGAGAUAUACAAGUCAUUCUUCGGACCUCAGGUAGAGUGUCCGGAAAUCACCGAGGACGUGGGCCUGAGUAGUACCCGCACCGCCGAACAGGUAAGGAAUCUUCCGGCCGAACGUACUGUCUCUCAUUUGUUACGAAGUUUAUUUCUGAGAAUUCGCUUUCUGAUCAGGACUGGCUAGCGAAGGCAAAGUUGAUUCGGUGUUCGGCCCCCCUCCCUGAAGGUUUGGAAAAUCCGGUCCUGGAAAAGAUGCUCCAGAUCGCACCUUGCCCGGAGCCCUUGAGGGAAGAUACUGUGGAGGACAGUAAGGGCGGACGCGGGCCCCCAACGCUGCCCAUUCUAACCGAGGGAGCGGGCGUCUCCAUGAAGGAAGACGACCGGAAGAGGAAAAGGACCGCACCCGGGGAUUCGGAAGCCGAAGCUUCCAAACGGGAGAAGAAGUCUCCCACCGAGGGUCCUACCUUGGGGGGUGCUGUUUCCGCACAAAGUCCACAGGGGGAUCAAUUCUCCCGCGAGUUGUAAGUGACCCGGAAUACUUAAACAGUACAGAUAUGCCAUCUUUUCCUUCUGAGAAAAUAACCACUGCAUAUAUCUUAGCAGUUCGUGCCUUAGCCCCUCUCAAAUGAGCUCAUCUUCGGGGGAUCUUCUUCCAGAGAUGAUGGAGAGCGAAACGCCUCCUCCGGACUCCUCCGCUCCGGAAGCGGGCAACCCUGAAGUGUCGUCACGGAGGGCCUCUCCGAGUCCAGUGAGGCCAAAAGAUAAUCCCGUUGACCCCCGAAGCUCCCAAUGUCCGGCUCCCGAAGAGAGCAGACAAAAGAGUCCGGCACCGUCUAGUGUGCGAUCGGAUGUUCUGAGGGAGUUGGUGGGGCGAGCGGCCAUCUCAGAUGAACACCAUGUGCUGAUGAAGACGGUGAUGGAGAGAAUAUCGUCUGCCGAAAGCGGAUUGCAUGAAGCUUUUAUGAGUCUACUAACAGGCUUUGAGGUACGUAAAAGAAUGUAUGAUAGUCCUGCACAUGCUAGGUGUGCCCUGUGUAGAUAGUAGCCCCUGAGACUCUGGUUGUCAUCGGAAAUGACGACGAACAGAGGAUCAAAUUCCCAGGUAAUAACCAUACCGCCUCUAUGUGCAGGUGAUGGAAGCUCCGGUGGCUAGCCGGACUAAUGAGUUUGCCCAUUUAGAACGGCAGUUGGAUGCGGCAGACGCCGACAUCGAGCUUGUUAAAAAAAGGCUUGACGAGGCACAAGAUAAGUGUCUUUAUCUGGUAAACGUCACACAGGAAGAGCAGCAUAAUGCCAGUAUCUUUAAUAUGUUGUUACUGCAGAUGGAUCUGCCACUGUUGAAGCCUUGCGGGCAGAACUUGCCCGAGCCAAGGAGCAAGCGAGGUUGGGUAAUGCGGCUGCUCUGAAGGCGGCCAAAGAGUUGCAAGCCGAGAAGGCCGCACAUGGCGAAAGCCGAGACAAGAUGGCCAAGAUGGCCAUAGAAUUAAAAGCCGCCGCCGACCGUUGCCGGGUUCUUGAAAAGGAAAACCAGGCGAAGGCAUCGGAUCUUGAGAAGGCUGCUGCAACGAGAAAAGACCUCCGCUCUUCUAUGAGGGCAAAGAAGGAGGAGCUGCGGGAAGCAGGGGAUAUUGUAGCUGGGAAAUCCUUUAUGUUGCGGAGGAAGUUCGGAGAUCCACGGUAUGCCCCUCUGGAUCGGCUGUGGAGCUCGGAGGAUGUGUAUAUGGAUUUGGCGGCGAGCGCUGCCGAUGCGGCCAAGUACUUCAAGGGUCAAACGGACCGUGGAGUAGACCAGCUAUUUUGGAGACAAUUCCAUUCUCCCAAGCGUCCACUUUCAUUGACUGACCAAUUAGCCGAAUGGGCCGAACUAAAUAGGUUGUCCGGACUCACCAUGAGGUCCAUUGUGGAUCAGCUAUGGCCGGAAAGGUUGAAACCGAACAGCUAUUUCAGCUUGGUGCAUCAGUUCCUGGACGUGGUGCCGUGCAUUAAUGCGAUGAAGAGGUCAGCGUGCAUAGAGGGCGCACGGAUGGCCUUUGCGCGUGUCAAGGUAUACUGGACGGAGAUGGAUGCUACCAAUGUUGCGGCGCGAUAUUCGGCCAUAUAGGUCGGAAGGCUGCUGAGCACUACUUUGGAGAGGUUCUUGAGGGUGCCCGUUUGCUAGAGUCCCAGUGCUCAAAAAAAUUAUGUUUGAGUGAUAUGUAAUCUCAUUAUAAGCGAAAUGCUUUUAUAGAGUUUUAUAAGGCUAUUUUUAUACUUUUGCCUAAAAGUAAUAUGAUGCCUCCUGGACAGCCCUUUUUGUAUACGUGUGUAUAACUGAAAGAUUGCGGUCGUCGGCUUCAACCCCCAUGCAUAUAAUGCGGAGCUGCUGGCAAAAAACACGCGUUCACACUUAACCCAACGUCUUGGUCCUAUUAAGGAGGUGAUAGCGGAGCGAGCAAGGCAACCGGACUAUAAUGCUUUAACACUUUCACUUAGCCAUAGGAGUUUGAUAGUGGGGCUACGAGAUAGCCCCUGGUGGCUCCGCACUCUCCCGAUCUCGGGGUGCGUACAUGCCUGGCCGGAAAACGGCCCUUUGUUAAGGCAGAGGAAUUCUAACAUUCCCACAGGUCAUCGAGUGGUUGACCAGUCUCGCACUAUAUCAUGACAGUCAGUUUUCGGCUUUCUCUACUGAGGUGCUCGUCCGGAUGAACCAGGGCACAAUCGCAGUAGUUCUCCUGGUGCUACCUAAGCCGGUAAAGCGAAAUGUAAGGCACCAAAACACAGGAGCCGGGCAAACCCAACAUUUGACCAAAGACAAUGAUUCGGAGCUGAUGCAUAUAGGGCCAAACUCGCGACGCCGAACACUCUCUAAGGUAUUCGGUCCUUGUGGUAUAAACCGGUCCUAAAUAAUGGCUUUUGUAAGAAGCCCCUUGUGUCCAGGUACAUGCAUUGUUCUGGCGUGGCCACAUGCCAAGACGUCAGCAUCCUUCACAACGGUGGAUAUGUAUCAACAAGAGACAGUAAGAAAGGUUUACGCAGGGUCUUAAUCUAAAAAGAAUCCUUUGAGCGGGUCCUUGUUGCAUGUCUGCGCCUGUGUCUCCGUUGUGCAGUAUUCUGGACGGGUGUAGCACGAUGAUCGUCUGUAAAAGAGAGGAAGUUAGGUGAAAAAGUUGUCGUGCAAAAAGAUAGUUUUUAAAGAAACCAUGUACAAUUGAAGAUGAUAAGAAAUUGCCACUUGUCUACGCGCGUUGAGCCCCUUGUAUUGACAAAUAGGGGUGUGAUCACUUAUUCGGUGUAAAUAGCGGCGUCGGACUCGAUCGAUGGUCCGGAUGUCUUUAAUGUUCGGCUGCCAAGGCAGCCUCACUCUCUUCGGCACGCAGAGAGCGCUUGAUAUCUCCGUGCACUGUAAUGAUGCCACGUGGACCGGGCAUCUUGAGUGUGAGGGAGGCGUAGUGUGGUAUUACAUUAAAGCGAGUGAAAGCUUCUCGUUCGAGCAGUGCUUGAUAGCCACUUUGAAACGGAGCUAUGUGGAAAGUUAAAUGGUCGCGACGGAAGUUAUCGGGGGAGCCGAAUGUAACUUGUAAUGAGAAGGAGCCCGUACAACGAGCCCCUGGGCCUGGCGUUACUCCUUUAAAGGUAGUAUUGCUAUGGCGAAUUUGUGUUGGGUCUAACCCCAUCCCGCGGAUUGUAUUCUGAUAUAUUAGGUUUAGGCUACUGCCGCCGUCCAUCAAGACUUGUGUGAAGUGAUAUCCGUCAAUUACUGGGUCUAAUACCAGGGCAGCCCAUCCUGCGUGCCGGAUACUUGCUGAGUAAUCGUGAUGGUCGAAAGUGAUCGGUUGAGAUGACCAGUGGCAGGACUUCGCGGUGACAGGCACUUGAGUAUGUUUUCCUGGGAGUGCUGUGUUGUUUUUUUCCCUGAUCACGUGUAACACGUUUACUGUUUUGACUUCUGGUGGAAAUUUCUUUGGUUCCGCCGUGUCUUGUUUGGGAGGCCCGUCCUCGUCUUCACUUGGUGUAUCUUCCCCCUUGUGUACGGCGUUGAGCUUGCCGGACUACUUGCAGACCCAACAUUCUCUGUGGGUAUGAUUAGUGGGUUUACCAGGGGUACUAUGGAUUUGGCAUACUUGGUCCAGAAUUUUGUUGAGGCUGGAUAGUUCGUCCCUGGUGCCUUUAGGGGGCGCCUUUUGACCUGGCCGAAAGCUUUUGAAUCCGGCAUUUACUGCCGUGCCCUUCGUGCUAUCUUCUUUAAUCCGGAGUUUGCUAUUGCUAUUGCGCCGUGAUUUCCCGUUUCCAACUCUAACUUCGGAUGUACUGGGGUCGCUGGUGCUGCAUCUUGCUAGCCAGCUAUCCUCACUCGCGCAAAAGCGGGUCAUGCGGUUUGUUAAUGCGGCCAUCGUUCUCGGCUUAUUUUGGCCGAGGUGUCUGGCGAGCCAUUCGUCGCGGAUGCUAUGCUUGAAAGCUGCCAAGGCUUCGGCGUCCAGACAGUCGACAAUCUAGUUCUUUUUAGUAAGAAUCCUUUUCCAAAGCUUUCGGGCUGACUCUCCGUGCUGUUGAGUAAUAUGACUCAAAUCAUCCGCAUCCGAAGGUCGGACAUAAGUCCCUUGAAAAUUUCCCCGAAAGGCGUCUUCAAGUUCUUCCCAACUUCCAAUGGAGCUUUCGGGGAGGCCUUUGAGCUAAGUGACGAGCUGGCCCUUUGAGCUUGAGGGGUAAGUACUUGAUGGCGUGGAGAUCGUCUCCUCGAGCCAUAUGGAUGUGAAGGAUGUAGUCCUCAAUCCAGACUCCGGGGUCUAUUGUUCCGUCUUAUGCCUCUAUGCUUACGGGUUUGAAUCCCUCUGGAAAUUCAUGGUCCAGCACCUCAUCGGUGAAACACAGGGGGUGUGCGACACCCCUGUAGCUGGGUGUGCCGCGUUGUUCAGGUGUUUGUUGUGUUGCGUUGUAUGCUGGGGCGCGCUUGCGUGGUCCAUAGAUGGAUCUUGUUGUGUCGUCCUUUGGGUGCGAGCCCUUGCAUGGGUCGCGUAUUGUAUUGUGAGUGGCGUUGUAUGCCGCUCUUUGUUGGUAGAGGGGUCGUCUAUCCGACCAGGUGGCUACUGUGAUAUUUGGUUGUGGAGGUUCUGAGGCCUCCUCAUCGAACUCGGGCAGCAGCUUCCGCUUUGGGUAGCUCUUGGAGGGGCGAUUGUCGCCGUACCUUGCUAUUGUGCUGAGUAUUUUACUCCAUCUGAAUUGGAGUGUGUCUUGCGCGGCCUUGAGCCUUUGCUUCUGUUUUUUCAGGUUCCUGGCGGUGGCAACAAGCCUUUUACGGGCAGUCUCCUGCUCCGGGUGUCGGUCCGAUGUUAUGUCGUCCAGGCCAUUAUCCUUGAUAGGAUUUGUUUGUUCAGUUUGAUUAUCCGGAUUGCCGUUGUCCGGCAGCGGUUCGCCCUGCUCCAGCGCUAGGUCUGUGUGAUCGCUAUUUCUAUCGAGGCGGGAUUUGGUGCGUCGCUUGCGUCGCCGCUUUGACUGCUUUUCGAGGGAACAAGCCUUCGGUGCGCCCUUCCGUUCCUCGUCGUCAUCUUUUGGUGCGUCCACCAUGUAUACGUCAUACGACGAGGUGGCUUUCCAGGGCCUAGUAGGCGCUGGUUCUUCAUCAUUUCCUUCAUCGGCGUCCAUACCAUCGAUGUCUUCGGAGUCGAAGUCGAGCAUGUCGGUUAAGUCGUCGACAGUGGCUACAAAGUGGGUGGUGGGCGGGCUUUGAAUUUCUUCAUCGUCCGAAUCCCAACCUUGCUGGCCGUAGUCCGGCCAGGGCUCUCCUGAUAAAGAGAGAGACUUUAGUGACUUCAUAAUAUCGCCAAAAGGCGAGUGCUGACAGAUGUCCGCGGCAGUAAACUCCAUGAUUGGCGCCCAAUAGGAUUCGAUUGGCCGGGGCGCGGAGGGUUCGGAGUCCAGAAAGGAGUCCGGCUCCUUGGAGACACUAGUCCCGCAGAGUGCGGGGCUGGUGUUCGGCUCAAUUGCCGUUGGGAUCGUAGCCCCCAAGGCGGCGUCCAACCGCCCAUCCUCGAUCGAUGCAGUUGGCUCCGAAUUAAGAAUCGGGGCCGAUGUGGGUGCGGCCUCCAGGGCACUGUUCGACGGCAGAGCUAGAUCGUGCUCGUCGGCAAUGGCUCGAAUCCGUCAAGGAUCAAGUCCCCGUGGAUGUCAGCCGUGUAGUUUAAACUUCCAAAUCUGACCUGACGGCCAGGGGCGUAGCUUUCGAUCUGCUCCAGGUGGCCAAGUGAAAUGGCCCGUAGUGCGAAGCCUCCGAAGACAAAGAUCUGCCCGGGGAGGAAGGUCUCACCCUGGACUGCAUUGCUAUCGAUGAUCGUAGGAGCCAUCGAGCCUGAUGGCGACGACAUAGAGGAACUCUCAAUGAAAGCACCAAUGUCGGUGUCAAAACCGGCGGAUCACGGGUAGGGGGUCCCGAACUGUGUGUCUAGGCCGGAUGGUAACAGGAGGCAAGGGACACGAAGUUUUACCUAGGUUCGGGCCCUCUCGAUGGAGGUAAAACCCUGCGUCCUGCUUGAUUAAUAUUGAUGAUAUGGGUAGUACAAGAGUAGAUCUACCAUGAGAUCAAGGAGGCUAAACCCUAGAAGCUAGCCUACGGUAUGAUUGUUGAUGUGUAUGUUGUCCUACGGACUAAAACCCUCCGGUUUAUAUAGACACCGGAUAGGGUUAGGGUUACAUAGAGUCGGUUACAAUGGUAGGAGAUCUAAAUAUCCGCAUCGCCAAGCUUGCCUUCCACACCAAGGAAAGUCCCUUCCGGAAACGGGACGGAGUCUUCAAUCUUGUAUCUUCAUAGUCCAGGAGUCCGGCUGAAGGUAUAGUUCGGCCAUCGAACACCCCCUAAUCCAGGACUCCCUCAUAGCGCUAGGAUAACUACUGCGAUUGUGCCCCGGUUCUGUUGGGCUAAGCACCUCAGUAGAGAAAGCUAAAACUGACUGUCAUGAUAAGGCGAGAGACUGGCCGCUGUUCGGCGAGGUUUCGAGUCCCUAAAGACUUAUGCCGCUUAGAGCGAGGAGUCGGUCCUGUCCGGCUUAAAGGCGUGUAUCGUGCCCUGGAUUCGGCCUUCCGAAUACUAGGGGCUUCGUCGAAAUUUAAAAUUAUAGAAUUCUAUGGCUAAGUGAGAGUGAUAAAGCAUUAUUAGUCCGGUUGCCUUGUUCGUUGUGCUGAGCACCUCCCUCGAAGGACCCAACAAUGGGAACAAGAGUGCUUAGGUUUAUCCCGAACACCCCAGCACUCGCGGCAUGGGGGCAGAAGCCGAGGACUAGCCAUCUCUCAGAUUGGAUAAACAGCCAAACAGAAGGUAAUAUUUUAAAUUCAAACAAGCGUUGCAUAGCACAUAUGAAACAAGUUUUCAUCAUACAGGAUCACACGAGCAAGUUUACUCAAAUAUUACAUCCUUUGAACAUUCGUCCGCUACAAGACGGGCACCCUUCAGGACACCCUAAUAAUAAAUUUCGGGGGUGCGAUGCUCCUUGCCCUGCGGCGGUCCCUCCUUGAUCAGCUUCACGGCGUCUAGCUUGGCCCAUUGCACCUUCACACGGGCGAAAGCCCGGCGUGCACCUUCGAUGUAGAAAGACCGCUUGACGACCUCCAGCCGUGGGCAGGCGUCCACAAGCCGCCUCACCAGGCCGAAGUAGCUGUUCGGAAGGGCGUCGCCAGGCCACAGCCGGACUAUAACGCCCUUCAUGGCCUGUUCGGCCGCUUUGUGUAGCUCAACCAGCUGCAUCAGCUGGUCUCUCAUAGGCACCGAGUGUUCGGUCCCAGUAUACUGAGACCAGAACAACUUCUCCGUUGAGCUUCCCUCCUCGGCCUGGUAAAACUGUGCGGCAUCCUACACGCUGCGGGGCAAAUCUGCGAAUGCUCCUGGAGAGCUCCAGAUUCGGGUAAGUAAUAGGUAAUUUACUUUCACAUGCUUGCUUUGCAUAUAAAAUGCCUUACCCGCCGCUAUUUUCUUCAUCGCGUCAAUCUCCUGGAGGGCCUUUUGGGCUUCGGCCUUGGCAUUUUUUGCGCUCUCGAGGGCCGUGGCAAGCUCAGACUCUCGCGUCUUCGAGUCAAGCUCCAACGCCUCAUGCUUCGUCACGAGAGCCUGGAGCUCUUGCUGCACCUCGCCCACCCGAGCCCCUUGCCUUUCCCGCUUGGUGCGCUCCUUGGUCGCUUUAUCUUCGGCCUCGGACAGCGCUUGCCUUAGGGUCACCACUUCGGUCGUGCCCCUGGCAAAUUCAUGAUGAUCCUGUCAUUUCGCAACGCAUUCUUUUUAUACAUAUCCAUAAACUAGGUAUUACUUACCUUUGUUCUCCUUGAGCUGCCUCUUGGCAAGGCCGAGCUCGUCCUUGGACACUUUAAGGUCCUGCUUCAGUGCGGCGACCUCCGCAGUCAGUGCGGGAAAUGCUAGCAGCGAAGCCUGCAUAUGCAUAUUGACAUACUUAUAUUAGACUCAUGCGAUGUUGUUUGAUCCUCUGUUCGGCUUUUCUUUGUGAACACCGAACAGAGCAUCAGGGGCUACUGUCUAUGCGGUAAUAUUUUUCCUAUAUUCUAAUCACUUACCUCAAAGCCUGUUAGAAGGCUGGCACAGGCUUCAGUCAAUCCGCUCUUGGUGGACGUACUGAACCUUCUGGACCACCGCACUCAUAAUAGUACGGUGCUCCUCCUCGAUGGAAGCGCUCCGAAGCGCUUCCAUUAGAUUAUCUGGCGCCUCUGGAUGGACAGAGGUCACCGGCACAGGCGUCACGCCCCUCUUAGAAGGAGGCCGCAAGCCUGAGUCUGGAACCGCUGGAGGUUCCGGCACGGUGUUCGGCUGAGGGCCGAACUCGGGGCCCUCAGGGGCCUUGUCCCCUCGGCUCCCGGAGUCCGGAAGGUCGCCUUGAGGCGCCUCCAGGACUGUCUCCCCUCGACCCGGUGCCUCUUGAGACAACACCUCGGUGUCAUCCGCAGGGCAAGGGGAGGUGGCGGUCAGAAGUGGAUCGCUAUCCAUAUCCGACGAGGCCAGGGAGCCGUCCGACGAUACAUCGAUACGGGCUCGUGGCGGCCUGCAUAAUCAUAUUCAGCGUUAGGGAAAGUAGUGCGACAAAGGAAUGCUAUGAGUUACUCUAGUAUCCGAAUACUUACGACCUUCCCAGGGGUUUGGCCCUGGGCAACCACUCGUCUUCGCCUUCGGCGGCGACGAUGGAGCUGUCCGGAAGGAGAGUCCUUCCCUUCUUGGACCCUUCGGCCCCCCAGUUGGGGCGGCCUUCCUUUUCUUGUCUCCCCUACCUGGAGGGGGAGCAUCUUCUUCUUCCUCCUUGUCUUCGUGGGAGGAGUGUGCCGUAGAGUCAUUAGAUGGUGAGUCCGAUGACGCCUGGCGUCGGGAACUCUUUCGGGUUCCCUUGGCCUUCUUGGUCUUCUCCGGCACCGUAUAAGGAGCCGGAGUCAGCAUCUUCGCCAGGAGAGCGUCUACUGGGCCUUCGGGCAAAGAGCCGGACAGUCGACCUGUCCGGCCGUCUCCUGCCAGUCCUGUCAAAGGUACGGGAUCUUACAUCCCGCAUAGAGUCAAACUAUGGAAAACAAGUAUCCUGUGAGAGGUAAAACAGCUUACUGCGCUGGCUUGGCGCUUCGCGCAGAAUCCGCGGUCCUCCGUAGUGGGAGGGGGAACCUCGGCGCUCUUGAACAACAUCUUCCAGGCAUCUUCGUGAGUUGUGUCGAAGAGCCUGUUCAGAGUUUGAUGCUGGGCCAGGUCGAACUCCCACGAGUUGAAAGCCCGUUGUUGGCACGGGAGGAUCCGGCGGUUGAGCAUGACCUGGACCACGUUAACAAGUUUGAGCUUCUUGUUCACCAUGUUUUGCAUACAUGUUUGGAGUCCGGUCAGCUCUCCCGAACUACCCCAGGACAUGCCCUUCUCUUGCCAGGAGGUGAGCCGCAUGGGGAAGCCAGAUCGGAACUCGGGGGCCGCUACCCAUUUAGGGUCGCGCGGCUCGGUGAUGUAGAACCACCCCGAUUGCCACCCCUUUAUGGUCUCCACGAAGGAGCCCUCGAGCCAUGUGACAUUGGGCAUCUUGCCCACCAUGGAGCCUCCGCACUCUGCCUGGCGGCCGCUCACUACCUUCAGCUUGACGUUGAAGGUCUUCAGCCAUAAGCCGAAGUGGGGCUUGAUGCGGAGGAAGGCCUCGCAAACAACGAUAAACGCCGAGAUGUUGGGGAUGAAUUUCGGGGCCAUAUCGUGGAAAUCCAGGUCGUAGUAGAACAUGAGCCCCCGGACGAAUGGGUGGAGAGGGAAUCCCAGUCCGCGGAGGAAGUGGGUAAGGAACACUACCCUCUCAUGGGGCCUGGGGGUGGGGAUGAGCUACCCCUCACCUAGGAUCCGGUGCGCGAUGUCGUCGCGCAGGUAUCUGGCUCUCCUCAGCUUCUUGAUGUGUCCCUCCCUGACGGAGGAGACCAUCCACCUGCCUCCCGCUCUGGACAUGAUUGGAGAAGGUCUUGAUAUGGGCGGUCGAAACUAUGCGCCACCACUAGCCUAGUAAAACUCCCUUAUCCCCCAAGCACCGUAAUCGAUGGCGGGGUUGGGUUACCCAUGCCCCUAUUGAUGAGAAUAGCGUGAUAAGGGGACAUGAUCUCUGCUUUGACAAGACGUGUCAAAAAACUGCCUCGCAUUAUGUGCGGGGCUAGUUAAAGGAAACAGUUCGAAUAAUCACCGGGCCAUGACAUAAUGUCGUGUUGCCAAGACGUGUCAGCAGAUUAGAUUUGUGGAAGUAUUAUUCUCUCUACGGUGGUAUGUGGAACUUAUUUUGCAGGGUCAUACACUAUCCUUGUAUUAAAAUUCUUCUGUGAUGUAUUCGGAGGAGGAACCUGCCUUGCAAUGCCGAAGACAAUACUGCACGCCGGACUCAUCGCCAUUGAAGCCUGGUUUAGGGGCUACUGAGGGAGUCCUGGAUUAGGGGGUCUCCAGACAGCCGGACUAUAUUCUUUGGCCGGACUGUUAGAGUGUGAAGAUACAAGAUUGAAGACUUCGUCUCGUGUUCGGAUGGGACUCUACUUGGCGUGGAAGGCAAGCUAGCAAUACGGAUAUGCAUAUCUUCUCCUUUGUAACCGACCUUGUGUAACCCUAGCCCUCUCCGGUGUCUAUAUAAAUCAGAGGGUUUUAGUCCGUAGGACAACAUACAAUGAUACCAUAGGCUAGCUUCUAGGGUUUAGCCUCUCUGAUCUCAUGGUAGGUCUACUCUUGUACUACCCAUAUCAUCAAUAUUAAUCAAGCAGGACGUAGGGUUUUACCUCCAUCAAGAGGGCCCGAACCUGGGUAAAACUUCGUGUCCCCUGCCUCCUGUUACCAUCCGCCUAGUCGCACAGUUCGGGACCCCCUACCCGAGAUCCGCCGGUUUUGACACCGACAGCUAGGAACACAUAUGGAGUGGAGGUAAUUAAUCUACUAAACCAUAGAGUACUUCCGCAUGACAGACUUGGGAUGAUUCCAAAGGAAACAAAAACAAGCUCCCUCGAAUUCAUGGUGGCAACUUGCAUCGAUUGCACGUGAGCUUAGAGGAAGUCACUACUUUCAUCCAAACAUAUACUUGAUGAACGGGGCAUGAAGGGAAUGCGUACACAAGUUUCCAACACUAGCUAGAUGUUCAACAUGAAUCAUGGUGGAGACAAGAUGCUGCUGAUGGGCUCAGCAGCAACACAUCGGGAUUUCCAUAUCACUGGACGUCCACCAUUAUCUGAACAAUGUGAUAGUAUUGGUCAGACCAAAAUACGUAAUGGUGUAUGCUCGAGGGAUCAACCAGGAGUAAGAUAACAUUACGAACAUCGUUGGUUCUGACUUGACUUGACGAUAGCCCAUACUCAAGUCAAACUUUUGACAAGGCAAUAGAUCCAACAACUGAUCACGAGGACCAAUCGAUGGAGAUAUCAUCUUUCCUCAACACACACACAUACACACACAAAAACAUAUCCCUUAACAUGAACUAUGUCAGACAAGCUUUUAUCUUCCAACUCUCCAAGUUGUUGUUUUGGCUUAACCAACUAGCUCAGGGGUAUCCAACACAGAUUCUUGGAGAAUGGGUGGUUUGGAGGAAUACGAACAUGGUCACGAGCCCAACAUAGCGGUCAAGUGACAACCUGGUAAUACUUCCGAGAGGAUAUUCGGAACAUCACUAACCACCGAUAUGUUACUAAGCUUGAGAACAAUCAUGCCUUUCAGAGCAAGAAGAUAGGAUCAAAAGAUAUAGGGAUUAAUAAUCCUAACUCACUGACCGAAGUGUGCACCAGAAAUAUGGACUAGGUAGAAUGAUCAAUCUUAGGAUGAUGAUUUAAUAACCAACACGCUAAGAAUGAGAAUAUUGUCCAUUAACUACCAGGCAACACGGUUGCUAGGAGUAUAGAUUUCACACAUCACGAUUCAUUAGUCGGCAUUCUGAUUGCGAUAACACGACACCGAGGAAUGAAUAAUGAUGGCGGUAAGUAUCACUACGUCAAGAAUUCAUAAGAGGUGGUGCAAUUCUCGUGACAAUCUUGGCAUAAGAUGGUAAUACUUCAGAAUAGAACAGAACAAAAGUUGAAUUGGAAUUUUGAUCUGCGGGAUACAACUACUUUGACCCAAUCCUAGAAAUGGAUGAGGUACUGGAGUUUGUUUCUCCUAGUCAUUCUGAACUAGAAUGGCUUGACGGACCAGAAGAAUAAUAGGCAUCGAUGAACAUGAAUGCACAACUAUUCCUGACUAUCAAUUGAUAGACUAGGGUCGGAAUACAAUUGAGGAGGGUCAACUCAAGGAACAUAUAACUUUCUGAGUUGUGGAUGCAUAGAUUAGUAUGUCGAACCAAGUUCAACAUGUUUCUUCCGGAUAACCCAUGCAGAGAGGUAGGACUGGCAGAGUCACAAUUAUGAAUGGAGAACUCCUCAAGAGUACUCUGAUUGUGAUCCUUUGGUUCAAAUAACUUCUGCCUUAAUGGUUCAUGGUAUUUGGAAGAAGGAAAUUCCACAGAGCUGGAGGACUGUCGCAAGGUUUCUAAUAUCCUAAAGGAACGAGCAACACUAUCUACACGAAUUAAGUAGAGUGAAUCUUGGGUUCAAGAACCCGGGAAGGAAUAGCUACUAACUAAUAACAUCACGAGAUGCUUUCGAGAAUGGUGGCCAGAAUCAUCACGCCGGGAACACAAAACAUGGCUAGAUUACUAGGUGACUCCCUAAAACACCUAGGGUCAUAAUAAUGGCUCCAACAUAUAUGUCAAGGCAAUAAAUUUCCUCAACGCACUGGUUCUUGUGCUUAUUCUGACCAUAAAGGACAUCGGGAACAGAAAGAAAGGAUUUGCAAAUGCAUUAGACUAUUUAGAGAACUAGGAUGACUCGGACAGCAUAACUGCGUUAAAUGCUCAGAAAAAGAUUUGAGACAUUCACAAGGAUUUGCAUAGUCACUUAACAACAUCAUAUCAAGGUUCCGAGAUCAACUGUCAACCUAUGGAAGUAGUAGAAACCGCAUUGAGACAUGGAACCAACAAUCCUACAAGUCUACGGAUUAGUAACACGUGAUCCUGAUAGAAAGAUGAGAAGCCUAGUUCUUAAUCACCGUAGAAGAGAAGAGGAUGACUUAGAUCAGAAGGGCAUAAGGUAAAGGAGUAAAAAGAGCCUUACGUUCCCUUCCACAAUCAAUUCCCUUAUAUAACUAAAGCAUUUCUAGACACGACUUCGACCAGUUUGGCUUGGUAAUCCUACAGGCAGUCAGGCUCUGAUACCAAAGCUGUCAGGAUCCCGAUCCUAAGUCACACUGAUCUAGCAUGUAACACAUCAUAUUACUUUGCGGCCUCACGCAUGGUAUUCCCACGGGUGCCACUACCUAGCCUGGGACCGUUUGCGCCUUUUGGCUCACGUAUAUGAUAGUGUCGCUAGCAUCCAUAUGACAAAGAACCCGGGCCGAGAUGACUAGUCGUGAACCCAAAGUGGCACUAACUUACAGGGAUAGGCAUACAUGAAUCAACAUCGAGCAUGUCGGUCAGCAGCGUGCGAAUUCGGGCUGUAGCACUGGGCUAACAAAACUCCGAUGAACCGGGUUGUAGCAAGCUAGGCAGGACUCCGGAUGUCACUGCGUGACAUUUCCCCGAAGGGACAGACAUAGGAACGAAGUGAAUCACAUGCCGGCCAGUCAAGUGUUCCGGAGCAGUAGUGCUGGGCUAGCAGGACCCCGGUGAACCGGGCUGUAGCGGACUACUAUGGCUCAUGGAAGCACAAGACUACAUUUCCCCAUAAGAGAGGCUACCAAGGAUAAACAACUAGGUUGUCGGAUCCCACACAUACCAAGCAUUUCAAACCAUACACACAAUAUGCUCGAUAUGUGUAAAUCCAACAUGGCAUCACAACAAGACUCUACGACUCAAAGUAUUUAUUCAUUAGGCUCCGACGAGCCAAGCAUUACAAACAUGGGUCUCAUGACCCCAACAUACAGAGCAUACAAGCAACAAGCACAUGCGGAAGCUUAACAUGUCUGAGUACAGACAUCUACAAAUGAAAAGGCUGAGAAACCUGACUAUCUACCAGAUCUUGCCGAGGGCACAAGAUCGUAGCUGAGGUAUCAAGCUAAACGUCGAAGUCCACACGGAACUACUAGCGAGACUGACGUCUCUCUGCAAAACAUAAAAUAGGCAAACGUGAGUACAAAUGUACCCAACAAGACUUACAUCAGAACUAUCUACAUAUGCAUCGGUAUCAAUAAAGGGGGUGGUGGAGUUUAACUGCAACAAGCCAGCUUUGACUCGGUGGCUAUCUUGAACUACGACUACAAGUAACUCUUUUGAGGUGGCGCACACGAGUCCACAUAUUCACCAAUCAAUACACCACUAUGGAUCCGCUCCCGUCUCCCUACGAGAACGCCAUCCAUAGCACUCACGCUUAUCUUGCGCAUUUUAGAGUAUCCACUUUCACUUGUCUAUGAACUGUAUAGGCAACCAAGUAGUCCUUUACCGCGGACGCGGCUAUUCGAAUAGAUGAUGUUAACCCUGUAGGGGUGUACUUCUUCAUACACGCUCUCGCCACUUACCAUCGUUUACACGACAUGUACUCGGCAACCUUCAAGCGGAAGCCCAAAGAGGGUGUCGUCCACGGCCUACCUAAACACUCAAGUCUCUAGUCCAGCUUUAUCGCCUAUCCAGGUUCCAUCCGCAGGGAGUCCGGCCGAGGUUUCCACAUAUGGCCCCGAACGAUGUGUACAUGGUUCCGAGACACCAAACGGACACCCGACAUGCCCGGCCACGGUGUAUCUACCACAUCAUAGCCCACCCCUAGGGCCAGCGCUACGCAUGACCGCCAACACAUAUCCUAUAAACACUAGAAACUAGUUGCAACUCCUGGACAGAGGACUAGGGUCAUUAAGAAGCCGAGAGGGUCAAUUAAGGAUCCCAAUGCAUGGUAGUAGCUGUUUAUUAAAUCACACAUACAUAUCUCGGUGCUUAAGGACGGUUCCAAUGAAACAACCCACCAUGUACUCCUACAUGGCCUCUCAUCGAUACCUUUACCAAAUCGUGUUCAACACACUUAGCUCACACAUAGUAGGACAUGUUCACAACUUUCCUAUUCAUCCUCGAUGCAUCAGACCUGACACAACUCUAAGUAAUAGCAGGCAUGACAAACAAGCAUGAAUGAGUAGGCACAUCAGGGCUCAAACAACUGCUACUCAUGCUAGUGGGUUUCAUCUAUUUACUGUGACAAUGACAGGUCAUGCAGAGGAAAAGGGGUUCAGCUACUGCGGCAUGUAACAGUUGAAUCAAUGUUGUCCUAAUGCGGUAAAAGAGAGUAGGAGCAAGAGAGUGGGAUUGUAUCGAAAUGAGCAAGGGGGUUUUGCUUGCCUGGCACUUCUGAAGAAAGUAUAGUUCUUCAUCGGUGUCAUCGAUCUCAUCGUCGAAAACAUCGUCUACCGAGGGGGAACAACCACCGGCAAACACAGAAAGAACACAAUCAAUGCAACGCACAAUAUUAUGCAUGAUCAUGACAUGUCAACAUGCUGUGAUUUGAGCUAAUGUAGCUAAGAACAGAAGAGUUUGAGUUGAUUUGAACCAAAGGUUCAAAUUCAAAUUCAAACUAAGAACUUAUAAAGUGCAUUAUCAUGUUUUGAUCUAAACAACAAGGAUAAGUUGUUUAAACAUGCAUGAAACCAGUACGGAUGGAUAGAUUAGAUUUUUUUGAUCAUUUUUCAUAUAUAAUUUGUUUGAUUUGGAGUUACGGUUGAAUUACUAUGAAUUUUAGAAGUUUUGGGCAUUUUCUGGAAUUUCCUGAAUUAAGUUAAAUCCAGAAUAUGAGUUAUUGCGUCAGCACUGCGUCACUGUGAUGUUAGCUAGUCAACUGGGCGCCUCCAGGUCAAACCUGACCAGUAGGGCCCACUAGUCAGUGACACAUAGUCAGCUACAGAGGCUGACAUGUGGGACACGGUCAAAGCUGACGUGGCCAAGUCAAAGUUGACAAGCGGGGCCCAAUGAAAUUAGUGCUAAUCUAACAGAGAGUUAAACUAAUUAGUUUAGGCACUAGGCCCACAUGUAAGUGGGUCAGGAGGUUAAUUAGUGGGUGAUUAGUGCUAACUAGGUGGUCACGUCGAUAGUCGCCGGAGUCUCACCGGCGGUGAACUCGAACCGCGGCGGAGUUCGCUCGGAACUCACUAGAGGCGACCGAUCGACGCGCCAGGGGCACCAGAGGAUAGCCCGUGCCCGUGCACAUCUAGGGAGACCAACAGGAGGUGCGGGGGUGGCCGGAGUUCGCCGAAGUGGAACCCGCGGCGGCUGCCGGAGUUCGGGGCUGGUGCGGGUUAGCGUUGCGGUGUGCUAACAAGCGAGGCGAAUGUCUAGCGGGGAACUACGCGUUGCGGGGAGAAAGUUGGACUCGCCGGGGUGACCAGAGCUGUGCCGACGACGAGCUCAAGCGGCGGCGGCUACGGUCGUCAAGGGGGCGAUAUCUACGGCUCAAAAUCGAAGGGGAGGAAGGAGGGGAUCCACGCAGGAGCUCACAGCGGUUCGUUCGGUGACCUCGGCGAGCUCGGGGAAGCGUCGGAGCGGGCGCACGGUCGCCGGCGAUCUCGGUGGCCCGAGGUUGAAGAAGACGGCGGUGAGGGUGUUCGGCGGUGUCUGGCGUCGCUUGGCUUGGCGAGGAGGUCGAGGAUGAGGUAGCCGAGCUACUGGGCACGUCGAGGGGUCGAGGGGGAGGCUCUGGGUGCGGCAACGGUGAGCGGUGGCGACGAGCUCUGCUCGGGCUGCGUGGGAGAGAGUGCAGAGGACAGGACAGGGGUCCAGGGGGAGAGGGAGAGGCAGAGAGGGCUGCGGGGCGUCUCUAGACGCGUCGGGUAGGCUCGGGGCGCCUCGGUGGCAAGCAUGAGGUGGCCAGGGGUGGCUGCGCCCGUCGACACGUAGAAGCUCCUACUGGCGUCGGGAAGAAGACGACAGGGCAGCGCCUGGUGGGCUGGGCCGAAACGGCAGCAGGCCAACAGUGCCAGGUAAGAUCCAGGUGAGGUUUCUUUUCUCUUUUAUUUCUGUUGUUCUAUUUUCUGUAAUUGUGUUUGGCUUUAUUAAAAAUGCCAUGGUAUUUCCAAAAAUCAAGAAACUGAUCAAUGUCACUGUUUGGAAUAUUUCCAACAGCAAACGUUUCAGUUUGUGGUUAUUUGAGCAUUUAAAAUAUUAUAUAAAGCAAGCCAAUUAUAGGAUAUAAUAUAACAUCAGCUGAAUAAAUAAGCAGAAUACAAAAAUGAACUUUAUAAGGAAAAUUCAGUGUAACACAUACUGUGUUUUAUCUAUCUGGCUAUUUAAAUAAUCGUAGAACUUAUAUUUCUUUUUGUACUCCUACAAAUAAUCUGUGUACCUGAAAAUUAAUAUAAUCAGUUUGUUGCAUGUAUAUGAAGACAAAUUAAGACUACAACAAAAAUAUACCCCACACAUGGCAAGCAAGCAGCAUCAUGCAGAAAGCAAGCCGUCUAGAGGGGCGCAUGUGGUUGGCUCCUCCUGCUUGUCCAGAUUAGACAUGGCAUGUGUCAGGAAGUGAUGCAGGAGAUUGGGAAGCAUACCACGCGCAAAGGGGAGGUCGGGGUGGCACGCAGGUGGAGGUGAGCCGUUGGAGUGGGAAGCGACAACAGGGUGACGGCGAUGUUGGCCACGGGAGCCAGGCAGACAGGUCCAACGGCUGGCCGAGCGCGCAGGGAAGAAGUUGUUGGUGAGGAAACCGGCAGGGUUGGGGGAACCAAUCAGAGGUCGAAGCAACAGGGAGGAGUCCCGGCGGCGUCGUGGUAGCAGGGGCGGCAGGAGCCAGCAACGGCUGUGGCGUCGAGUGUUGUCGGUGAUGGAAGGCCACGGGGUGGGCACUUGAGGUAGGGCUAGCUGGUUGGCACGCCGGUUGAGUAGGCGGAGAAGCAGGGGCCGGCGGUGUGCGGCAGCGUGGCAGAGGGUGAAGGUGCGCCGGCGGAGUUGGCGGCGAGGCGGCGGUCGGCGGCGCGCUGGAGGUGAGAUGGGAUCAGGAAUUCAGAGGCAGGGGUGCGUUUUUUUUCUUUUUUUCUUUGCUCAUACCGGUUCGGGAUCAAUGAGUUUUAUCUGGAUUGCAGGUUGAUUUUCAUAAAAUUCAAGGGUUGUUUUGCAAAAUUGCCGCGACGGUGAAUCCGGAGACUCAAUGCGUGCUUUAUUAUUAGGGAGAGAUUAGCAGUUAAAUGCCCAAAUGCAAAUACUAUAUAAUUUGAUUCAAAAACCCAGAAUGGCCUAGAAAAUGUGCACCAUUUUUGGGAGAGGUUCUAGACCAAUUCAAAAAUGAUGAACUUUUGUGAAGGGCAUUUUGGGUUCAUUGAAAUGUUUUUCAGUUGAACCUGGUAUUUUCAAGGGGGUGCUGGGGUUUGUUGAUCCCCAUUUUCAGGUUUAAGAGAAAUUUAAACAUGAUGCAACACAAGACUAGCUAACCCAGAGCAGACCAGAACUAGGGAUGUGACACAAAGUGCCACAUUGCUUUCUUUUCUUCAUUUGUCCAUGGAAGUUCUUCUACACUCAAUAUACAUUAUUAGAUGUAACUAUUGGGAAACGUAGUAGAAGCCCUACGAACACCCAAGAACAAUAUGAAUAUGCAUAACGUGUUGUGAUCAAUGAUUGUUACCGACUCCAGGAGUGCAGCGGAAGUAGACGAGCCAUGUAGGUCAUUCUUGAAGUCCCUCGAACAUUGAUGACAACCCGCGAACCACCCACAAACGAUCCCUCGAAUGGAAGAUCGAAAACACGACCUCUCUACUUGGUUGCAAGCGUACGAUCUUCACGAUUCGGCAGCGCUUCGCCGUCCAGAGCUAAUCAUCACCGGAGAAUUAGAUGGAGAAGAUUAGAACCACACGGGGCUUCUAAUUAUGAGGAUUAGAGGUGGCUUGGGCCCUCUCUAAUUAGUCAACUAGGACCAACUAGAACGUGCACUAGAUCAACUAUAGGAGGCUCCAAAACUUGUAUUCCCAUAGGGUGGAAAUCCUCUAGUAUAUAUAGGAUUGGGGGGGUGGAAAGAGCCCCCUUGGGGUGCCGGCCAAGGGAGGGGGAUCCAAGUAGGAUUCNNNNNNNNNNNNNNNNNNNNNNNNNNNNNNNNNNNNNNNNNNNNNNNNNNNNNNNNNNNNNNNNNNNNNNNNNNNNNNNNNNNNNNNNNNNNNNNNNNNNNNNNNNNNNNNNNNNNNNNNNNNNNNNNNNNNNNNNNNNNNNNNNNNNNNNNNNNNNNNNNNNNNNNNNNNNNNNNNNNNNNNNNNNNNNNNNNNNNNNNNNNNNNNNNNNNNNNNNNNNNNNNNNNNNNNNNNNNNNNNNNNNNNNCCUCCCUUGUUGGGCCCUUGUGGCCCAACUCCUUCUCCACCUCUUGGCCUUAUUUGGCCCAUUGAUAUUAAAUUAAAUAUGUUUUGUGUUCUAAACAUUUUUAGAGCAUAAUAUAUAUAAUUUAACAUCUCUAGAAACAUUUUACACCUAUAUAUAUUAAUCGGUAAUAUCUGGUAUUACCUGAUAUUCACCGAAACCCUUCCGGUAACCCCGAAACACUUCCGGGACCUCUCGGAACUAUUCCUGAUAUUAAUGAAACAAUUCCACAAAUAUAUUCUCAUCACUCCCGUCGUACUAGCACUCAGCAUAUCGUGAUUACCUUAAGCUUGUGACCCCUUAGGUUCGGUAACCAUAGACAUGAACAAAACCCUUCGUUCAUUGACCGAUAGCGGAAUCGUGGACAUCCAUAUUAGUCCCUAUGAUUACACGAAUGAUAUUCGAGUGAACCUUUGGUUAUCAUGUGAUGUUCCCUUUGCUUCGCGAUACUUUACAAAAUCCGGUAUGCAUCGGUAUCCUCGUGAGUCAUCACCAUGCUCACUAUAGCGUUGCUCCCGUUACCGGUUUUGUUCUUCUUUCUCGUUGACGUGUUCCGACAUCCCUUGUGACGUAGUCACCUGUGUCUGGACAGAUGAUGAUGGGUACCUUCACAACGAGAGUGCCCUAAGAAUAUCUCUCCAUCGCCGGAGGAGCAAAUCCCACUCUCGAGUUGUCCGGUCACUUGUCAAACUUUCCGGUGAGCAUGAAAUUUGUCGUUAUGAUCACCUUGUUACAUAUGACUUUCGAGCAACCCAAAGCCCACCAUCUGGUAAGAAGUGACCGAAACACUCUCAUGGUCUGAGGAACUAAAACACAUGCUAACACUCCGUGUUAUAACAGAUGAUUUCAGACGAUAUGAUCACAUAGUAUACCAGACAAGUAUUGGGUCGAUUCAAUAUGAUUGUCCUUCUAACAUCAUACCCUCAAUGUUGAUUCGGGACUAUCAUUACACUUAACGAUAUCCUAAGAUCCGGAAAACAUGAUCACCAACCACACUUGAGUCGGUCUUAAAGGCGAGACCAGGAACCUAUUGUUUACCAUUUAUCAUUUCAAACGUGCAUAUGAGUUUUCCACUGAAUCACAUAUUCCAGUGUCAUAGCAGUUAUAGCAUGAAAUAUAAACUCUUAAUUAUGAAUAACGAAAAUAUAAUAAUACAGUAUUAUUGCCUCUGGGCAUAUUUCCAAUAGUAACAUGUUAAAAUUUGGCAUUUUCUGGGUUUGUUUGCUAUAUUCAAGCCAUUAGACGCAUUUCUAGGCAUUUAAUGGAUACAAUUCAAAUUUAAACCGCAUGAACAUGAAAUUAUCCCUAAAACUGGGUUGAAAGGUCUAGCUGAUGGUAUUUAUUCUAUGUUUAUGUCUUAUAUAAGGAAGUAGAAGUAGUUCCAAACACCAUGUGGCCAAGACUCACGAACAAACAUGGAGCUUUGUGGUUAUUUAAUUCUCAAAAUAUCAAACGAAGCCGUAAAACAGGAAACAUUGCAUGGUGUCAUGAUAUGAGCCCUAGAGGCUCUAGUACAAACUUGAUUUUUUUAAAAGUUGCUACGUAGAUUGCUUAGAGAAGAUACCGUCUGCAAGGAAGAAUCUAGGUUUUGAUAAUGAAAAGGUCUGGUCUGGUGUCAAAGCACUGUUUUAUCCAUUGGCCUUGAAACUUUUUCUACAGUCGGCAUACACCAUUAAAUGUAACAUGUCAAAAAUUACCAUUUUUCAGCUUAGUUCGUUACACUUAAGCUAUUAAGUGCAUUUCUAGGCAUUUCAUGGAUAUAAUUCACAUUUGAAUUGGAGGUACAUAAAUUAGUUGCUACAAAUGGGUUGAAAAACUUAUUGAUGAUCUCUGGUCUAUGUUUAGGCUUUAUAAAAGGAAAUAGAAGUAGUUGCAAACACCAUCCGGCCGAGACUCGGGCACUAAUAUGGAGCUUAGUGCUUAUUUAAUUCUAAAAAUUUCAACUGAAGCCAGAAAAACAUGAAAAUUUGCAUAGUGUCAUGAUAUGACCCCUAGAGGUUGUGGUUAAAAUUUAAGCAUGCUUCAAAAAAGGAAAUUUGCUCAUAGACUGCUUCAAAACCGGAUCAUCUCCAAGGAAGAAUCUAGGUUUCGGGAUGGAAUGGCUCAUAUUAUGUUGCUUCAUUUGUUGGUCUUGAAACUUUUUCUACAGUCAAUACAAACCAUUACAUGUAACAUGUCGGAAUUUGCUUUUUUUGGGGCUCAUUUGCUAUAUUUAAGCCAUUUAGUGCAUUUCUAUGCUUUUAAACUUCUAAAUAUCAAAUCAAUUCAAACACUAUAUGAGAACUCCUAAAAACAGCUUAUAUGUAGUAUAUUACAUUUGAAAUUGUAUUGAGGUAUAUAAGAUAAAAAAAUGUAUUGGGUAUACAAGGUGAGCAAUUUUAACAUGCUCCCUCUUUACCCCUCUUUUCACAUGGGAGGUUAGAAGGUAAGAGUUAAUGAAACCCACUGUAUUGAGGUAUACAAGUUACAUAUUUUUUAUGUCCUACAAAAGGAGUUGGCCGAGUGUAAUACGCGGGCAAGUCGUUUAUGGGUUCUGUUUGGUAAGCUUGACCCUCCCACACUAUCAUGAUCUCCAUCGCUGAUUGCCCACAGAUCUAACAACUGGCAAUGACAGUUCAGGUCGGGGGUAGGUCAUCUCUACCAUGAAUCCACCCAAGGGGUUGGGAAGGACAAAAUGCCACUCGCAACAGUGAAAUUGAGGGAGGGUGUUAAGAGAUAAGUCUUGCAAGUUCUAGAAUAGAUAGUUCGUUGUAAUCUCUUUGGUAUGAUAUAAACCCAAUCUAACUUGUACGCCAUGAUUGUUCUGUGAUCCUAGCGAUCCUAGAGAUCCCUAGCGAGGCUGUCUGGCUUUUAUUAAUACACGACGACCCAAGGCCAAAGGAUAACGCCUAUUAUUGGACUAUAUAUUGAGACUUCAGGUGGGAGACCUACUUUAAGAAACGUGUUGUGGGCGAGAUAGUUGAAAUAUCAUUUACAUUCACUGUCGCAGGUGUCACCGGUGUUCUUAGAAGGCCAUCCUCCUGAGGUAUAUAUCCUUUGAAUCUAUGUUAUUUAUGGGAUUUGCAGGUGCUAACGACAACUAACUAAAGAUUCAUUUGAUUAGGUGUGGGUUUUCUUAUUUAUGAUUUAACUCUAAGCACACAUUGAAGUUUAUAGGUGUUCAGGCUUUGGUUGCCUACGUCUUGAACUCCAGAGCACUUGUUGCAGUACGAAAUUCAUAAUCCAAUUAGUUUUGUUUUGAGAAUUGCCAUCUGCUUGUUUCUCAAAUCACCGACAACAAUAACUUCUCCAGGACAUGAAUGAGAGCAGCAGUGAAAAGAAAAAUGCGUGUCAAAGCUUGCAUGACAAUCUCUCUCACACACUCUCUCUCUCUCUCUCUCUCGUAGUUGACAAUUUCCACACAUAUUUUUGCCAUUAAAAAUCCAUUCCAUUUUUUAUCUAAACAUGAAAAAAAAUGUAUAUAUCUUCUCACAAACCUUGUGCAACAUGUUGCAGGCCCUGGUCAACUACAAAGAAUGGAUAUUAGCGUGUGCUCAUAGGAAUAGAGUGUGUGUGUGUGCGAUUCAUAAGGGUGAGUGUAUGCGUGUUUAUAUGAGCACUUGUGUCUGUACUGAUAUUCAAAAAAAACUACAAAGAAUGAAGAGAGUGAAGCACUUUUCUCAAAAUCAAUGAAGCAAAAGCUAAUGCAGGGCGCUGGACAGGCUGCGCGACCUGUUUGGCAAAUUGGUCACAUGACGCACUUGAUCUUCUUUGUUGAGUAACGUAAUUAUAUUAGAAAACAUAGCUUAGAUUAAGAAAUAUUUUGGCUUACCUUAUACUGUAAGUAGAUCAUAUACUUCUAUAUAUAUACCCACGAGUCUCAAGCAAUAGAACGAACUAUUCCAUCAAACCUAUCUCUCCCUUUUAACAUGGUAUCAGCCUAAUCACGUUCCAAACCCUAGCAGCCGCCGCUUCCGCACCCGCGCGCCGCCCCCGGUGCGGUCGGCCUUCAUGACCGCUGCCAGGGGCCGCGCAGCCCGUACCUAGGGUUCGUCCGCCGGCCGUGUUGGCCGGCUGCCCUAGACAAUCUUUUUUCCGAUCCUUUGAUCUGGAUUUUCUCUCUAUUGCCGGUCGCUUUUAUCGGCGUCUACUUUUUGGUUUUCCGGUCUAUGUGAUCUGGUUUGCGUCGCCCAUCGCCGCCGUCGACCUCGUGUGCCUCUACUCCAACACCGGCGCGAUCGGCCGGCUUCUUCACCGACCUAGCGGCCUCGCGCGUCGUCCGCGCGUCUGCCCGUCGGUCGCUCCGACCCGGCGGCCUCGCGCGUCGGCCCGCCGGUCGCCCCGACCAGGCAGCAUCGCGUGUCGUCCGCGCGUCGGCCCGUCGGUCGCCCAGACCCGGCGGCCUCGUGCGUCGUCCGCGCGUCGGCCCGCCGGUCGCNNNNNNNNNNNNNNNNNNNNNNNNNNNNNNNNNNNNNNNNNNNNNNNNNNNNNNNNNNNNNNNNNNNNNNNNNNNNNNNNNNNNNNNNNNNNNNNNNNNNNNNNNNNNNNNNNNNNNNNNNNNNNNNNNNNNNNNNNNNNNNNNNNNNNNNNNNNNNNNNNNNNNNNNNNNNNNNNNNNNNNNNNNNNNNNNNNNNNNNNNNNNNNNNNNNNNNNNNNNNNNNNNNNNNNNNNNNNNNNNNNNNNNNNNNNNNNNNNNNNNNNNNNNNNNNNNNNNNNNNNNNNNNNNNNNNNNNNGACCUUUCGCCGCCGCGGUUCGCACGCCGGCCCUCACCGCCCUGCUCCGACAGGGACUCCUACAUCACCCCGAUCCGGGGGACUCGCGUCAUGCAGAGGCCAAUCAUAGUCGCCUGCUAACCGCCGCCGCUAGUUUCAUCUUGGACUCCGCCACCACCGCGCCUCCACCGAGCGGCGUCCCCGACCUCGCGCGCGAUCGGCUUGAUCACCCGCUCGCCGCCGUGAUUCGCCUCAUCACCGCCACGCGACCGACCUGGCCCGUCGGUUACGCGCGCCUCCACAGGUCCCGUGAAGAUCGUCCCCGAGUUCAGCGCGCCUCUCCACGGAUCGAGCAUCGGGCUGCCCGCUGUGUCGCCCCAUCGGGCCACAGCGCCGCCGCCCCGUGGUUCUCCUCGCGGCUGUAUCGACUUGUGUGUCGCCGCUGCGUCGCCCCUUCGGGUCAUAGUGUCGCGAUACACGGUCCCCGCCGCCGCCCUGAGGCCGUUCCCGCGGUUGCACCGACUCGCGAACCGUCGUUGUGUCGCCCCUUCGGGCUGCAGCAUCGCGGCCCGCGGUCCUCGCCGCCGCCCAGAGGUCUUCCCGCUGUUGUCCCGACCCGCCUGCCGCCGCUGCGUCGCCCCUUCGGGCCGUAGCGCCGCAGCCCACGGUCGCUCCGCCGUCACCGCGCGUCGACCUCCCGUGGUAUGCGUCGCGCCGUCUUCCUUCGCGUAGGAACGCCACCAUCCGCGCCGGUCUUCGUCACGCUGUCAGGGUUCUUCGCCUACUUCGAGCACCGCCGCCGCACUCCUAACCUAGCCGCGCCGCCGCUCUUCUUUGGCUGCCGCCACCGCUACCUUCGUAGCCGCUGCCGCCGCCGCCCGUCCACCCCCUUCGUCUUCGUACAAGCACCAGCCUGUCUCCAGCGUCGCCGUCAUCUACCCCGACCACUUCGUCUACUCCGACCACCGUUGGUGACAUCGGCCCCGCGCCGAUGGACGCCACAAUCAUCAUCGAGUUCUUCUCCGCUGGCCCCUUCGACUUCUCCGACAUGGUGUACAGCUCGUGCAGGUCCCUCGUCUACGCAUGCCCGGUGCUGGCAACACCGAUGCAUGCCAUCAUCCACGACGUGUCCCCGGGCCUGGCAAGCCUGGUCGGCGCUUCUUCAACUUCGUCUUCGACCGUCUACGCAUGCCCGGUGCUGGCAACACCGGUGCGUGCCUUCAUCCACGAUGUGUCCCUGGGCUUGGCAAACCCGCCGCGACGCGUCGUCAACAACAUUUUCUUCCCGGCGCACCCCUACUUCGACACCACUGCGCCCAUGCUAACUCGGCACCCCCUUGCGCCCGUGGCUCCACGGCGACUUUCUCGACACCGGCCAUCCCGACUUGACAUCGACCACGGCAUUCUUCGCACGGCUACCUCGACCACGGCUCCACCACCCACGCUCUCGGCUACAUCGACAAACGGCACAAAGGGCUACCGCCUGCUUGAGCAACCUCAUUGGUUUCCACUCCAGCCACGACUCCGCGAUGCGUCGACCGUUACGACUGUGGGAGGGUGUCCGUCGGCUUGCCUUCGGAUUCUUCUCCAGUCUCACCAUCUGCGUCGCUACCGUUGUGACUGCGGGGGGGGAUGUUGAGUAACGUGAUUGUAUUAGGAAACAUAGGUUAGACUAGAAAAUAUUCUGGCUUGCCUUGUACUCCAAGUAGAUCAUGUACUCAUAUAUAUAUAUGCCCACGAGGCUCAAGCAAUAGAACGAACUAUUCCACCAAACCUCUCUCUCUCCCUUCUAACAUUCUUGAACCUCGCUGGGGCCACCGAGGACGAUGGCAAAGGCAGCUCCAGCGGGCAGGUGGCCUCCAUCUUGUGCGCGCCAUUGUGGGUCUAGUACUUGACCUCGCCGGCAAGCUUCAGCUCCAGCCGGAACACGCCCCUGCUGGCUGCGCUCUCCUUGACGAACUCCUCCACCCCGGUGCUCCCCAGCGGCGCGGCGCUCUCACCCGCCGCCGCGACAUUGCACACCUCCGUCUUCCCCGGCUAGAUAUUCCCGCGCGAGCCCCCCUGCAUCAUCGUGAUGGUGGCGAAACGCUCGCCGACGAAGAGAAGCUCAGUGUCGAGCGGCGCGCUGAGCCUGGCGCGCAUGGCCCAGUUGGGGUUGCACACGGCGAUGGCAAGCGACACAUUGUAGGCGAGCACGCUGCCGUUGGGUCCGGCGAAGGCGAAGCGGGCGAGGGAGGCGUGCUCGACGAUGACGCGAACGGGGCUGAUGAUGGCGAAGGCAAAGACUAGGACAAGGACGGUCACAGCAGGAGCCAGGAAGAGGAAGGAGAUGAUGAUCUUGAGACAACCGUUGGAACCACAGCCCUCUUGCUACCUCUCCUCUCACUCGAACGUAGGUGGAAGAAAAACAACGGUGGACACAAGAUUUUCUGGCCAGCAACGAACGCUGUCACGGACGCUCAAACGCUCCAAUCUUUUCUUCUUUACAAUGGCUACAUGGCUUACACUCGGCUCAUUACCGGCGCACCUCGAUCAAUACAUCAGGGGGCUUUUUAUACUCGGCUGUACACACAUCAUCCGGCCACCACACCGGCCACUAACUCCACGCACGCACACACGCCGACCACUAACCAGCUAACCCAUGCACACGCAUGCACUAACUAACCUUGACUCUAUUUUAUCUGGACUAACUAGAUCACAACGGAACGAGCAAACCAUGCACGUAAGUGACUCGGUCUCCAGUGAACGUGAGCCACUGCUCACGCGAGACCUAGGCCUCCACGCCUCGCUCUACAACACACAACCCGGCUAACUGACCACGGCUAUGGACACGGCCACGCACCGGCGUCCGGACUCGACCUACACGCACACACAUGUUGAUCACUACCGUGGCUUGGCUUAUUUCUAACAACAACGGCGGCGGCAUCUCUUGCCAUUGUGGUGGGAGAAGAUGUCGCCGGUGCCAUAGCCGGAGCUCGUGCUAUUGUGGUUGUUGCCCCAGCCGUAGUCGUUGUAGAUGCAGCAGCAGCAAAGACAGUUGCAAUCGCAGUCGAAGUGGCUGCAGUCAAGGCAGUCGAUUUCGCAAUCGCGGUCGCCCAUGGUGGUGUCGUGGACUGGUGGAUGUUGAAACUGCCCGUGCUAUACGCUGCCAUGGCAGUCGGUUUGUUAGCGCAUGUAUAAGAUAGCUAUCCACUUAUCCUUUCUUCCUAGAUUAGCUCGGUGGUUAGCUGAUCCAUGCAGCCCUUGUACAUGUAUUUAUACCCGUGAUGUCAAUGAGAAAACUGUGCAGCAAAUCAUCUCUCUUUCUCUAGCUUUCAUGGUAUCAGACGCUCAUCCUUGAUCGUCUUCGCUUCCGCUGACUUCUCACGGCCAUGGCCUCUCCUCGCUCCUCCGUCUCCGGCGGCGACGUCAAUCCUUUCGCUGCUGUUGAGCCCGUCAAUGCCGCCUCCCUCCGCCACCUUCACAUCCAGGACCACGGGGCGCUGCCGGCAUGGUGUGCGCGGCGAGGGCCGCCUGGGAGCGCUGGAGCGUCGACUGCCGCAUGCGGCGCUCUUCAAGGCGCAAGUAGUUGACGGCGCGCGCGAACGUCGGCUCGGUGAGGAGGUUCAGGUUGGAGGCAGCGUUGGCGUAGUCCGGCCCGAGCCCACGGAUGAGGUGGCGUGAACCCAUGGACCGGUGUCGUCCACGCAUGGGCCAUGCCGCCCACACGCGCGCCCCAGCCCGGCAUCCUCGGGCCACGCCCUGCUGGUCACCAGGCCAUGUUCGCCGCGCCGCAGUACGGCGGCCCUGCUCCUUCGCCGUGGCCACCUGCACCGAGCAACGCAUGGCACGGCACGUCCUCGUCCACCGCCGACCCUGCGCUCCUCGCCGCUCUCCAGCAGGCCCCGUCGCCGCACAACUACACUGGCAAUGGCGACUGGUACAUGGAUACCGGCGCGUCCUCACACAUGGCGUCGCAUCCGGGUAUUCUUUCUCACUCCUAUCCUUUCCCUACUCCCACCCGUAUCAUUCUAGGGGACGGGUCAUCUCUUCCAAUCACUCAUCGCGGUGCUCUCUCCCUUCCUUCCUCUGGUGAUCCAAUUCAUCUUCGUGAUAUUAUUGUUUCUCCUAAUCUUAUUACUAAUCUCAUUUCCGUUCGUGCACUCACUAGACAUAAUCCCAUCACAGUUGAAUUUGACGCUAUUGGUUUCUCUGUUAAGGACCUCCGGACCAAGACAGUACUGCUCCGAUGUGAGAGCCCAGGCGACCUUUACCCGCUCCGGCCGUCGUCCACCACUUCUGCUCCAGUCGUGCUCUCCGUUGGCGUCGACAUCUGGCAUGCACGUCUUGGACACCCCGGCGCGUCGUCGUUGCAUCACGUCCUAUCAGAUUUUUCCUUCAGUUGUAAUAAGAGGGAGACGCAUUCUUGUUCGUCGUGUCGACUCAGCAAACACACGUCUUCCGUUUUCAAAUUCAACUAGUGUUUCUACUUUCCCGUUUGAAUUACUCCACUGUGAUGUAUGGACAUCUCCCGUAAUAAGCAAUUCUGGUUUUCAGUAUUACUUGGUGUUGCUUGAUGAUUUCUCGCAUUUCGUUUGGACCUUCCCUCUUCGCCGUAAGUCUGACGUGCUCGCCGUGCUCACCUCUUUUUUCACAUUUGUUUACACGCAAUUUCGCCAUAUAAUCCUUGGGCUUCAGACGGAUAACAGGGGUGAGUUUGAUAACCACAGCGUGCACUCUCUGCUCGCUGCACACGGCUCCAUUCUUUGGCUCACGUGUCCCUACACGUCUCAGCAGAACGGUCGUGCCGAGCGCAUGCUCCGCACCCUUAAUGACGGCGUACGCACUCUGCUCCUCCACGCCGCCGUGCCUCCUCGCUUCUGGCCCGAACCUCUCGCCACCUCCACGCGCCUUCUCAACAUGCGCCCAUGCCGUCCCCUUGGUAAAUUCACUCCCUACCAUCUCCUCUAUGUCCAUCCACCUUCCUACGAUGACCUUCGCGUAUUCGGUUGCCUUUGCUACCCCAACAUCACCGCCACCACACCCCACAAACUUGCACCGCGAUCCCUCCCAUGCAUCUUUCUUGGAUAUCCGGCGAAUACUAAAGGCUACCGUUGCUAUGAUCCGGCCUCCCAUCGCGUGAUCAUCUCUCGGCAUGUGUAUUUUGAUGAGCUGGUUUUUCAAAUUAAGCAGGUUGUCGCUGCUCCGCCGCCCUCGCCGUUGCCUUCGAGCUCGUCGCGUGUCGUGCUGCCCUUGGAGGCCACGGUCUCCCAGCGGCCUCGCUCCACUCGGCGUGCUCCGACGUCACCUGGCUCACCACCAUGCUCGCGUGGGUUACCGGGCACCCCUGCUACACCACCUGGCCCGUCGCCUGCGUCGGGCGGGGCUGCUGCUACGACGACAAAUUCUGCAGCCGCAGCCACCGAUUCUGCUGCCAUGGCAAGCGUUUCGGCUGGCGUGGCAGCCGAUUUGGCUGCACCUGAUCCCGUUGCCGUGGCUGCAACUGCGGGAGGCACCAGCUCCAGUGCUGUGGGUGUGGCUCCACUUCCGGCAGGGCCUCGUGUUCUCACACGCGCUCGUGCUGGAGUGCAUCGCCCGAGCUUACCCAGAUGACCAGUACGUCUGCACCGCCACCACUUCAUCCUCCACGCUAGCUCCUCUUCCGGUGAGUGUGCACGCCGCGUUGCGUGAUCCCCACUGGUCCGCAGCCAUGCGUGAGGAGUUGGAGGCGCUCCAACGCAACCACACUUGGCAGUUGGUUCCCCGUCCGCCGUGAGCAAAUGUAAUCAGUGGCAAAUGGGUCUUCCGUCACAAACUUCGGCCUGACGGGACGCUCGAGCGCUACAAAGCCCGAUGGGUGGUGCGCGGGUUUCGACAACGCGCCGGCGUCGACUUCACCGACACCUUCGCGCCGGUCGUCAAGGCGGCGACCAUUCGUUGCGUCCUACAGCUCGCCGUGUCGCGCAAUUGGCAUGCCCACCAACUGGAUGUGUCGAACCUGAUCCUCCACGGCCAUCUCGCAGAGCGCGUUUACUGUCAGCAGCCGGCCGGCUUUGUUGAUGCCAGCCGCCCCGGUGACGUGUGUCUCCUCUCGCGCUCGCUUUACGGCCUCAAACAGGCGCCGCGGGCGUGGUACCACCGGAUCGCCGGUUUCCUCGUCGAGCUAGGCUUCGUGUCGAUGCGGUCCGACGCGUCCUUGUUCGUGUACCAGCAAGGAGGGGACGCCGCGCAUCUCCUAGUAUACGUCAACGACAUCGUGCUGGCGGCCUCCAGUGACACGCUUCUUCGCUGUCUCAUCUCACGGCUCCAGGGCGAGUUCGCGUUGAAAGACCUAGGCGCUCUGCAUUACUUCCUAGGCGUGGAAGGACACGGCGCCCUGAUGGAUUCUUCCUUUGCCAGCACAAGUAUGCAUUGGAGCUCCUCGAACGCGCUGGUAUGACGAACUGCAAGCCCGCCUCCACUCCAGUUGACACCAAGGGCAAGGUGUCCUCGACGGAUGGCGCUCUCGCCGCCGAUGGCUCGUUCUACCGCAGCAUUGUUGGCGCGCUGCAGUACCUUACACUGACGCGCCCCGAUCUUACGUACGCGGUGCAGCAGGUCUGCUUGCACAUGCAUGCACCCCGUGACGUACACUGGGCCUUGGUGAAGCGGGUGCUUCGAUAUAUUCGCGGCACACCAGCCCUCGGCCUCACGCUGCCAGCAUCAUCAUCGCUCGACCUCGUCGCCUACUCCGACGCCGACUGAGCGGGUUGCCCGGACACACGCCGCUCAACCUCGGGGUACUGCCUCUACCUCGGCCCGGCACUCAUCUCAUGGUCUUCAAAGCGGCAGCCUACAGUCUCGCGCUCGAGCGCUGAGGCUGAGUACCGUGCUGUUGCGAACGCCGUCGCUGAGUGCUCCUGGUUGCGGCAGCUUCUCGCGGAGCUGCACUGCACGGUCAGCCGCGCCACGUUGGUGUACUGCGACAACGUGUUCGCGGUCUACAUGUCCGCCAACCCGGGGCAUCAUCGCCGGACGAAACACAUCGAACUUGACAUCCAUUUUGUACGAGAGAAAGUUGCGCUCGGACACAUUCGGGUUCUUCAUGUUCCCACCUCGCAGCAAUUCGCCGACACCAUGACCAAGGGGCUGCCGCCGUCCAUCUUCACGGAUUUUUGGUCCAGUCUCUACAUCACCGACGGCGAGGCUUCGACUGCGGGGGGUGUUCAAACUGCCCGUGCUAUACGCUGCCAUGGCAGUCGGUUUGUUAGCGCAUGUAUAGGAUAGCUAUCCACUUAUCCUUUCUUCCUAGAUUAGCUCGGUGGUUAGCUGAUCCAUGCAGCCCUUGUACAUGUAUUUAUACCCGUAAUGUCAAUGAGAAAACUGUGCAGCAAAUCAUCUCUCUUUCUCUAGCUUUCAGUGGAGACGUCUGUACCCGAUGGAUUCAGCAGCAAGGCAAAAACAAUCAAUGUAUAUAUAGACUAGCACAAAUGCCCGUGCGUUGCAACGGAAAACAUUGUUACUCCCUCCUUUUCGGUUUAUAAGGCUCAAUUCAAAAAUCUCACCAACCAAGGUAAAUGAUGAGUGGUGGAAUAUUUUUUGUAGUUUGUAAAAGCACCCAAUUAAUGCUCUUGUUUUCCUCAAAAAAUUAUGUUUAUGAAUGCAUUAAUUGCAAUGCAUGCAUGCAUAAAGUGCACGCAUUGGUCAAUUUUCUCUUAAUACUUGCAUGCAAUGAUUUAAUGCACCUUGAAGUCUGAACAUGUGAUGGGGAACAAACAAAUUGAGCCUUAUAAAAUGGAAAAACUAAAAUUUUAAUAUAAGCCCUAUAAACGGGAAAGGAGGAAGUAUAUGUCUCAUGUCUCUACCUAUUUACGUCCAUCCUCCUUUUAGUCCAUCACGCCUCGGUGCAUUGCAAUGGAAUAAGAAUUCCUCACACUUCUAUGCAUUUUGUAAUAAUAAUAAUAAUAAUAUCUAUGACCAAGUGAUACAUUUAUUUAUACUAGUAGAGUGCCCGUGCGUUGCCACGGGCUCUUGAAAUUUUUUACAAGAGUUACAUGUUAAAUUUCACAUGCACAAACAAUAUAACACAAACACAAUUAAUGAAUAAUUGAAGUCCAUUUUGCAAUGAAAAUUGAUACCAAAAAGAAAGACUAACGACAUUUAUCACCUGCCUCGUAGAUGGUCUAGAGCAAGCAUGCAAUAUGUGUAAGCAUUUAUCACUUGUAGUCAACAUUUAGAUUAUAUAUAUAUAUAUAUAUAUAUAUAUAUAUAUAAUAUUAUUCUGAUAACGGGAUCAGAAUAAUAUUCUGAUCACAACCUGACCUGCCCCGCUAGUACUACGUUGAACUUCCCUGUGAACUAGGUUGAACUUCCGCCAAAAUUGCCCAAAUGGGGCUUGCGAUAUACCGUUAGAAAGCUAUGGACCCCAAUAUCAUGACCCAACUUAAUUUAUUGACAAAAUAUAAGCAGUUUAAGAGCAGUUUUGAAAACCGUUUUUUCUUCGCACAAAAAACGUGAAUCGUAUUUUCGAUCGCAUUUCUAAACCGUUUGUCGGAAUGAGGCAUAUAAUAUGGCGUUGGAAAGCUUCUGCAAAACCGCUCCUUCCACAUGUUGAAAGUUUUCUCUAAUUACCUAUGGUUAAAGAGUAAUUUGAAAAAACGUAAAAUUUCGUAAACCCAAUAGUUGAGUUCGUUUUUCCGAUGCCAUUUCUAAACGGCUAAUCCAAUGGAGGCAUAUGAUAUGGCGUUGGAAAGAUUAUGAAAAUGCACUAUUUUUUCAUCUGGAAAGUUCUUUUCUAAUUUUGAAUGGUUUGAGAGUAAUUUAGAAAAUGGUCCAAGUCCUACCGAGUUCGUAUUUUCGAGCUAAUUUUUUAACCGUGCGUCCGAAUGCAGCGAAUGAUAUGGCAAAAAACAUAUUUUUGCCGUAAUUUCUAAAAACUUUAUCGGAAUUGGGCAAAUAAUAUACCAUUGAAAAUCUACGGAAAAUGCGAAACUUUUUCAUGUUAAUGGUUUUCUUUGAUUCUUAGUCGUUUUCAAGUAAUUUUGAAAACGGUGGAAUCAUUCGUUCUGCCUCUAUCGCGAAACAGAUUCUUCAAAAAUGCACCGCGUGAAGAACAUGAACUUCUCAGCAUGUCUACCUGAACUUCACUCUGUUUUCGAUGUGCUUUUUUUUUGCUCGCAGAUCUCCAUCCACUACUCGUAGUUCUCCAUCCACUCCCCGGAAUUCAACGAGUGAUAUACCAAUGGAAAGCUGCUGUAAACACGCAACUUUCCCGUGUUGAUUAAUUUCUCAUACUCGCGAUGGUUUUAGAAGUUUUUCAUCUGAAAUUCAUUCAGUGUAGUAGUUGAACUUUCUGCUGUUUUCACGGUGAACUUCUAUGACGUAUUUUUCCUUUGUAAUUUUCUUAUCCAUUUUCGUCAGUGUUACACAAAUAAUAUUCCUUUUGUACAAACCUCUCUCACAAUAAUUUUUUUAACUUUUUUCAACCGACGACUUGAACUUAUAACAACAAAACUUUUAGCCUUUGUUUUUUAUUGUUUUAAUACAAAUACACACCGUGUAAUACGUGAACUUCUGGCAGUUAUCAAUCUGAACUUCUCUAGGUUACGUGAAUAUAUCUGAGUUUUUUUUAUGAUUUUUAAUCUGAUUUUCAUAAUCCCUUUUUAUGAAAUUUUGAAGCGCUCUAUUAUUAAAAGUUGAACUUCUUGUUAUUUAAUUUUUGACUUCUUGUUUCCAUACUUUAAUAACGAGAAAAAUCUAAGUUUUCUAUAAUCAUCAAACUUCUCUAUCUUUUUAAUAUGGACUACCUUGUUUUAUUUCUUAAUCUUUCUUAUGAAAUUUUAAUGCGCUCUAUUUUUAAAAGUUGAACUUCUUGUUAUUUAAUUUUUGAACUUCUUGUUUCCAUUCUUUAAUAACGAGAAAAAGCUGAGUUUUCUAUAAUCACUGAACUUCUCCAUCUUUUUAAUUUGGACUUCCUGGUUUUAUUUCUUAAUCUUUCUUAUGAAAUUUUGAAGCGCUCUAUUUUUAAAAGUUGAACUUCUUGUUAUUUAAUUUUUGAACUUCUUGUUUCCAUUUUUUAAUAACGAGGAAAAGCUGAGUUUUCUAUAAUCAUCGAACUUCUCCAUCUUUUUAAUUUGGACUUCCUGGUUUUAUUUCUUAAUCUUUUUUAUGAAAUUUUGAAGCGCUCUAUUUUUAAAAGUUGAACUUCUUGUUAUUUAAUUUUUGAACUUCUUAUUUCCAUUUUUUAAUAACGAGGAAAAGCUGAGUUUUAUAUAAUCAUCGAACUUCUCCACCUUUUUAAUUUGGACUUCUUGGUUUUAUUUCUUAAUCUUUUUUAUGAAAUUUUGAAGCGCUCUAUUUUUAAAAGUUGAACUUCUUAUUAUUUCAAUAAACAUUUUUUAGCUGACGCUUUUUGGUUUCUUCAUGAAUUAUAUAAAUUGCAAUACUGUGUUAUUUCAAUUUGAACUUCUUAGUUCAUUUUUUUAUUAAUGGGGAAUUUUGAGUUUUGUAAUCGCUACAUUACUUAUAUUUGCUUAAUUAUUUAAAGUUGAACUUCUAGGUCUUCCUAGAAUCGCAGAAAAUCUAUUUUUAAUGCACAAGUUGAACUUCUAUGGUAUUUUAAUUUGGAGUUCUUUGUUUUAUUCUCAGAAAGAAAAAACAAUUUUUAAAUAAACUUUUAAAAAAUGAUAUUUGUUUCUUUUAUUUUUCCUAGAAACGGGAAGAAUUUGAGAUUUUCGUAUACAUGAGAGUACUCUGUUUGUUGAAUGAACAUUUUUCAGUUUCAUUUUAUUACAUUUUCCUCAUCCGAUCUUGUGGUGUUGGCUCACACCCACACACAAAACACAUUUUCACAUGUAAUUUUGCAUAAACAUUUCUUUUAUAAGAUAUUUUAGACUUCGGGUUUUUUCCUCAUUCGAUGAUUUUGGUUGGUGCUGAAUUUUUUCUGAAACUGAAAAUGAAAACCAUGGUUAACCAUACAGAGGAAAGCAGAGAGACAGACCACAAGAUCAGUUAACAAAUUACUACUACUUUUGGGAUUGGCUCUUAUUUUCAAAUAUCAAUUUGUGUUCAAAUUCCUGUGAUCGAAACAGGAAAGACUUGCCCUUUCAUGAAGCGACAAUCAGCAGCAGCACAAUAAGAACAGAGAGCACUCCACUCUAGAAGUCAUGGGGAAAUGGAGUUUAAAACCCUGAAUACUAGAGCUUCUGUCUGCGCAUCUUCAUAUCGUCUUCACAUCAUUGAGGGGAUGACCUUGUUUGGGGCUACAUCCGCGAUCCGUAAGGCAUGCCUGCGCUUCAAGCAGAACGCGGUGGAGCUGAAUAAAUCCUUACAUUGCUCUUUCUAUCUUGCUCGCAGCGAAUCAAAUCCCCAUGCAGUCUUUCCACAUUCUGCAGUUCUGUUCUUCUGUUCAGGCUUCAUGCUGGAGAUGGUCUGAACCUUUCCAUGGUUCAUUGAAUCUGCUGACUUUUACGAGAUCGAGGGCACCCAUUGACAACCUGCCCGAGGUUAGGAUCACCCAGAAGUACAGGUACAAGCGGAGGCGUCAUCGGUGACCUCUCGACCGGGAUGCUCGGUCCGCCUCCAUGUCUGAUUUAAACCGCACACUAUCUCUGCAACCCACUGUCCUGUGAAGUAUAAAUCUCUCUGCUUAAUUGGCCUACAUCUAACUGAUCAUCAAACGCAUCUCAUUCUAUAACGUAAAACAUUUUGUUUCUUCUUCCAAAAAAGGAGCAUUCCUAUUACAGAGUAUGAGCGGAGAUCGACAGCUUGAAAUAGUCAAUAAAUAACAGGGCAUGCAUGUACAAAUCAAACCAACAGUACUGCUAUAUGUGGUAAAAAAUAUAUGGAGUAUAUAAAUAGUACCACUGUAUCUGUAUGAGUCUAGCAUACAAGUCCAUAAAAUUAGGAAACUAUGACAAAAGAAAAUUGUCGGUGUGGAGCAUAAGGGGCAAUCAACAGCCACAGAUAUACAGUCAUGCAGACUGACGGACAGACAUAUCAAAAAUUGAGGUAAACAAAAGUUGUAAAUCUAAGUACUAAAUUAUUUAAAGCAGAUCUCUUUCUGAGGAUAAAAUUAUAGGUAAUAGUAUCAUCGGAGCGCUUUCUGAUUACUGGUCAUGCAAUUCAGCAUGGCAACAGCCUCUUGUAGGAGUCCGAUCCUGGCAACAGCAUCAAGAAAUAACAUGGCAAUAGCAACUACUGAUCAUAGCGGGACUUGCAAGACAAUAGUUCAUUCCCCGCCUCAUCAGUGGCACAGUUUUCCUUCUCCUCAGUGACACCGUCGUCAUCCUCGAAAUCCACAAAGGAUGAGGGCAUAGAUGCCCUCUUGUCUGAUUUGCAACGCCAUAAGCACUUGCCAUGGUUUUCUUCCCCUUGUCACUGGCAUCAUCCAGAACAUCACCAUGGGUGCAAGCAGAGGCGAAUGAUAAAUGUGGGUCUUGUUUCUCCAGCUUGACUUCCCGCUUGACCACCACUACGGAUCUGCUUUUUCCCUUGGGACAUGUCUCCUCACCACCAGGAGCCUCGAUGAAGGAAACAACUAUGCAGUAAGAAGUUCAGGAAGCAAUGUCGGGAAGGAGACAGGCAGCAGCCGAUGCGCGAGGAUUGGGAGAUGUCUGACGUUGUGGGCUGAGGAAGAUGACGGUUUGGGGUGGCCGGGCACGAAGCCUAUGCCGGACGCCUCUCCGGACCUCGAUGGUCGGCGACGGCUCAAAUCCCCUGCUGCAGUCCAAACACACAUGUGGAGGAAGGUUUGAGCUUGUGAUGUUGUCAGGAUGCCGGAGAUUGGGGGUCGUAGGGCCCAGGCGGGUAGGCGGCAACGAUGGCGGGUAGCGCGGGAGGCACCAGACUCAGGUGGUGGCCGUCACUGGUAGCAAUGGGUCAAGGCGGAGGUGGUAUUCCACGGCAGCGGCAGCGGAAAGAAGGUAGGAAGCGACAGGGCAGGUGGUGAAGCGACGCAGGUUGGGCGGCGUGCAGCCGACGACAACGGGAAGAAGGCCGGGUCGGGAGACGGGAGAGACGCAACCAGGUUUGUGACAACCAUGGCGAUUGUAUAAGCCACGUUUUUUCUUCCUUUCCCGGUCGGUCGGCGGCGCGAUGGGCAAGGGCGGGAAGGUCGGCCGGCGACGUGUUGGGCGACGGCCGGGAAGUUGGCCGGCGACGCGCUGGGCAGCGGCAGGGAGGUUAGCCGGCGACGCGCUGGGCGGCGGCGGGGAGGUCGGUUGGCGGCGCGCUGUGCAGCGGUGGGGAUCGGGGCUAUUUUUCUUUUUGUUUCCUUCAGACGAGUUCAGGAGCCUCGGCGGUCCCUAUAUAUAUAUCUGGACUAUUCUGUUACGCGUAACAGACUAAUAUUGUGUUACCCUUCGUGAACUGAUGUGGUGUACAGGUUGGACCGACGAGGUUUUCUACUUGAACCGAUCUUCCUGUGUGUACGACGGCGGAGACAGGGGAUGCAAUGUGGAGCUUUUGGGCGUUCUCCGGCGCGAUGCUGCGGGCCAUUCGUUGCUCCUCAUCGUUGUGAGUUCGUCCCCGUCGCCGUGCGCUGCUCGUCGUUGUCACCUAAUCGGCCCCGCCCCGUCGCACGUCGUCCUCGUCCCCGACCUCCGUCAUCCUCCUCGGACCGCCAACCGCAGUCGUUGACUCCGGCCGUCUCAAGUCGUCCCUGGGCCUUCUUUGCAGCGGCAGUGAGCCCCGCAUCCUCCCUCUCUCCCCGUGCUCUCCUUUGGUAGUCGUAGAUCGUCGCCGACGUGAUCGUGCACCGGCCACGCCCGAUGACCCGUUCCCUGUGCUCACUGCACCGUGCCCGCGCUCCUCUGGUCGCGCCCUGCGUGCACACCCGCAGCCGCCCCGUCCAGCCCGCUCCCUCUGCCCGUGUCGCGUCGCCCCAUCGUGCCUGCUCCGACCACACCCGCCUACGCAUGCGCGCAAACCCAUGCCUUCUGCUGAUGUGCGCGCCUGUGGCCGCCGCUACCGUGGCCCCCUAUUGCUUCCGCUGCUACUGCCAGUGCCAUAGCCACUGCUGUUAGAAAGAGAAUCCUGCUACUUCCUUUUUCAGUUAAGCUAAGUGUCGAUUUAUUCAGUUUCGUCAGAAUAAGAAUGCACCAGGAGUCGUUCUUGUACAUGCUCAUAGUCUAUGUUUUCUGCAUGCAGUAGCUAGUGUUGCAGUGUUAGUUCUCGUGUAAUGGCGUGGCCGUUAGCUCAAACAUGGUCGGUAGACUAGGAAUUGGUCGUUGGCGGAGGUGGUGUUUGGUGGCUGACUGAAGCCUACGAUUUUCUUGUAAUCUGGUCAAAUUGCGUAAUUAAGUUGUGUGUUUUUCAGUGUUGUUUUGAAUUACUGUCGCCGUAUGUGUAGUUGGACUGCUCCAUGUCAAAGCUUGCAAUUACUGUGAGUUGACAUUGGAGCAAGUUUCUUGUACUAGCUGCCUACCCCCCAUACCCUCUGCACUUUGAGUAUAAAGGCCGAGCCCUCUGUCACUUUUGUUCCACCAGCUGCAACCAAAGAGAAAAGCCAGAAUGGAUCCUGAGUUUGGAGAGGUCAUAGAGGAGGAGGGGAAGCCGUCGAUGCGAGGGCUGCAGCAGUGGAGCAGAGGAGGAGGAGGAAGCGCAGGCAGAUGGCACAACGUGCUGCCGAGGAGGAAGUGGAUGCAGAGUUCAACAGACUCCUUGCGCGCAAGGUGAUGGAUACCUACAACUUCAAUGAACUGGAGCUUCUUUUCCCAGAGGGCAGGGGAAGGAACCAUGUUCAGAUCAUCAGUUGGGCUAGGGCUAGAGCAGCCACGGCUCCACAUCCAUCCACUAGGGCUAAAUGGCGUCGUUUCUUUGAUCGUUAUGAUUGAAGUAGUGAAUGUUAUGUUUUUAAUAUUUGUGUUGUGAGGGAGCAGAUGUUUGAAAUGAAUAAAUGAAUUCAACUGUCUCCCCUCUGAAUGUGUUGUUUUAUCUUCAUAUGUUUUUGAAAUGUGUAGUUUUUUAACUCAUGUUUUAUCUUAAGUUGAACUGAUUUAUGGUCAAAAGCUGCAUGGCUUGUAUAAUUUUUCUAUCUGUUUUUUGCUCAAGAAUAACUGCUUUAUUUAUAUAUUUGUUUAUAUUAGUACUUGAACAAUUCUAUAGUUCAACUAAUGGGCAUCCUUUGUUUUGACUGGUAUAUUUUCAUGUACAAAGCUCGGAGAAGGAACUAUACGCUGAUGAUGUUUGUAGAACCCCUUUUUUGGUUUCUAGAUUGCUGAACUUACAUUCUGUUAAUGAUAGUACUGAACUAUUUUAGGUUGUCAAUUACCAAUCAAAUUUGUUUGUUGUAUAACAUUUUUUUCUAUGUUUUUUAGAUGAAUUUUGGAUCACAUUUUUUAACAGUUAUAUAAUGAUAUUUCUAGUAUUUUUUAGAAUUAAAAGAUUUUAUCUUUUGCGGCACAGUAUUUUUCUACUUGAACCUUAUGAAUUGUAGUAGUUGAACUUUUUAUAAUUUUUCUUCUGGAAUUUUUAUUUACAAAUUCUACGUUUAAUUUUCCAAAAAAAACAUAUGUAUUUCUAUUUUUUAGUUCUUACAGUUAAGAUAUGUUUGAAGUUUUUUACAUUUUUUUUUUGAACUCAUUUCUUGUGAGGUUUUUUUUAAAAUAUCUGCAUUUUUUUGUCGUGUGUGAUCGGCUGGAAUUUUAUAAUGGGGCGAAGUACUGAGUUGGGCCAUCUGGACUGAGUCGUUGUUUUCGGCCCAGAUAGCUCGCCCGCGCGGCUGUGCAGCGCGGCGUGCGCGUGCGCUAUGGUUUAGUCCCACCUCGCUAGUCGAGGGGGUUGUAGACCAGUUUAUAAGCGCAGACGAGGCACACCAGUCGAACUCCUCUGAAAACUUACCAGAGCGCUUAUACACGGCGCGUGCUCUCUUUCUUUGACCUGUGGGCCCUGAUCGGCGGGGCCCUGCGUUGUGCGGACUACUAGGGAUUCGUCUAUGGGCUCGAGUUCAAGUUAUCUAGCAGCGUAAGGGCCUGGGCCUGUCCUUGGGCGGUCAAUUUUUUUCUUUUUUGUUGUUUUUGUUUGAAUGUAGUACUUGACUCCACCAGUAAAUUGGACUGAUACUUUUUAUGAUCGUUGGGGCGUCAAUUUUUUUAGAAUCUAUUACCUGACUCCACCAGUAAAUUGGACUGAUACUUUUUUGUUCUAAUUCUUGUGAGUUUUGUUCUAGGAACGAGCCGUAACAUGACUUGCCCCCAUCCCGGCGAGGCCGAGCCAGGAACGAGCCGUAGCAGGCGACAACGCGGCAUGCCGCGGCGUCGUAUGCGGAGGCGAGUCCGUAACAUGACUUGCCCCCAUUAUCUAUCUUAGGGGUGUGUGGGUGCGUGUGGGGNNNNNNNNNNNNNNNNNNNNNNNNNNNNNNNNNNNNNNNNNNNNNNNNNNNNNNNNNNNNNNNNNNNNNNNNNNNNNNNNNNNNNNNNNNNNNNNNNNNNNNNNNNNNNNNNNNNNNNNNNNNNNNNNNNNNNNNNNNNNNNNNNNNNNNNNNNNNNNNNNNNNNNNNNNNNNNNNNNNNNNNNNNNNNNNNNNNNNNNNNNNNNNNNNNNNNNNNNNNNNNNNNNNNNNNNNNNNNNNNNNNNNNNNNNNNNNNNNNNNNNNNNNNNNNNNNNNNNNNNNNNNNNNNNNNNNNNNNNNNNNNNNNNNNNNNNNNNNNNNNNNNNNNNNNNNNNNNNNNNNNNNNNNNNNNNNNNNNNNNNNNNNNNNNNNNNNNNNNNNNNNNNNNNNNNNNNNNNNNNNNNNNNNNNNNNNNNNNNNNNNNNNNNNNNNNNNNNNNNNNNNNNNNNNNNNNNNNNNNNNNNNNNNNNNNNNNNNNNNNNNNNNNNNNNNNNNNNNNNNNNNNNNNNNNNNNNNNNNNNNNNNAUCUAUCUUUAGGGGGUGUGGUGCAUAGUUAUACUGACACAUCUUCCUUGUAUGGACUUGCCCCCAUUAUGUAUCUUUAGGGGGGGUGUGGGUGCGUGUGGGGGGGAAACAGAAUAAGCGCACUGCGCCUUUCAAACGAGCGCACUGCCGCGUUAGCGCGAGGCCGAGCCGGGGGGGAGGGACCCCCCUCCCCCAUCCCGGCGAGGCCGAGCCAGGAACGAGCCGUAGGUCCCGACCCCCCAUUGCUCGCUUCUGCAAUGACAUUCAACAGUUUUGAAAUUAAUCUUUUCUGCAUUUUUCUCAUAUACAUGCCAUGGGUAACAUGUCAUGCACUGAAGGCAUUGUACAAGUUGAACUUGCAUGGAUGGUUGUUAUUUAAAUUGUUGUUCUCUAUUUUGUAUCUGGUUCCGUUUUCAGUCGAACAGUAUAACCGUACAUGUUACACACUGAUGUACUGUUUUUUAGCACUGCUUGUAAACUGAACAUUGAACUUCAGAGAUGUAUGGAUAUGCAUAUAUAUAAAACCGAUGCAUGUCUUCUCUUUUGUUCAUCUAUAACUUAUGCAACUACACUAGAAGUACUCCUAGUUUACGUAUCAUUGAACUUACUGUGUAGACAUUACCUCAAGUUGAACUUGCAUCGAUGGUUGUUGAACUUCUUCUUCUUCUUCCUCUCGUGGUCGGCGUACUGGCAUGUUCUUGGGAGGCGGCGCCAUUGAUGCAACGUCUUGCGGGGAUCACUACCCCGGAGAAGGAGCCCCGGCGACGGAGGGAGGCAGGAGGCGGCGGAUCACGGCCCCGCCGGGCGGGGAUGGCGGUGCGCGGCGACAGAGGAAGGCUGGAAUGGCGCGCGGCAGCCGCCGGAGGCGGGGACGGGCCGGCGAGCUCGUUAGAGGGCCGGGGGGGCGAGCGGGGAGGAUCCGGCACCCGUCAACGGGGAGGUGCACGGGGAGGGGCCGGCACCCGUCGGAGGGAGGGCGCGCGGGCAGGUGCCGGCGAGCCCGUCGGCGGGGAGGCGUGCAGACGGCCAGUCGGUGGCAACACGUGGGUCGGAGGAGCGACCCGUCACGGCGCCGCGGGCUCCCUCGCUCCGGCUGCCGCCGUCGCUCGCUCGCCCGCGACGACUGCCUCCGGCGGAAGGAGGCGGGUAGGUUGGGGGCGGGUCGGGGAGAUUCUACUGGUGUGCGCGUCGCGCCCUUAUAAGGACCGAGGGUAAUAGCAUAUUAUACUAAUCCUGGGACCGAGGGUAAUAGAAUAUUAUUAUGUUACUAGUAACAGAAUAGCCCUGUCCUAUAUAUAUAAACACUAUUCUGAUCACGGGAUCAGAAUAAUAUUCUGAUCACAACAUGAACUUUCCGAGUAACGCGUCUGAUCCAAAUAACUAUUCUAAUCCUGGGAUUAGAAUAGUGCCACCCUAUAUAUAUAUAUAUAUAUAUAUUACAAUAUUAUAUUUCAUUGCAAUUAUUAAUUACAAAGUUUAUGCAGUUGGUCUUACACCAUCGUGUAAGAACUUAUCAUCUUUCAAAAGGCAUUCCAAUCGUUCGUUGAUAACAAGAUGUCCACGAACAAGGUUUUCUUGCAGGCAGACAUGAUUGAUUCAAUGACUGAAAUAUCUCUAGGGGUACAAACAUAGUCUGUCGACUUCAUAAAAAAGUGAGCCAACUUAGACAACAAAAUGAGCCAAAUUAGUUGAAUACAAAAGGCAAUUUCACAAAGAAAAUAUUGAUAAUAACAUUAAAGAAAUACCUUGUGCGAUAACAUUUAAAUUGGCAUCCUUUUUUGGUUUGUUAUGAGAUAUCACCGCUUCGACGUCAUUAUGUUGUAAAAAACUUGGUGAAUUUACUGUCCCUUUCAGCAAUUUCGCAUCGGAACCCUCAAUGGAUUCUUUUUGUGCAUAUCCAAAGUUCAUAUCCAUGUCUCCUAUAUUCUGAAAAAAUAUUAAUAUAUAAAAAUAUAUCUUUCGUAUUUGCAUGUACAAUAUACAUACCGAGGAAGGUUAGCUAUAUGCACCUUUUUUCGUGGUGUUUCAGUGCGGUCUGUCAUCGUUACAUCAGUGCAUAUGUCGAAACUUAUCACUUUGUAUCUACGAUGAAAUAUAUAUGAUCAAAUAUAAAUGAUAUUUUCUACUGCAUAAUACUCCCUCUUAUUUUUUAGUCUACGCAUAACUCACAUCAUGCAUACCAAGGAGACCUACUUGUAACUUUUUUGGACGAAAUUGCCCCUGUGCUAGUUGAAUUGCAGCGACCAGGAAUGCUGAGAAGCUAUGAUCAUCGGAGCCAGUUAUUGGCCCGUCCUCCUUGUUUCCUCUGCAUGGCUGUUAUUGGCCCAUUCUCCUUUGCAUGCGCUGCAUGCGCGGUCAGUAAUUAAUGCACAGGAGGAGGUAGCGUUGCAUGUGGGGCUGAAGAUUAGGAUAGACUUGGAAGAAACCGCUACAAAUCAGGAUCGCGCAGAGUAUUGCAGAAAAAACAAGAAAAACUUAUGCGCGGAGUAAAAGGGAUCGGAGGGGGUAUAAUCAUAUAUAAUAUCUGGAAAAAAUAAAAAGUGAAACUGACACAACUAUUUUCUCUAUAAAAAAAACAUAGUUGACAUUAUUAGGAAAAUAUGUUGAUUAAAUAAUUGUACUAACACAAAAUUUGGGGAAAACAACAAACUGUAAUGUUCAUAUAUAAGUAAAUAUUCAUAUGAAAAUUGUUUAAAUUAUUAAUAUAAGCUAUGGAAAAUUGUCCAACAAAAGAAAAGAAAAACAUGCAAACAAACCUUCUUCAACCAAGUAUAUUUUUUUCUCUCAAUUUUAUUGUGAUACCCUUAGUAUAUGAAAGGUAAUUAUAAAAUAUAUUUAUUUUUAUGAACCAUAUUUCAUACACACACACACACACACACACACACACACACACACACACACACACACACUUUUAUUGUUUUUGUGAGGUAUGUAUACUUUCAAUAUCUAUUUUUUUGUCGUAAAUUCCAACACAUGCGAGUUUAGAAUUUCUAUCGUUGAGCAAAAUUUUCACACAAGGCCCAAAUUAGCUAUCCACCACGGCCCAACCAGCACCCAAACUUAGCCCCUAAAAAAAUAACUAUAAAAGAAAUUACUUUAUACACAGUAUAUUUCUUUGAGGGAUUACAAUAUACCUAGACAAAUUGGCCGGCCCGGCACGGCCCGGCCCGGCCAGGAUUACAUAGGCCAGGCACGACACUUCCCGGCCAGGCACGCGUGCUGGCCUCCCCGGCCUAGGCACAGCAAAGUUGCCUCACGGGCUGGCUCGAGGGCCCACCUGGCGCGCUGGCCUCUGGGCUCACUGGCCACCCCUCGCCUUUUCCCCUCCCCCCGCCGCAUCCCAACCCAAACCCCACUCACUCACCACUCUCCUCUCCACACACUCACUUCCUCUCGCACUUUACCCUCCCCAGCCGCAUCGCCGCGUGCCUCGACGAGNNNNNNNNNNNNNNNNNNNNNNNNNNNNNNNNNNNNNNNNNNNNNNNNNNNNNNNNNNNNNNNNNNNNNNNNNNNNNNNNNNNNNNNNNNNNNNNNNNNNNNNNNNNNNNNNNNNNNNNNNNNNNNNNNNNNNNNNNNNNNNNNNNNNNNNNNNNNNNNNNNNNNNNNNNNNNNNNNNNNNNNNNNNNNNNCGCAACCGCGCGACUCCGCCCGCCGACCACCGCAUCAGUCCCAUGUCGCGGCCGGUCUUGUGACUCAUUCACCUCUCUUCUCCACUCACUCCAACAUCUCGGCCAUCUCCCCUCCUCCCGCCGCAUCGCCGCGUGCGUCGACCGUGCGACUCCGCCCACCGACCACCGCAUCGGCGCGACUAGGGGCUCCGACGAGCUGUGUGCGGCGCGACCAACGAGGACGGGCGUAGCGAGCUUACUGAAAUGGGCGCCGGUGCUCGGUCUGGUCCCGUUCCCCUCCCGCGGCGGUGUUCAUCUCUGGCGAGGUGGCAGGUGGAUCCGAAGAGCGACAAUUCAGGGGGGAAUCACUGGGAGGUGGAGGAAGGACGGAAAAAAACCAUGAUAGGUGGGACAAAAAUUAACCAUGGAACGGAGACUACCAACUGAGACAUUAGGAGUAGAGAUAAAUGCUAUAAAAAUCAAUGAAAAAAGUAGCGCGCUAUACCAAAAUAGGAGCGGCCUUAAAAUACGCUAUUAGCAUGCUAUAUCGCACUAUGGCAUUCUAUUAGCGAGGCAGUGUACAUUGAUUUAUUUAGCUAGACAAUUCUAUAGCGUGCUAUUAGCUGUGCUUUUUUCAGUGAAAAAUACAUUACAAAUAUAUUAGUAGUAGACUCAAGGAAGCAUCAAUACAUUUGUCAACAUGCAUUCCUUUGAAUGGUAGCUUAACAACCCAUCACAAAAUGGUAGUUACGGAAGAUGUAUACAAGAGGAGACGACAACAUGUAGUCAAUUUAAAACACAAGUAUAAGAAUUAUACUCUGCUUUAGUGCAAGCCAUUCAAAAAGCAUACUUGAUUCAAGUUUGGAUAUGAGAACACCGUGACAAAAGUUUCUCUUUCUAGGAUUCGUCGAUGCCUCACCGUGCACCUCUCCUAGUCUCCCUUUCCUCCGUACAUUUUUCGCAUCCUCAAUUUCUCCUAGCGUUCCUUCAAACAAGAAAAUGAGAAGAUAUUUUUUUCAAGGGGCAUCAACACAGAACCAUGACCUUCGCAUCUUCGUGAAGACUAUUGGCGAGUGAACCUUCAUGCGGAGCCAUGUUUUCCAUUGACAACGUCCUCCGCCCUGGCCUAUAUCACACAAGUUCUUUUCCAUCAGAUCUACCAUGCCAUAUAACAUGAUGAUUUAAGAAUGAACGUGUAAGUGUUCCUAGCAUGAAAAGCAUAGCAAAUUCGAGUGCCAGAACAUAACAGUGAAGUUGUACACUUUCAUGCGGAGUUGAGCUUCAAUACAAUGCCAGAGCUCUAUCUUCAGCGAACUGGUAAUAUGAAAAUAUCAGUACCAAAAAUAUAAUUGUGAAAUGGUGAGCACGAACUUAACUUUGGAUGUUCAGUGCCAAUUAUGAUGCCCAACUCAGUUGAUGUUACCACGGAGAAUUAUAUAACAAGCAUUGAGCGUUAAGUAGCUUGAAACCUUAUACUUAAGGUCACUUGUCUAUCUGAUUGUAAAUGACAGGAUGCAAUAUUGCAUUAUCAUUACUUAAUUGAAGACUAUAAUUAUAUUUGCGAUUGUUAUUAAAGCAAACUUCAUACACAAAUUCUAGAGCAUCAGAUUUCUCUUCGUAUAGAAGGUCCUAAAAUCAGUGAGCUCUAGAAACUUCAGGCAGAAAAUUAUCGCGAGGGCAUACAAAUUGAAGUAUAAUUCGAAGAAUCAACCCGGGAAACUACAACCAGGAACCAUUUUAUUUCGGCUUUAGUUCCUAAUUUUUUUAAUAUUGACUAUCUAGUGUGGAAAAGAGUAAUUUAUAACCUCUGUGUCCAUAUCGGUAUGUCCCAGUUUCAGUCAUCAUCAUUUCAAUUACAGUUUCCUCUCGUGCAAGCCCCAAAUCAGUAAGCUUCAGCUUCCUACGGUUUGUAGUAAGCAAAAAAUUAUCUGCCCACACAAAACUUUUAUUAGGACAUCAUAAAAGCAUAAAAAGUGUGACAGAGCAGCUCUAACAUAAAGGAAAAAAAAACAACUACUGGAAGAAGCUACAAGGUAAAGCAAGCAAAACAAAAUGGUAAGACUGAUAGGGAGAAAGAAACAAAUCAUGAGUGAACCAUGAACAGGUACUAAAGCAAAGCAUAUACCAUGGAUGUGAAAUCAGGAACAUUCAAGAAUAUGAUGUAGAAACAUCUUACUGAAAAUUUUAGAUGAUUAACGGACCAACUACUGAAAAUCAAAGAAGCUGAACCAAAAAGAAGAAACUAAAAACAAUACCUUCGCAAGUAGUCAUUCAUUUUUUAAACCAGAUGCUAUGACGAUGAGCUGCAAAAGGUGAAACAAAUAGUACUCACACAAAUAAGAAAAGAGUGUUUUAUUGAAAUGUCGUAAAUAGUUAAAAGUAGAUGACUCUAACCCACUUGAUUCUACAAGUAAAUAAGCAACAGAUCUUACUGCUGAAUGCAAUGGUUGGUAUCCAAACGGGAAAAGGGUACAACGUCUUUAACCUGUUGACGCUAUGAC